AAUUACCAACGGUGUAAUUCCAAAUCUUGAUAGCUCCAUGCUGAUCCCAGUCACCUUCAUGAACUUUGACUCCUUGAAUGUUUUUGGAGGUGGCGGUGGGCAAUUUGUGAGUUUCACUCCUCCAAAUCUUGAAGAACUUGUCAGCUGGUGCUUUCAGUUCGACUUCAGUCUCCAGUUUUCCCUUCAAAUUAGCCAUGUUGGCACAAAUAUUGAGACUCCAAAAUUCGCGAAGCUCGUUGGAACAAUGGCCUGUGCUGAGAAAAAAGAGGUGUGGCUUGCUUCUUAAAUUGACUUUGGCGUUUCGUCUCUUCUUCAGGUCCCACAGAUCACGGUUCAUGUGGUCCUUGACAUGUUUACUAAUUAUAUCGACGUGUCAAAUUGCUAUUGGAGUGCUUUAUAAAAUGUAUUUUGGACCAAUAAAAAGAUAUGCCUGAUCAAUUAUGACCGUGGCCUGUUGAUAAUGGAUGCAAUUCAAGCCGUACAUUUUUUUUGGUCAUUAGCAAUUAAAUGUCUAAUUCAUACAUUUCUAAUAUUCUCAUAAUGAGCUCUAAUACUCUAUGAAAGUUGCCCGUUGAAUUCAUCUUCUAAUCUGAUUGAUCUGCCAAGGUCAACUUAAGAUUAUACCCAAUGCAUAAUAUAAAGAAAGAGGUCAAUUACCUGGCCUAUAGGUGGACUCAAGGUAUAUUCGGUGAGUUAGAAGAUGCCUUCAUCAUUUCUUUAAAAUAUUAUUAUGAUGUGCACUUUAAAAUAUUAUUAUGAUGUGCAUGUGAGGGUGUUAAGCGAAAAACGUUCCAUAUUUGGCAUAUAAAUCAUUAUUUUAAUUUUUUUAAGUCGAGUUGAGCCUAACUAGAUAAUGUAUAUAUUGGUAGGUGUAGAUUUAAGGUCUCUCUUGAGGAUCUCCAUAGGUGAAGAUAUCGGAGUUAUAUUGUGCAUCUCAACAGGUGUUUUCUCAAAAUGAGAAUUUACAAUGUGACUCUUUGAUCGUGGUGGUAGAUGGUAUCCCUCGCUUCUUCCCAAGUUUAAUUGGGCAAAGGCGAGUGAGGUAGAGUCAGAAGGGCAAACAUUAUUCAUGCAACCAUUAGCCAAAACUAAUGAGGCAAGGUAGAGAUUCAAGUUGAGAAUGUUUUUUUUUUGGUAAAGGUAAGAUAAAUAAUAAGAAAAGCCAAAUGUACAAAAGAUCUCGUCACCAGAACUUGCACUCCAAAUGUAGUAACAAAAGAAGUGGAAGGGUGACGAGAUGCAAAAGCCGCAGAGGCGGCACAACAACUACAACAACAAGGCCAAACUAAGCACGACUAGCUCGACCAGCUAUCAAGCAAAGACAAAAAACAAAGAGGAGGCCAUCGUCUGAUCUAGGACCUAAGGGUCCCCAUUGAAAAUAAUCGGGUCUAGACUCCAACUUCUCUGCAGCCUUCUGUUUCUGAAAUUGUCUUCAACGUUCCUGAAGGUGAUAGCCUUGUCGCGAACCACUUUAAAGAGGUGGUUUUUAAUGGCCGGAAUAGAGAGAGGCUGGUCUCUAAAGAUGAUGGCAUUCCUAUUUUUCCAAAUGAUAUGACACAGCGCGCCAAAUGAAAAACGGGCUAUGCACUUAUAGAAAUCUUUCCCCAUCAAAUAGGUAGUUGCCCAUAUGAAAUUCUCCCCCCAACCUCUGUUGCGCCAGGGUAAAUUGCAUCUGGACGCCCAAAAGAAGGCAACACUAGCCGUGACACAGCAGUCAAAAAACAAGUGGUCAAGAGAGUCAGGCACAUUCUUGCAAAAUGCACAGGUAGCAUUUCCAAUAAUACCAUAGGCCAAAAGUAGAUCCUGGGUUGGAAGCCUACGUCUGGCCAUGAGCCAAAGAUUGAGCUGAUAUCGAGGCACUAUGGCGUUGUCCCAUACAAAGGAGUACCAGUGGACCCGCGUCUUCUUCUUCCUGAUGAAGUUCCACGCCGAUGCCAUAGUGAAUUGGCCCGAAGAGCUUCCUCGCCAACAGCAACGAUCCGGGUCAUUCGUCAGGGUCGGAAGAGGUUGCCCCCACGAUUGAAGCACCAAUCUAAGAGCUUGGCCAGCAUCUGAGAAGAGGUCAGCAACACAAGCUUGUCUAGAGAGCCCUGAGCUAUAGAUAAGAGAGUCUGAAAAGAACAGGUUCAAGGGCCCUCUAGGAUGCCAGUUGUCAAACCACAGAGAGGUUGUUUGGCCAUCGCCAAUUUUCCAGACGAAGGCCAUCCUAAAAUUCCUUCUUAGGGUCAACAAGCUCUUCCAGGCCCAGGAGCUAGAAGUUGGCUUCCUAGCAACCCAAAAAUUCUUGUUUUUUAAGAACGUGGAAUGGACCCAUCUACACCAUAGCGCUUCCUUGUCGGAGAACAAGAUCCAAAUAUGCUUUAGCAUGUAGGCUUUAUUGCAAUCUUGGAGCCUCCUAACACCUAGCCCUCCUUCAUCCUUUGGAAGGCAAACGUCAUCCCAGGCUACCUUCGCACCACCCCUGCCUAGGUCCGGACCUUUCCAUAGGAAUUGUCUAAAUAUUUUCUCUAUCUGUUCUAUCACAGCUGAAGGUAAGACAAAGACACUAGCCCAGUAGGCUUGUAUAGCAUGAAGAACUGACUUGAUAAGCUGAAGCCGACCAGCAAUAGAGAGGAAACGGUGAGUCCAAGACUGAACCCUUGCAGUGAUGCGAUUGACCAGGGUACAACAAUCUGCUUUAUUGAUUCUCGAAGUGAUAAUGGGAACCCCCAGGUACCGAACUGGCAGGCUUCCUUCUCGAAAGCCCAACUCCAAUAGAAUAUUAUUCCUUAGGGAAGGAUUGCCACCCGCCAAGAAAAUUUCACUCUUGCACGAGUUAGGACGAAGGCCACUCCAGGAGGAAAAUAUGUUUAGAGCUUCCUUAAGGAGAGUUACCGAAGGAAGGUGCGCCUCACAAAAAAGGAAGACAUCAUCUGCAAAGAAUAGAUGUGAAAGACCCACUGCCCUGCACCUCCAAAAGAAUUUGAAAUCAGGUCUCGAGGAUUGCUUAAGAAUGAUCCCUGAGAGCACUUCCAUGACCAUAGUGAAAAGGUAAGGCGAGAUGGGAUCCCCUUGGCGAAGACCUCGACCGCUCGCAAAAAACCCGUGGAGCUCUCCAUUCAAAGCAAUUGAGAAUUUAGGAGUGCGAACACACGUCAUAAUUAGGCUAGUGACAGAGUGAGGAAAGCCAAAGGCUAGCAUCACAUUCUCAAGGAAGCUCCAAUCCACCGUAUCAUAUGCUUUCCUGAAGUCCACCUUUAUCGCACAUUUAGGUAGAUAAGGCUGAAGGUGAAAGCUAGAGAAUAGCUCCUGGGCCAGUAAUAUAUUGUCCCUAAUUCGUCUACCUUUUAUAAAAGCAGUCUGAAAAGGGCCUAUCAUGUUCUUCAAAGCUAGGGCCACCCGAUUAGCUAGCACCUUUGUAAUACACUUGUAGAUAGUGUUACAACAGGCGAUAGGUCUAUAAUCCUCCACAGAAGUGGCGUUGAGCACUUUCGGAACCAUUACCAAGAUGGUAUUGUUAACCUCCCUCAAGAGUUUUCCGGAGUUAAAGAAGUCCAACACUGCAGUCGUUACUAAGGGACCUACCGUGUCCCAGUUUUCUUUGAAAAACUCCGCUGUGAAACCAUCUGGCCCAGGAGCCUUUUUCUUGGGCAAAGAGAAGAUAGUGUUCCGGAUCUCUAUCUCUGUAACUGGUUGAGCAAGAAGAGCAGCCUGAUCAAUCGAAAGUGGAUGUUGGAUAACCUCUCUCAAGUCCUCUAACGAAGGUCUAAUAAUCUCCUCUUGUGGCAUCAAGAGGUCCUCAAAGAACUCUACAAACCUUCGUUGCACCAGGUGUGGCUCCGUCAGUAUGUUCCCCGAAGAGUCGAGGACGGAUAGGACUCUGUUCCUCAACUGUCUUUUGUUGACAUAUUGAUGGAAGAAUUUGGUAUUUCGGUCUCCCUCCUUGAGCCAUCUAACCCUGGACUUUUGCCUGUAGAAGGACUCUUCCGAGGAGCGCAGCUCUGCAAAGAUACAUCUUUGGCUUUUCUCCACUUCAGCAAGGUCGGUAGAAAAGGGAUUUAGUUGUAAUUCUGCUUGGGUGGCCUCCAUCAUCUUCCGCGCAUCAAGAGUUCUAGCAGAUAUAUUAGAGAAGGAAUCUCUGUUGAGUUGCUUAAGCCGACAUUUGAGAGCCUUGAGUUUAGAGACAAGCUUGUACAUAGGGAAACCAUUCCCCGGCUCAUUCCACACUUGUGAGACAAUUUCUUUGAACUCCGGGUGCUUCAUCCAGAAGUCGAAGAACUUGAAGGGCUUCCUUGUAUGAGUCGGAUUAAGAAUCUUCACCACCAUAGGCGAGUGGUCUGAGAUUCCAGGAGGAAGGAAGGAGGCUUCAGAGUAAGAUAGAUCCAAGCUCCACUUUGCAUUCACUAGAACCCUGUCAAUCUUCCUUGCUUUCCUAGUAUGCCCUGAAGACGUAGUCCAAGUGUAUCUAAACCCAACGAACCUCAAGUCUUCUAGCUCAGCUUGCUCCAAGCACUGUCCAAACUCAUUGAAACAAGGGAGCCAAUCUUCGGAGCCACCGACCCGGUCCGAUGGAUCCUUAAUAGCAUUGAAGUCCCCCAAGACAAGCCAAGGAGUGUCUCGGAGAUGGGUGCUUUUCAUGAUGAUGUCUUCCCACAGCGGUCUCCUCAGCGAAAAGGAGUGAUCUCCAUAAACAAAAGAAACACAGCAAGCCACCCCAGAGUCUAGGGUCUCAAGGUUCCCAUGAAUUGCCUGCUUGGAAAGAGAGAAGGUUUCAAACUUGACUCUCAUGGGGUCCCAUCCGACCCAAAUUCUACCCCUGGGGAAGAAGUCAUAGUUUGCAGUCCAACACCAACCUCUCAAUAGAGCUUCGGAAAUGGAGUUAAAGCGAUCCUGUGGCACCUUAGUUUCCACCAAACCAACACAGCACAAGUGGUUCGAAGUAAUAAAAUUACGAAUCUCCGCUUGUCUAGUCGAAUCAACCAUACCUCUAAUAUUCCAGCAACCUAUAUACAUAUGUACAAAAGAGGAAACGAGGAAGGGUUACCUCCUUUUCGGAGGCUUGCGACGGCUCUGAGAGGGAGCCGCUCGAGCCGCUGGAGGAGGUGGGUCAGGAGGAAGCACGAGCGGCUUGUCCUGGGUGUUCUCCUCCAUGUUUUUCGUUGGAGAAGCCUUCGGCGAUAGAUCUGGAGGGGCCUUCGGUGAUUGACAAGGCGAGAGAAGAUCUUCAUCUGAGCUAAGGUGGUUGACAGACUCAUUCAAUUCCGCUCCACUCCCUAAGCCUGCAUCUGGAUGGCUAAUGGGAUCUUCCUCCAUUGUCGAGGUGUGGUCAUCCACACUAAUUAGUGCUUGAAACCCACUCUGAGCCCUCCGGGUGGAGGUUGAUGGCAAGCUUUUAAGAGCUGCUUCUGACUGCUUGAAAGGUGGUUCCUCUUCUCCAGAGCUUGAUGGAUGGUCUAAAUAUGUCUCCUUGGGAGGGGGAGAUUUGUUCUUCUUUCCCUUGACUUGUUUCCAUCCAAAAUCAGCCUCAUUCAGGUCUACCACCAGCAUUGGUGAAGUCUCAGAGGGGCGGGCCUCCACUGGUGGGGGGGGAGGAAUGGUCUGAACUUGUUUCUGGCCUUGCACCGCCUUCCGCCCAUUCAAAGAGGUUGCACAAUUGUGCCCAAAGGAGCCACACUUCAAGCAUUCCGCUGGCUUCCACUCGUACUCAAUGGCAAUCGACCGAACAACUCCGUUUAGUCUUACCCUGGUCAAGUAGAACCUUGGCUUGUUUACUUGAAUCUCCACACACACUCUUGCAAAAGAGAUCCUUUGAGAUUGCUCCGUGCGUUGAUCAACAAAUAACGGCUUGCCAAUGGUGCUCGCGAUGGCGCUAUUGCCGGGGCUGUCCAUAGGUCAAGAGGUAGGUUUUUCAAGCGAAUCCACACUGGCACCGAGGUUUGCUUCUCCCUCUUCAACUCUAGGAGCGGCUUCCAUUGUUGCAAAACAAGUGCAACCCUUGCAACCGUUAUAUGACCUUCUUCCAAAAUCUUCCUUCUGAACUCAGGGUCAGGGAUGCGGAAGAAAAAGAAACCCUGGUCAUCGGCAAAAACCUCAACAAGCUUCGGUCCCCAACAUAGCUUGAGCGAGUUCUCCGUGAGCUGGAACGGCAAACUCUUCCCUAUAUAAUAUCCAACCAGACACUCAUGCCAUUUGGGAUCCACCGCAUCUAACACUUCUUCAGGAAGAUCCACCACCGGGACAUCAUCCUCAAACGAGGGAGGAACAAAGGUAAGGUCAUACCCUUUCGCUGCAAGUUUCGCAACAUUCGCCCACGUCCGGACAGCCGGGGCGUCUGGUUUCUUCGCUUGUUUUUGCGAGGCUUGAGGCCCUUUGGAAGCCGACCUUGCUCUACUUCGUCCUCUCGAGCGCCUAUCCCUGCCUGUAGCUUUGGGACCACGGUUUGAGGUCUCUGCUAGUGCAGGAGCCUUGCCCGUGUGCAUGGAGGCCCGGGCCUCCUUGUCUCGAUUGAGGAGGCUAGACGUCCUCUCCGAUUCAUCCCUCAAUUGUGCCGUAUUACUCGGCUCACCACCCACAGCCAUUGGAGCAGCCAUAACACUACCUAACCAGCUAAACCCAGUCCUCUACACAUCAGCCAUCUAGAGAGUAAGAGACUAACCGUUCGGACGCCUCGCACCUCUCGGGUUGGCUGGACGCAGCAAGGACGGGGCAGGGAGGAGGACCAACAGACCGCUCAGGAGCAAGGCGGCUUACUUGAUGCCCUCUUCCCGCUUCAAUCAGGUCCGGGACGCACCAGCUCUGCUCCUCAAGGGCCGAGCAACGCAGCAACUCGGUGCAGGGCGCGGCACAGCAGGGGCGGAGCUGAGCCGCAGCACAGCGUCGAGCACCAGCAGCAGUUCGGUGCAGGGCACGGCACAGCAGAGGAGCACCAGCAACCGUUCAAUGAGCCGAGGGAAGCUUACCUAACGUUGUUGGGACGCCUGCGAAGCACAGACCCGAGCCGCACCAGUACCGCACCUCCAAGGGCCGAGCGGCGCAGCAGAAGGCGAUUUCCGAAGCUCAGAUCUCGCCGCAGGGAUGGAGAGAGUCUAAUCCGUUCGGUGAGGAGCGAGGGCCUUCCCAGAGGAGCUGAACCCCCAAUUUUCACGCCAAUCGGAGGUCUGGAUCGGCCGGAUCGAGCAGCUGACGCCGGCGAGCUACAGUUCAAAACCCCAGAGGAAGAGAGGCGAUGAACAGUACCCGUGCGAGCAUUUUGGCUUUUUGAUUUUCAUUUUGUUUGUUGUUGCAGGAUGGGAAAAUAUUGAAGCGGAGGUUAAACUUACCGGUAUUCUCAGUCUUGGGGCAUUGCAGCCUGGAGAAACUCGAAAAUACGGCACCACCAUUGCACCUGGGCUCUAUGCCCCAGUUCAUCAACAUUUCUUUGUGGCUUGGGUGGACAUGGCUGUUGAUUGUAAGCCUGGUGAAACCUUCAAUCAGGUAGUUUAUAAGCUUGAAACUUUUUGCGAUCCUUUACUUUUCCCUGGCAAUAAUUGGCUUUAUUUUUCCUGAUUGUUUGCCGCCUUCUUUUGGAAUUUCUGAACCAUAUCACCAUUCUGCUUUGAAUGUUAAAGAAAAAUCUGUUCUUUUAGUCAUAAAUGCAUUUGUUCAGAUACUGCAUGCUUGUCGUAUGAUAAUCCUGCAGUGUUAUCUCUAAUCUGCAAACCAUGCAUGUUUGUGCAGGCAUAAGGCAUAUCGAGAGUCAACUGGGACGGUUUCAUGCAGCCAUGGUGAACUUGCAGACCCAGUGGCUGCAGCGGAGGAAAUAGCUUUCUGUAGAGCAUGUGCUCGGUUUGGCUUAGGCCUGUAUCUUUAUCAUGAAGAGUAGACGCUGUAUGGAAUCAACCUAUAGACCAAGGGACAGAAAUGGUGUGGAUUGGGUACAAGAUGCUCCUAGAUGGAUUUUGUGGGAUUAUAGUCCACAGUUCUCUUUUAAACUAUUUGAUGAAGGCGAUUUUGACCCGGUACUAAGCAUGAGAGACACAUAAUAAGCAAGGAAAAUAAGGGGCAAAUAAGGGGCCUUAGGACCUCUUGCUCUAUUACUUUAUGAGUUUCGUGGAAGCCCCUCAUGGCCUAAGUCCGUUUACUCCUUGAUGGGAUAUUGACUCUGAUUGCGCUAAUUUUUUGGCCCCCGUUGGUCUCUUUAUGUUGGGUAUUUCGUCUCAUAGCGAUCUUUUCCCAGUUAGACAUCUCUAAAAAUUAUGCUCCUUUAAACAUAGCUAUUAAGCAUAGCUAUGUUUUUGGUUUGUUUGUUAGCUGUACUAUUGUGGGAGUACUUUUUCUAAACUUUCAAACUUUGUCAAUAUAAUCCAAAAAAAAUUGCAUGAGAUUCCAAUGAGUUCUUCCAGCCAAUCAAUAGAAUUAAAAAGUUUAAAAUUGAAGUGCAAUGAGUUUAGUUUUAGUUUAGGACUGAUUGAGCAGUUUUCUCAAGAUACGUGCUUCUCUCUCGUUCCGUUUCUUCGUUUCUUCCCACAUAUACUGCUCAAAAUUGCCUAAGGGCAUUGGGUGGCCAUAAGUCUUGUAUUUGCCAGCUCGUUCUUAUGGCAGUGCUCCUUCAGAAAAAGUCCAAAAGAGUUUUCGCCCAGCAACCAUACUUCUCUAUAUAUUAUCUCCUUGAGCCUUACAGGUCUGCCCCUAUCAUCGUGCUUUCUUUUUGGGAUGGUUACCAUCGUUUGUACAAGAAGUCAAACUGACCCUUAAAUAUUUCUAAGAAUCAAUGCCUUGGUAAGCUAAUGAAGAUGCGAGUAUUUCUGGCCAUUAGCCAUAAAUGCUGACCGGCGACUGCUAAUAGCUAACCACUUGAACGGCUGUCUUUUCAUUAGCAUAAGUAUUGAUAAGUAAUUGCAUUGAGAUGUUCUAUCUAAACCUUGACAAAAGGAAGAACUUCUCCUUAUGUAUUGCGACUCAGAUGGAUGCUAACUAUUGAUGACUGCAGGCGGUUGCAUUCAAACCUGUAAUUGAGGGAAACACUUGUAAUAUAGCUGAUCAGAGUGGUUCGGAAAAACGCCGGCUUAUCUUGCACCAGUAGUCCAACAUCUCAGGCAAGAAGAGCUGAAGGACUUAGCAAAUCAUUCUCACGAAGCCCUUGAAUUGUCAUUUUGGUGCCAGCUGUCGAGUUAGCUUCACAGGUUUGGCAGUUGGUAUCCAUUGCGGACACAUAUUUCCCUAGAUUCACAAGAUAGCUCGUCUGUCCUUCAUCAAACCAUCGGCCAGCACACUGCGAAACAAAUGUUUUCAGUAUUUGAUCAGAUCCCUUCCAAAUACGAGAAUCGCAGCACUAAUAUGCAAUUCAUAUCAACCAUGGGAGCACAGUGAUCAAACAGACGUGCAUUGCUCUCCAAUAGUAGGGGAGGAAGGACACCGCGUAGUUCUUAGAAUUCAUGCAAUAGUGGUAUAACUAGAGAAAAAAGGAAAGUGGAGCUUCCCACCAAGUUGACUUUCUAUGUUUGAUUCCAGUAAAUCAAGAAAUAGAGAAGAUAAUACAUAGGAUAUGGAAAAACCUCAAAUUGAAGGGCCUCCGAGAUUCUACGCCACAAGGCAGGCAUAGGACCACUCAGUACCCAUUGAGCAGUGCUUUAGGAUUGUUGCUUCAAGCCCUGAACGGUGUAGCCGGAGCCCCACUCGAAGUUGUCCAACAAUGACCAUUCCAAAUAAUCCUUCACGUUCCUAGUACAAACUUAUGAAAUUUGAGACUUUGUGCCCAAUUAUGAGAAGAAUCUUGCUUGAAAAUUUCUUACUUGAUUGCCUUCAGGAGAUGGGGAGUAAUAAUAAUCUAUUGGAUCCAUUCCUGACGAAUUCAACAACUCUACACUAUCGUUAAUUCUGUCAAAGAGCAACACAGGAAGCUCACGCUGGCUCUCAUGAAGAAGGCCAAGGAGAUUUGCGCUGCUCGAGGGGUAAUUCCUUCAAUUCCGUUUGAUUCUUUUUCAUGUUGGAACAAACGUGACGAUGGGGAUAGCACAUGCUUGGAGUCAUUGGAAUGAGCUUGCAUGUGGAUAAUUUGAAUUUGCACUUUGCUGUGAAAUUGAAGAACCCUUCCGCGGUAGGCCUUAAAGCAAUCAUCAUGUUGUUCAGGAAUAACAUCCUAAGAAACCUAAUUCAAAUUUAAAAUAGACUAAAUCAUGUAAUAGUCAUCCCCCGGCAGAUUAUUAUUAUUAUUAUGCCUAUAGUAAUUUUAACUACAAUGUUUGUGUUAAUAACUGUUUGGAUUAUGUUUAAUUUGAAUUAGGUAAAUAAGAAUAUCAUUUUGUGUGGACAGUGUUGUUACUACUAAGGCCAAGUCCCUUGUUUCGGGUAAGAUCCACCAUUUAAAAAAUUAUAUUCAAUUGCAAAAAGUUUUUUCUUUUUUUAAUACUAGACUAGAAUUGUAUUUUCGAAUUGAUAAAAGAGUAAACCUUUUUUCAUAAGAAAAUCAAUUCCAGUCAAAAAAGACGCCGUCACCCGGGGAGGGGGCACUGCGCACGGGGAGUUCCUUGGGGGCCUCACAAAAUUGUUGUGUUUUCUGUUGCUUCCCGCCUAAAAUUCAUCCUCUUCUUGGUCGCACCUCUCCUCCGAGCCUCCAAUCCCCUCGCCUCUCCUCUGCACCUCUCCUCCCAUUGAUCCCCAUUGAUCGCCAGCCAAACCUCUCCUCCGAUUGCCUGCCCGAGUCCACGCACUUGCCGCAUCCGAGUAAGCAUCCGAGUUCCUCCACAAUCAGUCAGCUUGUAAAUCUAUGGGCAAAUCUAUCGGCGAGCAUUUCUUGUUCUUCUCUCAUGUGAUUGGACGCUUGUGAUUGGUGAGCUUGUUCGGCAUCCUCGUUUCCCUCCGGAGAGAACGCUCGUGUGAUUUGGUAGCUUGCGAUUUUGUAGCCUGUGAUUUUCUAACCAUUAAUGGAGCUCCAGGUAAAUACAGAUCGUCCAAUGAGGUAAAUACAGAGGUAAAUACAGAUCAUCAGGAUUUAGGACUUAGGAGAAGAUCGUUGAGAUAUAGGAUGGAUUUAGGAACUGCUUGAAUUAGUGUGUUUAAGUGGUUUUUGCCUUCCUGUUUUGCGCCCUUUAAACUCUCUAAAGACUUUGAAUCUAAUAAAACGAAUAGAGAUCAAGCACGUCCGAACUUGAGAGUCAUUGUUUGUGCUUAGAUUGAUUUUUAUUAGGACAUGAACAUCCACAGUUCUACACAGCAAGAGUUUGAUUUCUGCCUUGAUUUCCCUAUUUAAUAAGUAGAUAGUUCAAAAAAUUUUCUCAUUGCCGUGGCUCGAAGAAUUGUCAGUAACAAUCAACCUUUUGAUCUCAAAUCUUUCUUUACUAAGUUAUGCAUAUCAAAUUACAACUGUAUAAUAUCCGUCAAUAUCCGUCUCAAGUCAUCUCUGUUCUUUUCUUAUAUUUCUGGGCCUUUUUUUUGGCAUCCGUUGUCGAUUCUAGCAAGUACAGCUACAGAGAAUUAGAAAUAGAAAGAGCUUCGGUGAUUUGAGUUUGGUGGUAUUGGAUGUUUGAGAGCCUGUUUUGCAUACUGAAUAUAUAUGCUCAAAUUGCUGGAGGGUCUUGAUGAAUUGAAGGAUGUAUUUUCAAAUGCAAAAGCUAAUGAACUUGUAAUGAGCUGUGCUUAUUUGUAAUUCUUUCCUGGAUGUGGCUCUUUAAGACCAGUGGAAUUGAUUUAGCAUCUGUGAAUUAGGCUUCUGUUAAUUGAAGGAGUAUGCAUUAGCAUUUUUAACCUCAACUGACAAUAUCUCUCAUUUUGAGCUGUUGUGCUUGGAUACUGGGUACAGAUGCUUGGGACUAUGAAAGGUGUAUCCAAGCUAUGUAGCUUAUGGAAACCGAGUGCCACUUUGAAGGGUCUAGGUGAUUUUAAUUCUUAAAUUUAAUGGUUAAGGUUUUUUUUUGUUAGAAUUAAAUAAUAUUUGUCUUCCAACAGGAAGUUUAUGCACCAGGACCCUAUACAACUCAUCCCCACCCCCACCCUCACCCUCACCCUUACCCUUUGGAAUACAACUCUAUACACAAAACGCACUUUGGUACUUAAGUGCCCAUCCUCAGAUGGCGGCAUCUCAGAUGGUGGUAUUUACCACAUAUACAUGGUGAGUGUCAUGCAUGAUAAGAAGGUUAGUGUCUCAAAUUUGUGUCUAAAUUUGUUAUAUAAAUAAUAUCUGGUCCCAUAAUGCCUAAAAACCGUUUGGUUGCAUUUGGUUGCAGGAAUCACAACUAAGAGUUCAAUCAAAGAUUUAAGCGGCGCAAACCAGACGUUAUAUUUUUAGAAUUAUGCAAAUCCCGAAGGUAUCUGCUUGAAGAGGUCCAGACUAGUGAAUUUUAUACUGGAUAUAUUUUUAGAAUUAUGCAAAUCCCGAAGGUAUCUGCUUGAAGAGGUCCAGACUAGUGAAUUUUAUACUGGAUGGAAAGAGGUCAAGAAGAAUAAGAUCAGAGUAGUUUUAUGGGAUUUAAGGUAUUUGCCUUGUCUUCUAGGGUCCCUGCUGCCGCCCCGCGUGAGCAUUCCUCCUGUAAGUGACGAACCAAGAGGGAUGCACACGCAGCGGAUGGCAACAGAACCAUAUAAGGCAGGCAUAGCUGAGAAAGAUGGGUGCAACAUGUUGAGAAGAUUCAAUACUUUUUACAGAGACAGCACUAAAGACUAUCAACUGUAACAAGAAAGAAUGUCUUAUGGGAGGAUGGUGCAGAUAGUGAGAGCGGUAUGGUGAUUUCAAGUCGUAGGGAGAGGGUUAAUGUGCAGGAGAUCACCANNNNNNNNNNNNNNNNNNNNNNNNNNNNNNNNNNNNNNNNNNNNNNNNNNNNNNNNNNNNNNNNNNNNNNNNNNNNNNNNNNNNNNNNNNNNNNNNNNNNACAGAUUUUAACAUCAAAACCUCUGGAAUCUUCACUCCAUUAUCUUUAAUCCAUUAAUCAAGCUCAUAUAAAUUCACAUACAAAAUCAUCCUCGGGGAAGUGGAGGUAUUUCAAUUCACAGUCAACUUUCUUACUAUGGCUACAGUCCUACUCACAUGCCAUAUCCCAACCCUAAUGUGAGGGGACGUCUUUACUCCUUUACUCAAGCUGUCACGUGAAUUCACAAUACUUCUAUGACAUCGUCCUCAACAAAAUGGAGAUACUCCAAUCUAUAAUCAACAUUCAUGCUAAGGUCGUACUCACAUGUCAUGUUUCAAUUCUAAUGCCAGGAGAAGUCUUCACUCCAUCACCCCCAAAUUCAUGAGAAAUGUGGUUAGGUGCGAAAAAUUCAAAAGAAGUGCAUUGUAGUUUAGAUUGGUACACAAGUUGAGCAGGAAGUUUCAAUUUCAUACUGUACUCUUCGUAUGUGAAAAAAGUCCGCCUGAUCUCAACUUUGGUAAUUUAUACCAAAUCAAUAUAGACGCGUGUUCAAAUUUUUUUAAUUUUCAAUGCUUGAGAACAUUUUGAACAACUCUAGCAAUCGCUUAGAAGCUGCAUCUCAUCAUCCACAGCGAAAUUGUGACGACAGCCACGAUACUAAGGUGGGACCAACGGCUCAAAUGAAUUUAGACCAAUUAUCGUAGAAACUUAUGAUUCAUACUACAUAGAUUCUUAAUUCUAGGAUGCUUCAUUUUUGGGCAGUUAGGCUAAAGCUCAAUAUGUGAAAAGUCACACGAGGAAUCGCCUAAAUUCCAAGAAAGUCACCUAAAAUGUGUCGGAAAAUCACCUGCAUCGGAUCCACUAUGAUACCAGAAUGUAAUCCUUAUUCAAGUUAAUCUAAUUUGUAUCCUAAUAUCGUCUACUGCAACUAAAUUUCAGCAUCUCUAUAUAUCGAAGUGUAUAGGUAAACGCACUCAAAGUCCAACCACAUAUUAAGCUCUUAAUGUGAUUGGAAAUUGCGAAUAUUAAUCGAUGGAGGGAUCAAAUUAAAGCAUGUAUCAACUUCCCCAUAACCAUAUCAUAUUGCAAAAACCACGAGUGUCUUAUUACAAGCACAAUUAAACGUGAACACAAAACAAGAUUCUGAUAUUGCCAAAACCCAAGUCAACUUCGCAUCAACUGAUCAUUUAGCUUGAUUUAUUGGGUCUAGAUACAUGAAAGUACUAGAAAUCUCAAGCAUAAUAUAGCACAACUUCACACAUGAUCACGGUCAUGCCAUGAUCUUUUACUUCAUGCACUUAAAACGUGAGCUUCGAUGUCCUUGACCAUGUCGAUGAAGAAGGGCAUGUACUUGUCAGGGUUAGGGUCGCUCUCCUUGUACUUCUCAUACUCGAUGCUCAGCUUGGCUAGACUGCCUUGCUCCUUUGGAAUGACUUUGCAUGCCGGCUUGAAGACCUUCCAUGUGUCAAAGACGUGGCACUCGAUGCCGUGCAGGGUGAACGACAUGUUGUCAUCAUCAAACUCGACCUUCUCUUUGAGCACUUCGGAUUUUCCUUCUACACAAUUGCACCGACAAAAAUAGAAGGUUUAAGUUAGGCGGGGUCAUCAAUUUAAUUUCAAUGACAACAUGGAAUAAAAUUGAUAAUUAGAGAGAUCAGAUUGAACCAAUUACCGACGGUGUAAUUCCAAAUCUUGAUAGCUCCAUGCUGAUCCCAGUCACCUUCAUGAACUUUGACUCCUUGAAUGUUUUUGGAGGUGGCGGUGGGCAAUUUGUGGGUUUCACUCCUCCAAAUCUUGAAGAACUUGUCAGCUGGUGCUUUCAGUUCGACUUCAGUCUCCAGUUUUCCCUUCAAAUUAGCCAUGUUGGCACAAAUAUUGAGACUCCAAAAUUCGCGAAGCUCGUUGGAACAAUGGGUUGUGCUGAGAAAAAAGAGGUGUCGCUUGCUUCUUAAAUUGACUUUGGCGUUUCGUCUCUUCUUCAGGUCCCACACAUCAUGUUUCAUGUGGUCCUUGACAUGUUUACUAAUUAUAUCGACGUGUCAAAUUGCUAUUGGAGUGCUUUAUAAAAUGUAUUUUGGACCAAUAAAAAGAUAUGCCUGAUCAAUUAUGACCGUGGCCUGUUAAUAAUGGAUGCAAUUCAAGCCAUACAUUUUUUUUCGGUCAUUAGCAAUUAAAUGUCUAAUUCAUACAUUUCUAAUAUUCUCAUAAUGAGCUCUAAUACUCUAUGAAAGUUGCCCGUUGAAUUCAUCUUCUAAUCUGAUUGAUCUGCCAAGGUCAACUUAAGAUUAUACCGAAUGCAUAAUAUAAAGAAAGAGGUCAAUUACCUGGCCUAUAGGCGGACUCAAGGUAUAUUCGGUGAGUUAGAAGAUGCCUUCAUCAUUUCUUUAAAAUAUUAUUAUGAUGUGCAUGUGAGGGUGUUAAGCGAAAAACGUUCCAUAUUUGGCAUAUAAUUCAGUAUUUUAUUUUAUUUUAAGUUGAGCUGAGCCUAACUAGAUAAUGUAUAUAUUGGUAGGUGUAGAUUUAAGGUCUCUCUUGAGGAUCUCCAUAGGUGAAGAUAUCGGAGUUAUAUUGUGCAUCUCAACAGGUGUUUUCUCAAAAUGAGAAUUUACAAUGUGACUCAUUGAUCAUGGUGGUAGAUGGUAUCCCUCGCUUCUUCCCAAGUUUAAUUGGGCAAAGGCGAUUGAGGUAGAGUCAGAAGGGCAAACAUUAGUCAUGCAACCAUUAGCCAAAACUAGUGAGGCAAGGUAGAGAUUCAAGUUGAGAAUGUUGGUAUGGAAGGAUAUUUAAAUUAAAGAGGAGCUAGCCUAAUGCAAAAGAGUCACGUGUGGAGAGAGAUUUGUUUAAGUGGAUGUGUGAAGGUUUUAGGUGUAAAAAGUUUCUCUUAUGCUUUCUUCCCUCAAAUACCAAAUCUUUCUUUCUCUCUUUUUUUCCUUCCCCCCCCCCCCCCACAAGGCAUGAUUCAUGUGACACUUGGUAUUCUUUUUCAUGUCUUAGUCAAUCUACUAGCUAAUCGGUUUAUUAAAUGUCCAUGUGCAUUACAAAAAACAAAUCUUAUUUAGUCAAUAGCUCAUAAAUAUUCACAAAUCGUACGACUUUAAUCAUAUAAUAUUUAGCUAAUUGUAUAGAUUAGCAAAUUUUAUUGAUCUAGCACAUUGUCCAAAUCUUUCACCAAGAAAAAACAAGGAUUAUUACCUUAAACCCACUUGUCAAAGAGAUAAUCUUUUCUUAGAGUGGAAAAAUCAUCCCUAACGUGUACUUGCGUUCCAUAGUUGAAAUGGAAGGAUUUACAUUGUUUUAUGUAUGUAUGUCAAACUUUGAUUAGCCAAUUUGGUCGAAACUCCAAAGGUGCGAUCAUUGUUUUAUGCGUAUACGUACAUCCAUCACACACAUAUAUGCAUGUGGGAAAUUGUUGUCAUGGCCAAAGGAAAAAAAAAAAAGUUGGAACGUGGAAGCUGUGUGAUAAAUUGUCACAUCAUCUCAAAGUAUCGAUACAACGUAAAUGGAUAAACAAAAAUUUAGAAACCGAGUUCGUAAAUACGAGAAAAAUCUUGCAAGCGCACAACUUUGCAUGAAAACAAAGGAAUUCACUCUCUAAAUGUAUUAUAAUUAAGGAUGAAAAAGCUUUUUGUUCUCCAGACAAGAAAUUUAUUCAUGAUAGAGAAAGUUGUAACCUUAAAAGGAUAAAAUAUCUAAUUCAUAUCUUUACCAAAAAAUAUAUAUAUAUAUAUCUAAUUCAUAUUGCAAAAUAGCAGCAAGUUGAAAUUUUUAUAUUAACCACCGGGGUUUGCCUCAAUAGCCACCCUUCUCACCUGAGAAGAGAGAUGUGGAGGGUUCAAAUCCUCAUUUUCUUGAAUAGGUUGGGCUGGGGACAAUUAACUUCAUGUAUAUAUUUUGACUCUCACGUCUUAUUAAGAGAUAUGAGAAAAGUAUGAGAGUGAGUUGAAAGUUAAAGUAGGACUAAUCGAAAAAAAUCUCUAUUUUGAAAAAAUGGAUGUCCUAAACUAACUAGCCAGUACUAAUUCUAAAAUCUUAUCUUCUUAAACACUCACAUGUAAGUCUUCAUCGAAUCUCAAUAUGUAUUCUUACAAAUUCGUGCGUUAUACAUAGCAUGAACUUUCAUGCUUGUCCCAAGCCUAAUGUGAGGUUAUAUAUUUACUUCUUAAUGAACAUAUCAUACCAAUUGACAAUAUUUCUACAAAAUCAUCCUUGGAAAAAUGGAGGUUACUCCAAUUAAUAGUCAACUUUCAUGUUGUAGUCAUACUCACAUGUUAUAUCUCGUCCCCAUUGCGAGGAGAUGUCUUCACUCCAUCACUCAAGCAAUCACAAGAAUUGACGAUACUUCUACAAAUUCGUCCUUUGGGAAAGGGGAGGUAAUUCUUUGCCACUGCGAAGAUUUUAAGAAAAGGAGCUAGCUUGGCAAAUGAACUCUCUUUCGGUGAAACAUGAAAAGAACACGAUAUAACAGUCAAAAUAAUAAUAAUCAUACGUAAUUCAGUUUGCAUCCUCGACUUUUGAAUUAUAGAUCUUGUACCCUGAGAUAAAAACGUAAGCAAUCAGGGGGUCUAAACAGCUAUGUAAAAUAGACAAGGCAAAGUUUGGGUUUUUUUUUCUUUUUUUAUGAGAAAAAAAUGUGCACAGUGCAGUAAUUUUGAUAUUAUUGAAAUAACUGGACGAAUACAAAUUAAUGGGAAAAUUAAGUAUCACUUUCGUAAUUCUAAGAUACUCUAUGGUACGAAUGAAUGAUAGAUUGAACAAUAAACGGAAAGAAUUUUACGCUUGGUGCAAGCAGCAAGAAAUUUAAGGUGAGUGCAAGAAAGAAAAUGGAACUAGAAAAUGGUUGAAAAUAAGCGUGACUCGGAUAUCAUACUAAAUGAUCCAGCUUAGAAAUCAGAAGGUUUAAUCAAGUGGUAAGCUUGUUCGUCCUUUUUUAUUCAGGACUUGAAUUUGAAUCGCUAUGUUUGCACAUUCUUCCAGGACCACUCCAAAGAACAUAGACCAACGUGUCUCGAAUAAUUACACACCCAAAAUAGGUGGUAUAAGAGGACUGUCACGCAUGGUAAGAAUAAGUUAGAUGUUCAAAACAUUCUGGACAUCCCAUUAAGUUCUGAAAAUAAUAAAGCACCAACAAUUAAAUGGUCGACAAGGCGAUGCAAAUUUUAACUAUCGUAAAAUAAAGAUUAAAUAGCGAAGUGAAUUACCACCCUAACAUAAAAAGGAUGAAUUCAUAAAAAAAAUUUCCUCCUCCGGCAAGAUCCUAAAUCUUCUCCGUUGGGAUGAUCCAAAGGAAUGGGGCAGAGUCGAUGUGGCCUUCCUUUGGGCUCAAGAUUCGAAAUUCAAGAAACUUAACUUUACUUAGGAAAAAAAAUCAAAUCGAUAUAGCCUCCAUCGUUUCGCAAAAAAAAAAAAAAAAUCAUUUUUCAAUAAAUAAUAGUAUUUUUUGGUAUUUGGCUGAAAUCUUAAAUGAAUUGGAAUAUAUUUUCCGUCGUUUGGUAGGAUAAUUAGAUUUUGAAGGAAAAUAUUACCCAAAAAAUCGAAUUUUUAAUUAUUUUUUCUCUCUUUUUUUUCCUUCUUCCUUGGCAAGUGGCCGACCAUGAUGAUGGCCACUAGCCACAAGCAAGAGACAAGCUCACUAGCCUUGGGUAAGCUUGUCCCUCAAUGAAGAAGGAAAAGGAAAAGAAAAAACAAAAAAAAAAAGAGAGCAAAAAAAUAAUUAAAAACAUGAUUUUUUAAAAAUAUUUUUAUAAGAAUGAAUAAUUCAUUAAUCAAGAACUCAAGCCCGAGCAGUGAGGACCCGCACAUGGCCUUUGUGGACCAGAGCUCGAGUAUGGAGGACUCGAGCAUCUCCCUUAUAGACUUAGGCAAAAGUGCCGAAGAAUCAAGCAUGGGCACUAGGGGUUUGGGCACAGCCUCAAUGGACCCGGGCAUGGGCCCAAGCCCAACCACCGGAGACCUAACGUUAGAGCUUUCAUGUCCAGGUAUAGAAUUUAUGGUCCAAACGCAAAUAUUUACUAGUUUUUCAAAGAGGGAAAUCAUUGUCCUAAAUUUAAGCACGGUUUUCCAUGGAUUAGGAGAAUGUUUUUUCUGAAAAUGUUUCCUGCAAAAGAAAGAAGGCCUUGAAAUUAGUUAAUCUUUCCACAAGUGGAAAUUAUAGCAUUCCUCGCAUAUCGAGUAAUAAUUGUCCUUGAACCAAAUAUAGUCCAGGCAUAGCAGAAAUCUAGAGGACGGACAUGUCUACUUUCAGAAUUAAUAACAUCAUGACUUUGUUUCGCUUUCAGUAUAUAGGAUUACGGAAAUCUAUCUUUAGAAAGAUAUGCGCCACCACUUGAACUAUUUUUAGGAUCACGUGGUAAGUAAUAGCACAUCAACAUAGUCGCAUGUAAGAUUUUCAAUUUUCAAUGCUUGACAACAUUAAGAACAACUCAAGCAAUCGCUUGUAAGCUGCACCUCACAUUUGACAGCGAAAUUGCAACGAUAAUCACGAUAUUAAGGUGCGGGCCAAAAGUUAUUGAAGAAUAUUACGAUUCAUGCAACAAAGAUUCUUGAUUAUAGGAUAUUUUCUUUUCUGGUCAAUUAGGCUAAAGCUCAAUAUGUGAAAAAUCACCCGAGGAACAAUCUAAAAUUCCCAAAAAGUCUCCAGAAUAUGUCUAAAAAUCGUGUGCAUCAAAUCAUCUACACUACAGAAAUAUAAUCUUUAUUCAAUUUUAAUCAAUUUGUAUUUCGAUGCUGUUUAUUGCGAUUAAAUUCAGGUAUCAACAUGAUGCGAUUACUCUAUGUAUUCUCAUGCGCAAUUGAAAUGGUCAAGUAAACACGCCCAAAGUCCACAUCUUGGACAGUAAUCUGCGGAGGGAUCAAAUCAAAGGAUGUACUACCUUACCCCAAACAAAUAAUUUUGCAAAAACCACGAGUGUCUUAUUACAAGCACAAUUACACAUGAAGACAAUAUACCAAAUCUCAUAUUCCCAAACACAACUAAACUUCACAUCACCCGAUCGACCAGCUUGAUUUAUUGGAUCAUCCCGAUACAUGGAAGUAUCAGAAAUCUCAAGCAUUAUAUAGCGAAACUUCAUAUACGAUAAUAGUCAUGCCAUGAUCCUUUCCUUCAUGCGCUUGCGAGGUGAGCAUCGAUAUCCUUGGUCAUAUCGAUGACCACGGCCAUGUACUUGUCGGGGCUAGGGUCACUCUCCUUGUACUUCUCGUACUCGAUGCUCAGCUUGGCCACACUGCCUUGCACUUUUGGGACGACUUUGCACCCCACCUUGUAGACCUUCCACGUGUCCAGGAUAUGGCCCUCGAUGCCGUGCAGGGUGAACGACAUGUUGUCAUCAUCGAACUCGACCUUCUCUUUGAACACUUCGGAUUUUCCUUCUAUAUAAUCGCACCAGCAAAAAUAUAAGGUUCGAGUUAGGCACGGCCGUCAAUUUAAUUUCAAUGACAACAUGGAAUAAAACUGAUAAUUAGACAGAUCAAAUUGAACCAAUUACCAACGGUGUAAUUCCAAGUCUUGAUAGCUCCAUGCUGAUCCCAGUCACCUUCAUGAACUUUGAUUCCUUGAAUGUUUUUGGAGGUGGCGGUGGGCAUUUUGUGGGUUUCACUCCUCCAAAUCUUGUAGAACUUGUCAGCUGGUGCUUUCAGUUCGACUUCAGCCACCAGUCUUCCCUGCAAAUUAGCCAUGUUGGCACAAAUAUUGAGACUUCAAAAUUCACCAAGUUCGUUAGAACACUGGCCUGCGUUGAGAAAAAAGUAGCGUUACUUGUUUCUUAUAUAGACUUUGGCGUUCAUUUUCGUCUCUACUUCAGGUCCCACACAUCAUGAUUCACAUGGUCCUUGAUAUGUUCAUCAAUUAUAUCUCCCUGUCAAAUUGUUAUUGGUUUAUAAAAUGUAUUUUGGACCAAUAAAAAGAUAUGACCGAGCGAUUACAGCUGUGGCCUGUCAAAUAAUUGAAGCAAUUCAAGACUUCUAUCUAUAUCGGUCAUCAGAAAUUAAAGGCCUAAUUCAUUCAUUUCUUAUUUUCUCAUAAUGAGUUCCAAUAUUCUAUGAAAGUUGCGAGUGGAAAUCAUCUUCUACUCUGAUUGAUCUGCCCAGGUAAACUUAAGAUUAUACCCGAUGCAUAAAAUAAUGAAAGAGGUAACUUACCUGGCCUACAGGUGGACUCUCAGGUGUAUUUGGUGAGUUAUAAGAUGCCUUCAUCAUUUCUCUAUAUUAUUAUGAUGAUGCGCAUGAGAGGGUGUUAAAGCCAAAAAAAGGUUUUAUAUUUGACAUAUAAUUCAUUAGUUUUAAUUUUUUAAGUGGAGAUGAGCCUAACUAGAUAAUAGAUGUAUUGAUAGGCGUAGAUUUGGGGUCUCUCUUGAUACAGGUGAAGAUAUCAGAGUUAUGUUGCACAUCUCAAUGAGUGUUUUCUCAAAAUAAGAAUUUACAAUGUGACUCUUUGAUCGUGGUGGUAGAUGGUAUCCCUUGCUUCUUGCCAAGUUUAAUUGGGCAAAAGCGAUUGAGGUAAAGUCAGAAGGACAAACGUUAUUCACGCAAAUUUGGCAAGGCCAAGGUAGAGAUUCGAGUUAAGAAUAUUGGUACAGAAGGACCUUUGAAUUAAGGAGGAGCUAGCCUAAGGAAGAGACUCAUGCUUGGAGGGAGAUUUGUUUAAGUGGAUGUGUGAAGGUAUUAGGUGAAAAAAGUCUCACUUCAGUUGAUAAGGUGUAAGAUGGAGCAAUUUAUUUGGCUCAAUAAAUAAUUGGUUUAAGCUUUUGAAGGUGCAGAUGAGUCUAACUAGAUAAAUUGAUAGGCUCAGAAUUGGGCUCUCUCAAGAUGUGGUGUAAAGUGAGCAAUUAAUUUAGCCGACUAACUCAUUGGUUCAAGUUUUCGGAGUGGAGAUUGAUAAUGCUAGUACGAGUACCUAGAGGGGGGGUGAAUAGGUUUAUAAAAUUUCUUGAAGAUUGCACAAUACUUAGACAGAUGAAUGAUUAAAGAAUCAAUCGUAAGACUGAGUAAAGGAAAGAGAGAAUUAAACACGAGGUUUAUAGUGGUUCGGCUUGAUUCAAGCAUACGUCCACUCUUCUGCACUGACAGCCGAUUGGCUGGAUUCCACUAUGAACAAAGAGAUGUUACAGUGUUGAUCUUCCUUGAUUUCUCGAUGUAGAUGAUCUACUACACUCGCUCAAGGUAUCACCAAGUAUAAACACUCUCUGUGUGUACAAUUUCGCUCGAACUGUAUCGACUAACAAUCAAGGUUCUUCAGACUCUGGAAUUUUUCUAUCGAUCACACACUUAAAACAACUACAACGUCUUCCUUUUAUACUCCUUUAUGUCAUCAUAGCCGUUGGCACUUACCAAAGGAAUUCCUCCAACCUACCCGUUGGUCGGAAUCAAUUAAGAAGAUCAUCCGAGCUAUUUAAGGAAUCUGAUGAUAGCCCAUCAAUCAUGUUCGCCCAUACAAUCAGGAUUUUGGUUUCCAAGAAUAGAACAUUCCAAGAAUGUUUCGUCGACCAUCGGAUCUUCUAUUGUUCUUAAAUGAGAAUCAAAAAAUCCGUAGUGAUUAUCCAACCAAGGGAUCUUUUCCAGAGGAUUGGAUCGAAUCCCCAACCAUAUACUUCGGCUUCGGAUAUCCUUCGCCACUGGAUUAAGAAGACUGUCGGUGAGAAUAAUCUUGAGUCUUGAGUCUUGAGUCUUGAGUCUUGAGAUUACAAAGUCUUGAGACUUUAACUAUCGAUAUCCAGACUAGACUGAUAGAAAGCAAUUAAUUUAGCCGACUAACUCAUUGGUUCAAGUUUUCGGAGUGGAGAUAAGUCUAAUUAGAAGUAUUGAUGGGUUUGGAGUUGGACUCUCUCUUCUCCAUCUCCCCAAGUGAAGGUAUUAAGCUGCUUCUUUUACACUCCUAACAAUUGUUACACAUUAAUAUACUAAAUAUACUAAGAUCAGUCUAUAAAGUUUUGUACACUAAGCGACAAGACGGAGUGUAAGUAAACAUAUAAUCAAGUUGAUCAUUGUCCAGACCCAAUAAAAAGCCUGUCAUGUCGUAUAGUAUACAAUUUUGUGUUAUUGUCUCAAUAUACUUAGCCACAAAAAAGUCGACCAUUGAUGCUUGACCGACCAUUUCAAGAAAAAAUUUCAACACAAGACUUAAUGGAGAGACCGUAUACUCCAAAUUGACCAUAAGAGGCCAUUCUACCCUCCACGCACAAUUGCCAAAAACACUGGUGGAUGGAUGCUUGCUUUAGUUGACCAACAUUUCCCGGAUAUAAGAGUUAACCAACAAUUGUAGCAAACUAGUUGAAGAUUGUUUGGUAGGCACUUGCAACCUUACCCUCUUGAUGAAGGAUCUGUGGUUCACAAUCUCCAUUACGGACGCGGUGCUCAUGUUUUUUGGCAUCCAUUUUGUUAUGUUUUGCUAUGAGAGGACAGGACAACUGCAUUUAAUUACGGUCUUGGAGUGGUGUCUUAUGAUCGAGUACUUUUUCUAUAUAAUGUGGCUGUUGAUUGGUUUUCAAUCGCGGCAAAUUGCUUGAUCCAAAUUAGGGUUCGAAGAAUUUUGAUAAUGGCUUGAUCUGUCUGAAUUAUGGUUUAUAUGUAGGGCAAAACAUAAAGACCAUGUUGUUUAGGAGGCACACUAGCUAGCCGCGUCAACUUGGGAAAUUAAUAAAAUAUUGUCAUGUCAAAUUUCCAGCAUCCAAAAUUGAAAUUGUUACUCAAGUGAUUCGACGAAACACAAGUGUCAUAACUUUCGUGCUAAAGUGAUAUACCUUUUGUUUCAACCAUUUGAAUCGAAAUAAAAAAAGAUGGUGGACUUUAAAUAACCAUAUUUUGCUUUUUGAAACCCCAAUCAAUCUUCAAGACACCAAAAAAAAAAAAAAAAAAUUAAGGGCUAAUCAACGGCCUUAGUCUUACCUGCAAUGUAUUCCAAAUCUUAUAUAAUAUCUUAGCUGGCGAUUUCAGCUCCAAUUCGCCAUGCAAUGUCAUUUUGCGUUUUCGAAACGAAGAGUUAACUAAAGUUCAAAAUAUGAACGCUCAUGUGCAAACAAGUUAGCAUGGAUACACUUCAUAUGUAUAGAUGAUGAAGGCCCCCGAUUGCCAUUAUUUAUGUUUCUACAGGGCCGUGCAAGGCAUGAUUCAUGUGAUCCUUGGUAUUCGUUUUCAUGUUUUAGUCAACCUUCUAACUAAUCGGUUUAUUAAAUGAGCAUGCGCAUUGCCAAAAAAAAAAAAAUCUUAUUUAAUUAAUAGCUCGUCAAUUUUCACAAAUCGCACGACUUUAAUCAUAUACUAAUUUAGCCAAUUGUAUAGAUUCGCAAAUCUUAUGGAUCUAGCACAUUGUCCAUAUCUUUCGCCAAGAAAAAAUGAGUCCUACCCUAAACCCACCUGUCAAAGAGACAAUCUUUUCCUAGAGUGCUAAGAUCAUUCCUAUCGUGUGCUUGUGGUCCAUAGUUGAAAUGGGAUUUACAUUGUUUCAUUUAUGUAUGUCAAAAUGCGAUUAGCCGAUUUGGUCAAAACUCCAAAGGUGCGAUCAUUGUUUCGUGUCUAUAUGUACAUGCAUGACACACAUAUAUGCAUGUGUGAAAUUGUUGUCACCGCCAAAGAAAAAAAAGGCUAGAAUGUGAAGACUACGUGAUCAUUGUCAUAUCAUCUCAAAUUAUCUAUACAACAGAAAUGGAUGAACCGAAAUAUAGAAACUAAAGUCCGCAAAUACGAGAACAAUCUUGCGAACGCACAACUUUGCAUGAAAACAAAGGAAUUCUCUCUCUCUCUCUCUCUCUCUCUCUAAAUGUAUUCUGAUCAAUAAUGAAAAAGCUUUUUGUUCUCCUAACGAGAAACUUAUUUGUGAUAGAGAAAAAUGUAAUCUAAAAAUUAUAAAAAUAUCUAAUUCAUAUCACAAAAUAACAGCAAGUUCAAAAUAUAUAUAUCUUUAAAAAAGGAUUUCCUGAAUUAACUAAACUAAUAAUUCUAAAAGCUUAUCUUCUUGAACACUCAUGUAGGUCUUCAUCAAAUCAUAAUGUAUGUUCUUACAAAUUUGUGCAUUGUAAAUUGAAUGAAUUGUUUAUUGAAGACAGCAUUGCUCUUUAAUUGAUAUGAUGAAGAUAUCAUCGAAAUGAUAUAUUUGAUAUGAUUGCCCUUGAUUGAUUUAUUGGGAUAUUGUACAUGGAAAAUUGAUUUUUCCGACAAAAUCAUCCUUGAAAAAUGGAGGUACUCCAAUUAAUAGUCAACUUUCAUGUUGUAGUCAUACUCACAUGUUAUAACUCAACCCCAAUAAGAGGAGACGUCUGCACUCCAUCACUCAGGCUAUCACAAGAAUUGACAAUACUUCUACAAAUUCGCCCUCCGGGAAAAGGGAGGGACUUCCUUGCCACUGCGAGGAUUUUAAGAAAGGGAGCUAGCUUGGCAAAUGAACUCUCUUUCCGUGGAACAUGAAAAGAACACGAUAUAACCGUCGAAACAAUAAUAAUCAUCCAUAAUUCAGCUUGCAUCCUCGACUUUUGAAAUAUACAUCUAGUACCCUGAGAUAAAGACGUACGCAAUCAUGGGGGUCUAAACAGCUGUGUAAAAUAGACAAGGCAAAGUUUGGUUUUUUUAUGAGGAAAAAAAAAAACAAGGUACAAAGCACAUUAAUUUUGACAUUAUUGAAACUACUGGAUGAAAAAAAAUAAUAAUGGAAAAAUGAAGGAUCACUUUCGUAACGCUAAGAUACUAUAUGGCACGUAUGAAUGAUAGAUUGAACAAUGAACGGAAAGAAUUUUACGCUAGGCACAAACAGCAAGAAAUUCAAGGUGAGUGCAAGAAAGAAAAUGAACUAGGAAAUGGUUGAAAAUAAGCAUGACUCGGAUAUCAUACAUACUAAAUGAUCCAACAUAGAAAUCGGAAGGUUUAUUCAAAUGGUAAUCAUGUUCGUCCUUCUUACUCAGGACUUGAAUUUGAAUCGCUAUACUUGCACAUUCUUCUAGGACCACUCCAAAGAACAUAGACCAAUGUGUCUCGAAUAAUUACACACCCAAAAUUUGUGGUAUAAGAGGACCGUUGCGCAUGAUAAGAAUAAGUUAGAAGUUCAAAACAUUCCAGACAUCCCAUUGAAUUCUGAAAAUAAUGGAACCCUAACACUUAAAUGGUCAACAAGGCGAUGCAAAUUUUAUCUAUCGUAAAAUGAAGAUUAAAUAGCUAAGUGAAUUACCAACCUAACAAAAAAGGAUGAAUGCAUAAAACAUUUCCCUCCUUCGGCAAGAUCCUAAAUGUUCUUUUGUUGGGUGAUCCAAAAGAACGGGGUAGAGUCGAUGUGGCCUUCCUUCCGGCUCAAGAUUCGGCUUAGUCCUAGAAAAAAUAAAUUCAAGAAAUUUAACUUUACUUAAGAAAAAAAUUAAAUCAAUUUAGUAUGGGUUCGUUUCAUGGAAAAUGUGACGUUUUUAGAAAAUAUUUUUCAAAAAGUCAUUUUUUAAGAAAAUGAUAAUAUUCUCAGAUGUUCAGCUAAAAUCUGAAAUGAACUAAAAAAAAAUAUUUUUUACCGUUUGAUAGGAUAAUUAGAUUUUCAAGGGAAAAAUUACCAAAAAAAAUCAAUUUUUUUAAUUUUCUUUUCUUUUCCUUCUUUUUAUUUUUCCUUCUUCCUCAGCCAGUGACCAACCGCUAGGCGUCGGCCAUCAUUGCGGCCGACCACUACUCGAGGAAGAAGGAAAAAAGAAAAGAAAAACGAGAAAAAGACAAAAGAUAAAUAAUUAAAAACUUGAUUUGUUUAAAUAUUUUUAUAAGAACGAAUAAUCCAUUAGUCAAGGACUUGAGCUCAAGUAUCGAGGACUUGCAUAUGACCUUUGUGGACUAGAGCUCAAGCAUCGAGGAUCCGAGUAUGUCCUUCAUGGGCUCCAGCCUAGGUGCCGAAGAAUCGAACAUGGGCACCAGGGGUUUGGGCACAGCCUCAAUGACCCCGGUGUGAACCCAAGCCCUAUCACUAGAGACCUUAUGUUAGAACUUUUGUGCUCAAGCGUAGAAUUUUCAAUUUAAAUGCAGAUAUUCAGUCAUAUUUUGGAAAAUAUUUUUCAUUUUUUCAAAGGAGACAAUCAUUUUUUCUAAAUUUAAGUGUAGUUUUCCAUUGACUAGGAAAAUAUUUUCCCGAAAAAAUGUUCCCUGCAAAACAAACAGAGCCUUGGAAGUGGUUCAUCUUUUACGAGUGGAAAUUAUAGCAUCCCUUGCAAAUUGAGUAAUAACUGUCCUUGAACCAAAUAUAAUCUAAGCAUGGCAAAAUUCUAAAGGACAGGGACAUGUCUGCUUUCAGUAUUAAUAAGAUCAUGGCAAUUAGAUUUCGCUUUGAGGAAAUAGGGUUACGGAAAUCUAUCUCUAGAAAGAUAUGCGCCACCACUAAAACUAUCUUUUGGAUCACUUAUUUAACCGUGGUAAAGUCAUAGCAUAUCAUCAUAGUCGCAUGUAAGGUUUUCAAUUUUUAAUGCUUGACAACAUUUUGAACAACUCUAACAAUCGCCAAUAAGCUGCACCUCAUAUUCGACAGCGGAAUUUUUAACCAUAGUCACAAUAUUAAGGUGCAGGCGAAAAGUUAUUGAAGAAAAUUAGGAUUCAUGCUACAUAGAUUCUUGAUUAUAGGAUAUUUUCUUUUCUGGCCAGUUAAGCUAAAGCUCAAUACAUGAAAAAUCACGCGAGGAACAAUCUAAAAUUCCUAAGAAGUCACCUGAAAUACGUCUAAAAAUCGUGUGCAUCAAAUCAACUACUCUACAGAAAUAUAAUCUUUAUUCAAUCUUAAUUAAGUUGUGUUUCGAUGUUGUUUAUUGUGAUUAGGUAUUGUCACGGUGCGAUUUUAUAUUCUUAUGCGCAAUUGAAAUGGUCAAGUAAACGCGCCCACAGUCCAAAUCUUGAACGGUAAUCUGUGGAGGGAUCAAAUCAAAGAAUGUGCUAGCUUCCCCCAAACAAAUCAUUUUGCAAAAACCACAAGCGCGUUUUAUUACAAACACAAUACCACAUGAACACAAUACACGAAAUCUCAUAUUUCCAAACCCAACUAAACUUCAGAUCACCUGAUCAACCAGCUUGAUUUAUUGGAUCAUCGCCAUACGUGGAAGUAUCAGAAAUCUCAAGCAUUAUAUAGCGCUACUUCAUAUCCGAUAAUAGUCGUGACAUGAUCUUUUCCUUCAUGCGCUUGCAAUGUGAGCAUCGAUAUCCUUGGUCAUAUCGACGAGCACAGCCAUGUACUUGUCGGGGCUAGGGUCACUCUCCUUGUACUUCUCGUACUCCAUGCUCAGCUUGGCCACACUGCCUUGCCCCUUUGGGACGACUUUGCAAGCCGCUUUGAAGACCUUCCACGUGUCAAAGAUGUGGCCCUCGAUGCCAUGGAGGGUGAAUGACAUGUUGUCGUCAUCGAACUCGACCUUCUCUUUGAACACUUCGGAUUUUCCUUCUAUACAAUUACACCGGCAAAAAUAGAAGGGUUAAGUUAGAGACUGCUGUCAAUUUAAUUUAAGUGACAACAUGGAAUAAAAUUGAUAAUUAGAGAGAUCAGAUUGAACCAAUUACCAACGGUGUAAUUCCAAAUCUUGAUAGCUCCAUGUUGAUCCCAGUCACCUUCGUGAACUUUAAUUCCUUGAAUGUUUUUGGAGGUGGCGGUGGGCAUUUUGUGGGUUUCGCUCCUCCAAAUCUUGUAGAACUUGUCAGCUGGUGCUUUCAGUUCGACUUCAGCCUCCAGUUUUCCCUGCAAAUUAGCCAUGUUGGCACAAAUAUUGGAACUCCAAAAUCCACCAAAUUCGUUAGAAAACUGGCUUGCGUUGAGAAAAAAGAAGUGUGACUCGUUUCUUAUAUAGACUUUGUUGUUCAUCUUCGUCUCUACUUCAGGUCCCACGCAUCAUGAUUCACGUGGUCCUCGAUAUGUUUACUAAUUAUAUCUACUUGUCAAAUCGUUAUUGGCAAUUACUUUAUAAAAUGUAUUUUGGACAAAUAAAAAGAUAUGGCAGAGCCAUUACAGCUGUGGCCUGUUAAAAGUCUUGAAGCAAUUCAAGACUUUUAUUUAUUUCGGUCAUUAGCAAUUUUAUGCCUAAUUCAUUCAUUUCUUAUUUUCUCAUAAUGAGCUCUAAUAUUCUAUGAAAGUUGCGAGUGGAAAUCAUCUUCUAAUCUGAUUGAUUUGCCAAGGUCAAGUCAAGAUUAGACUCAAUGCAUAAAUAAUGUUAUAGAUAAAUUAUCUGGCCUAUAGGUGGACUGAAGGUAUCUUUGAUGCAUUAUAACAUGUGCUCAUCGUUGCUCUAUAUAUUGUUGUGAUGCACAUUUUAGAGUGUUAAACAAAAAAGGCUCCAUAUUUGGCAUAUUGUUGAUUGGUUUAAAUUUUAAAGUGGAGCUGAGUCUACCCAAAUGAUAGACAUAUUGAUGACUGUAUAUUUGAGGUCUCUCAUGAUGAUCUCCAUAAGUAAAGAUAUUAGAGUUUUGUUGCAUAUCUCAACAGGUGUUACCUUAGUCAAUGGUUGAUAGGAUCGAUUUAUAGUGAAUAUCUCAAAAUAAGAAUUUGCAAUGUGACUCUUCGAUCUAGGCAAUAGAUGGCGUUCCUUACUUCUUGUCAAGUUUGUCUUGGCAAAGGCGAUUGAGGUAGAGUUAAAAGGGCAAAUGUUAUUCAAGCAAACAUUAGUCAAACUUGGCAUGGCCAAGGUAGAGAUUCAAGCUAAGAAUGUCAAUGUAGAAGGACACUUGAAUUAAGAGGGAGCUAGCCUAAUGGAAUAGGCUCACAUGUUGGGGGUGAUCUAUUUAAGUGCAUGUGUGAAGGUAUUAGGUAAAAAAAAUUCCACCUCAAUGAUGUGGUGGAAGGUGGAGCAAUUAAUUUGGUCCACCUCAAUCAUUUAUUUAAGCUUUUGGAGUGGAUGUGGGUUUUACUAUAGGCUUCGAGUUGGGCUCUUGCAAGACCUAGCGUAAGGUGGAGCAAUUAGUUUAGCCAAAUAACUCCAUGAUUCAAGUUUUCAAUGCAGAGAUGAGUCUAACUAAAUAUAUUGAUGGACUCAAAGUUAUCNNNNNNNNNNNNNNNNNNNNNNNNNNNNNNNNNNNNNNNNNNNNNNNNNNNNNNNNNNNNNNNNNNNNNNNNNNNNNNNNNNNNNNNNNNNNNNNNNNNNNNNNNNNNNNNNNNNNNNNNNNNNNNNNNNNNNNNNNNNNNNNNNNNNNNNNNNNNNNNNNNNNNNNNNNNNNNNNNNNNNNNNNNNNNNNNNNNNNNNNNNNNNNNNNNNNNNNNNNNNNNNNNNNNNNNNNNNNNNNNNNNNNNNNNNNNNNNNNNNNNNNNNNNNNNNNNNNNNNNNNNNNNNNNNNNNNNNNNNNNNNNNNNNNNNNNNNNNNNNNNNNNNNNNNNNNNNNNNNNNNNNNNNNNNNNNNNNNNNNNNNNNNNNNNNNNNNNNNNNNNNNNNNNNNNNNNNNNNNNNNNNNNNNNNNNNNNNNNNNNNNNNNNNNNNNNNNNNNNNNNNNNNNNNNNNNNNNNNNNNNNNNNNNNNNNNNNNNNNNNNNNNNNNNNNNNNNNNNNNNNNNNNNNNNNNNNNNNNNNNNNNNNNNNNNNNNNNNNNNNNNNNNNNNNNNNNNNNNNNNNNNNNNNNNNNNNNNNNNNNNNNNNNNNNNNNNNNNNNNNNNNNNNNNNNNNNNNNNNNNNNNNNNNNNNNNNNNNNNNNNNNNNNNNNNNNNNNNNNNNNNNNNNNNNNNNNNNNNNNNNNNNNNNNNNNNNNNNNNNNNNNNNNNNNNNNNNNNNNNNNNNNNNNNNNNNNNNNNNNNNNNNNNNNNNNNNNNNNNNNNNNNNNNNNNNNNNNNNNNNNNNNNNNNNNNNNNNNNNNNNNNNNNNNNNNNNNNNNNNNNNNNNNNNNNNNNNNNNNNNNNNNNNNNNNNNNNNNNNNNNNNNNNNNNNNNNNNNNNNNNNNNNNNNNNNNNNNNNNNNNNNNNNNNNNNNNNNNNNNNNNNNNNNNNNNNNNNNNNNNNNNNNNNNNNNNNNNNNNNNNNNNNNNNNNNNNNNNNNNNNNNNNNNNNNNNNNNNNNNNNNNNNNNNNNNNNNNNNNNNNNNNNNNNNNNNNNNNNNNNNNNNNNNNNNNNNNNNNNNNNNNNNNNNNNNNNNNNNNNNNNNNNNNNNNNNNNNNNNNNNNNNNNNNNNNNNNNNNNNNNNNNNNNNNNNNNNNNNNNNNNNNNNNNNNNNNNNNNNNNNNNNNNNNNNNNNNNNNNNNNNNNNNNNNNNNNNNNNNNNNNNNNNNNNNNNNNNNNNNNNNNNNNNNNNNNNNNNNNNNNNNNNNNNNNNNNNNNNNNNNNNNNNNNNNNNNNNNNNNNNNNNNNNNNNNNNNNNNNNNNNNNNNNNNNNNNNNNNNNNNNNNNNNNNNNNNNNNNNNNNNNNNNNNNNNNNNNNNNNNNNNNNNNNNNNNNNNNNNNNNNNNNNNNNNNNNNNNNNNNNNNNNNNNNNNNNNNNNNNNNNNNNNNNNNNNNNNNNNNNNNNNNNNNNNNNNNNNNNNNNNNNNNNNNNNNNNNNNNNNNNNNNNNNNNNNNNNNNNNNNNNNNNNNNNNNNNNNNNNNNNNNNNNNNNNNNNNNNNNNNNNNNNNNNNNNNNNNNNNNNNNNNNNNNNNNNNNNNNNNNNNNNNNNNNNNNNNNNNNNNNNNNNNNNNNNNNNNNNNNNNNNNNNNNNNNNNNNNNNNNNNNNNNNNNNNNNNNNNNNNNNNNNNNNNNNNNNNNNNNNNNNNNNNNNNNNNNNNNNNNNNNNNNNNNNNNNNNNNNNNNNNNNNNNNNNNNNNNNNNNNNNNNNNNNNNNNNNNNNNNNNNNNNNNNNNNNNNNNNNNNNNNNNNNNNNNNNNNNNNNNNNNNNNNNNNNNNNNNNNNNNNNNNNNNNNNNNNNNNNNNNNNNNNNNNNNNNNNNNNNNNNNNNNNNNNNNNNNNNNNNNNNNNNNNNNNNNNNNNNNNNNNNNNNNNNNNNNNNNNNNNNNNNNNNNNNNNNNNNNNNNNNNNNNNNNNNNNNNNNNNNNNNNNNNNNNNNNNNNNNNNNNNNNNNNNNNNNNNNNNNNNNNNNNNNNNNNNNNNNNNNNNNNNNNNNNNNNNNNNNNNNNNNNAAAUAUGGGUAUAAAAUGUGGGAUCACAAAAAUAAAUAACAUUCUCCCACUUGAUCCCAUCUAAUUCCACAAAAACUUUACGCUUAAAGAAAAGAAACAAAACACAUGGAUCAUGGCGACAUGUCCUCUAAGAGUGAGUAAUAUCUUCCAUAUAUCACAAUGCAUCUUAUUUCUUUAAUGUCAGCCUAUAUGUGACAACAUAUCUUAAUGAAUAAACCCCAUGUUUAUUCCAGAACCAAGGAUAAAUGUUAUUCUCAUAAACAACAAAAUGUGUACACAAAAAUUGAGAAUCAAUAUUACAAUUGAACAAGAGUUUCAUACAACAAAAAUCGUUCAUAUGACGACAAAUUACAUGAUGGGACCUAUUCCCAUACUAGUUACAUGAUCCUUAUACUUCAUUGGUGGCAUGCCUUUAGUUAAAGGAUCGGCUAUCAUCAAUUCAGUGCUAACGUGUUCAAUGACCACUUUAUUCUCCUUAACACGUUCCCUUAUGGCUAAAUACUUAAUAUUGAUAUACUUACUUCGACUGCCACUUUUGGCAUUUUUAGCCAUAAAAACCGCAGCUGAAUUGUCACAAUAUAUUCUUAAUGGCCUAGAAAUUGAAUCAAUAAUUCUAAGCCUAGCAAUGAAAUUCUUCAACCAUACACCAUGCGAGGUAGCCUUAAAACAAGAAACGAACUCAGCCUCCACAGUGGAAGUAGCAGUCAAAGUCUGCUUGGCACUUCUCCAUGACACGGCUCCGCCAGCUAACAUGAAAAUGGUAUCCAAAUGUUGAUUUUCGUGAAUCAACACAACCCGCGAAGUCCGAAUCUGAAUAACCGAGCACUUCCAGGUUGUCAGUCCGUCUAUACAUAAGCAUAUAGUCUUUGGUACCUUGAAGGUAUCUCAUCACUUUCUUUGCAGCCCUCCAGUGGUCUAAACCUGGAUUACUCUGAUACCUUCCCAACAUUCCCACAGCAAAAGCGAUGUCAGGUCGAGUGCAAACCUGAGCAUAUAUCAAGCUUCCAACAGCAAAAGCAUAUGGAAUGUUGUUCAUUUGUUCCCUUUCUAGAUCGUUCUUCGGGCAUUGGUUCAAAUUGUACUUGUCACCCUUCACAAUGGGUGCUAUACUUGGUGAACAAUCUUUCAUCCGAAAUCUCUCUAGGACCUUAUUGAUAUAGGUUUCUUGAGAUAGUCCUAAAAUGCCUCGAGGUCUAUCUCUAUGGAUCUUAAUGCCCAUGACAUAAGAUGCCUCACCCAUAUNNNNNNNNNNNNNNNNNNNNNNNNNNNNNNNNNNNNNNNNNNNNNNNNNNNNNNNNNNNNNNNNNNNNNNNNNNNNNNNNNNNNNNNNNNNNNNNNNNNNGGCUUUGAGAGCUUUUCGAGACUUUUCAGCUUUCCCUCUUUUUUUUUCAAGGAGAGGACAAUUUGGUCUGAUUGUCCCUUUUUCUUACAUUCGAAACAAACUACAUCUUUGUUUGGUUCCUCAUUAUCAACAAACUUGGUUUGCUGUUUCUGAAGACUUUGUUUCCUUGAGUUGAACCUUCUCCCUUUUCUAUUCAGCUUUCUGAACCUUUUAAUCAUAAGAGCAAACUCCUCAUCGUCCAGAUCUUCUUCAGAGUCUGUAUUAUCAGAAUCAUCGUUAGAUUUUAAUGCAAUGGAUUUCUUACCUCUUGGAUCUUCGUCUUCAUUAAUUCGUUCCACUUCAUAAGACUGAAGAGUUCCAAUCAGCUCGUCUACAGAUAAUGGCAUAAUUCUUUGCGUCUCUCUUAUUGAAGUCUUUAUAUGAUUCCAAUCCUUGGAGAGUCCACGCAGUAGCUUGUUCACCUUCAUAGGAUCAGAAAUUUUCUGUCCUUGAUUCUCAAGACCAUUGACAAUAUCUGUAAAACGGCUAAACAUGUCAGUUAUAGAUUCUCCUUGUUUCAUUUUGAAGGCUUCAUAUUGACCAAGGAGAAUGUUAAUUCUGGUCUCCUUCACUCGGUCUGUCCCUUCAUAAGUGAUAUGUAAUCUGUCCCAGACUUCUUUUGCUGUAUCACAAGAAGAUAUUCUGUUAUAUUCAGUUGGUGAUAAAGCACAAUAUAAAGAGUAAAUUGCUUUUGCAUCGAGUGCUUGUCUCUUGUUUAUCUCUUCUUGAGACAUUCCGCUGGUUUCAACAAUUUCUUUCCCUCUUUCGGAUGCUGAUGCAGCAGUAGGAGUAAUUCCUCUUUCCACCACAUCCCAUUCCAGAGGAUCCUUUGAUCGUAGAAAAGCUUUCAUCUUGUUUUUCCAGAUGUUGUAAUCCUUUCCAUCAAAGUAGGGAGGUCUGGUAUUGCUUUGCCCUUCCACCAGCCCUGGUGCUAGCAUACUGGCCAUGGAUCUUUUACUCUGAAGUAAAACACUUCAAAUAAAGUAAGAACACAGGCUCUGAUACCAAUUGAUAAUGCUAGUACGAGUACCUAGAGGGGGGGUGAAUAGGUUUAUAAAAUUUCUUGAAGAUUGCACAAUACUUAGACAGAUGAAUGAUUAAAGAAUCAAUCGUAAGACUGAGUAAAGGAAAGAGAGAAUUAAACACGAGGUUUAUAGUGGUUCAGCUUGAUUCAAGCCUACGUCCACUCUUCUGCACUGACAGCCGAUUGGCUGGAUUCCACUAUGAACAAAGAGAUGUUACAGUGUUGAUCUUCCUUGAUUUCUCGAUGUAGAUGAUCUACUACACUCGCUCAAGGUAUCACCAAGUAUAAACACUCUCUGUGUGUACAAUUUCGCUCGAACUGUAUCGACUAACAAUCAAGGUUCUUCAGACUCUGGAAUUUUUCUAUCGAUCACACACUUAAAACAACUACAACGUUUUCCUUUUAUACUCCUUUAUGCCAUCAUAGCCGUUGGCACUUACCAAAGGAAUUCCUCCAACCUACCCGUUGGUCGGAAUCAAUUAAGAAGAUCAUCCGAGCUAUUUAAGGAAUCUGAUGAUAGCCCAUCAAUCAUGUUCGCCCAUACAAUCAGGAUUUUGGUUUCCAAGAAUAGAACAUUCCAAGAAUGUUUCGUCGACCAUCGGAUCUUCUAUUGUUCUUAAAUGAGAAUCAAAAAAUCCGUAGUGAUUAUCCAACCAAGGGAUCUUUUCCAGAGGAUUGGAUCGAAUCCCCAACCAUAUACUUCGGCUUCGGAUAUCCUUCGCCACUGGAUUAAGAAGACUGUCAGUGAGAAUAAUCUUGAGUCUUGAGUCUUGAGUCUUGAGUCUUGAGUCUUGAGAUUACAAAGUCUUGAGACUUUAAUUAUCGAUAUCCAGACUAGACUGAUAGAAAUGUUUUGUCAGUUUCAAAAUAUUCUGGAAAGAUUUCUCCAACAGAGAUAAGUCUAAUUAGAAGUACUGAUGGGUUUGGAGUUGGACUCUCUUCUCCAUCUCCCCAAAUGAAGGUAUUAAGCUGCUUUUUUUACACUCCUAACAAUUGUUACACACUAAUAUACUAAAUAUACUAAGAUCAGUCUACAAAGUUUUGUACACUAAGUGACAAGACGGAGUGUAAGUAAACAUUUAAUCAAGUUGAUCAUUGUCCAGACCCAAUAAAAAGCCUGUCAUGUCGUAUAGUAUACAAUUUUGUGUUAUUGUCUCAAUAUACUUAGCCACAAAAAAGUCGACCAUUGAUGCUUGACAGACCAUUUCAAGAAAAAAUUUCAACACAAGACUUAAUAGAGAGACCGUAUACUCCAAAUUGACCAUAAGAGGCCAUUCUACCCUCCACGCACAAUUGCCAAAAACAUUGGUGGAUGGAUGCUUGCUUUAGUUGACCAACAUUUCCCGGAUAUAAGAGUUAACCAUCAAUUGUAGCAAACUAGUUGAAGAUUGUUUGGUAGGCAGUUGCAACCUUACCCUCUUGAUGAAGGAUCUGUGGUUCACAAUCUCCAUUAUGGACGCGGUGCUUUUGGCAUCCAUUUUGUUAUGUUUUGCUAUGAGGGGACAGGACAACUGCAUUUAAUUACGGUCUUGGAGUGGUGUCUUAUGAUCGAGUACUUUUUCUAUAUAAUGUGGUUGUUGAUUGGUUUUCAAUCGUGGCAAAUUGCUUGAUCCGAAUUAGGGUUCGAAGAAUUUUGAUAAUGGCUUGAUCUGUCUGAAUUAUGGUUUAUGUUGGGAAUAACGGAUCCCCGAAAAACGAAUUCGACACUAAAUCGAACCCCUAAACCAAUGCGGAAGACGAAGCCCGGGAAAACAUGUAUCACCGAUCGUAAAGCACACCAUGGAGUCGAGCGUACCUUGUUAGCCACAGAUUAGACACCGACGCCGAUAAGAGGAAGAGAUUUGGCCCUGUUUGAUCCGAUGACACCUUAAAGGGAAGAAGAAAAUGCCGUAUGCCUUACUGUUUCUUCUUUUUUCUUUUUGAGAGAGAAUGCGCAGGAGAGGAGAAAAACGUACGUCAAUUCUGCCAAAAGGUAUCUUCUCUCUCUCUCUCCUCCCUUUUAUACCUUCCCCCAUCCACGGGCCCUAUUUCCGUGGGCCGGGUCUUUUGGGCCCAACACAAGCGGACGGACCUUAAACCCAUCACCAAUUAAAACCAUCAUCUCCCACUCGCACAUUGUGGGCUGAACAGGAUUCUCUUUACCUCUCUUUAACAUUCAUACCGGUGAAUAAUCCGUGCGACAAGCAUACUUUGAGAGCUUGUUGCCAUACAUAUGUUACGAAUAUAUAGAAGCUUAUAAUGGGCAUCACACUCCGAGUAGAUUUAGUAUGCAGUACCAUAGAUCGAUCGAUCACAUUUAUAUCUCUCUUGAUCUCUUUCUAAUAAUGAUAUAUAUAUAUAUAUAUAUAUAUAUAUAUAUUGUAUUCACAAUUAUGAUUAUCACAAAGACAGUUAUAAUUGAUUAACCGGUGAAUACAAAACUACAAUGUAAUUCUCCAAAUUCGAUCUUCCUCUUCCCUUCAAACUCUCAAUUUCAGUUCAGCUUGCUUUUCUAAAAAUGCCCCAUUAGAUCGAAUCAAACUCAUGACCAUUGGCAACAUCCUAAGAUAGCAAACACUAAAUAGAAAUUUUGAAAAUAAGUAAGAGUCAUGAGGGGACUAAAAAAUUGAGGAACUCUUUUCCUCAAGAGUCUCACACGACAUAAAAGUUGAGAUCAAACUUUUGCCACUCUUAUUGGUCGUCUCAUGUAUACGUAGUAUGAAGUACAUAUUACGGUAACAACUCCUUUCCCAUGGAGCGUAUGUCUACACCUUCAAUACCGUACAUAUGAUAAUUCAGACAUACCCAAUGUCUAACUUGAGUUCACGUAUCUACUCAUUCACAAAAUUCAUCAGAACUCACAUCUGGCAUCAUAGACAGAUAAAGUAAAAUAUGUGGGGUAUUUUACUUUCGGACAUAGUAAGUAUUAUGUCCUCAUCUUAACACCUAGUUAAGGCGACAUACGUAUUUUAAGCUUGAGCUCUCGAUUAUCACCUAGAUAAUAAGCUUAAAAACAGUCUCACCUCUCUUUAUCACACAGUAAAUAGAGGCGAUUACCCAUGUGAGUGGGCUAAUCUUAUAUCUGUCCAACAUACUUUCUCAACUUAAAAUAAUACACUUAGUAUUAAGAUGCAUAAAGAUCAAACAAAGAUACAUAGGCAUUAAUGAUGAAAAACACAAAUUCAUCAAAUGUGAACACUUCAGGGAAAUUACAAUCCAGUACAUCAGACUCUACGCAAUCCUAGAGAUUUCAUAUGGCCACAAAACACAUCUCUAGGUAUUGGCUUUGUCAUAGGAUCUGCUACCAUUCUAUGCGUAGUAUUGGCUUUUUCAUAUGUACUCUAAGUUCACAUCUUUUCGUGCAAUCAUAUCAUUGAAAAAAGUAUACUUGGUAUAUUUAUAUUUGGUCUUGUCAUGAUAUUUUGGAUCUUUGGCGUACGCUUUUGCUGCUUGGCUAUCACAGUUAACCAACAAUGAAUCUGCAGCACUUCAAAUAACACCUAAAUGAUCCAAUAAUCUCUUAAGCCAAACAUCUUCUUUUAUUGCUGCUGAUAAUGCCACGAACUCAAUUUCCAUCAUGGACAAGGCUAUACACUUUUGUUUCUUACUGCUCCAACAUAUGGUGCCAUUAUUUGGUAAGAAAACAAAUCAAGAGGUAGAUUUUCUUUCAUUUAAAUCUCCUCUCUAAUCAGCAUCAGAAUAGCUUUUGAGUUGCAGAUCCUUUCCAUAAUAAUUCAACGUAUAAUCAGCAGUCUCCUUUAGAUACCUUAGUAUUCUUUUAACGGCUUUCCGACGUACUUGACCUGGAUUGGAUUGGUAUCUUCUCACCAUUCCAACUACAUAACAUAUGUCAGGUCUUGUACACAUCAUAUCGUACAUCAAGCUCCCAACAGUACUAGCAUAAGAAACAUGUUUCAUUUGUUCCUUCUCUUGUGGAGUCCUUGGACACAGUCUAUGGCUUAAUCCUUCACCUUUUGCAAUAGGAGUGUCAAUGGGUUUACAAUCCCAUAUCCUUCAAUUCAAAAUUGGAAGACAACCAACUUUUGACAGUAUUGACAAACUCCAUAUUACUUCCAGCAAUUAGUAUAUCAUCAACAUAUAAUGAUAUGAUCACAAAUUGAUCAUUGGAUCUUUUGAUAUAUACACAAUGAUCAUCAUCUAUCAUUAUAAAGUCAUAUGCCAUUAUGGCAUUAUGAGAACAUAUAUACCAUUAUCUUGACGACUGCUUAAGGCCAUAUAUUGACACCCAAAGUCGACAUACCUUUUCUUCUUGGCCUUUCACUAUGAAACCAGCAGGUUGUUCCAUAUAUGUUCCUUCCUCUAAUUCUCCAUUAAGGGAAGCAGUUUUUACAUCCAUUUAAUGUAACUCAAGAUCCAUACUAGCCACUAUUGCCAGAAUAAUACAAAUCGAGGUAAAUCUCACUACAGGAGAAAAUGUAUCUUCAUAAUCAAUUCCUUCCUGUUGAUUAUACCCCUUCGCCACAAGGCGAGCCUUAUGCCUUUCUAUCGAGCCAUCAGCUUUUCGCUUUAUUUUGAGAACCCACUUGUUCCCAAUAGCUCUGCGUCCCUUUUGGAAGAUCAACCAGUUCCCAGACUCGGUUUGAUUUCAUUGACUCUAUCUCCUUUUUCAUUGUAUAAAUCCAUUUUUCCUUACUAGGGCAUUUCAGAGCCUCAUUAAUAUUUCUUGGCUCAUCCUUAUCUCGUGGAGUAAUUAUAAAAGUUUCCACUUCAAUGUCAAAACAUCGACGGGGAAUACUUUGGCGACUUGUUCGCUAUAUGAGAGAUUGUACACUUAGCACAUCAUUCCCCAUUAUGCUCACACUCGGAUUAGAUAAUUACGAUAUCAUCUCAUCAUGUGGUUGUAAUUGAGAAUGAGUUGAAUUCAAUUCAUCACUUCUCAUAUUACUCCCACUUGGACGAACUCCACUAACAUCAUUAUCCUGAUCUGAGGUCUCAAAUAGGAAGUAAUCUUCUCCUAUUUCGCCCUUCUUAGAAAAUUCAUUCACUAAGAAUGUGACAUCCCGUGAUUCAAAUUCAGUUAUACUCCCACUUUCCUGCUCACCUACGAACACAUACCCUUUCGAGUGUUUGGAGUAUCUCAUGAAAAUACUGUUCUUUUAUUUGGGACCAUAUUUCCCAAAUUUGUAAGAGGGCUCAUUAGUAUAGGUAGCACAACCCCAUGGCUUAAGAAAACUUAAGUACGAUUUUCUACCUGUCCACAACUUAUAUGGAGUGGAAGCAACUGAUUUGGAAGGCAUCCGAUUAAGUAUAUAGGCAGCAGUUAACAAUCCAUCACUCCAAAAAAUGAUAGGUAAGUUAGCAUGCGCCAUCAUGGACCUAACCAUUUCCAGUAGGGUUCUGUUUCUUUUCUCUGCAACACCAUUUUGUUGAGGAGUAUAUGGAAUAGACAACUGUAUUUCUAUUCAUUUUCAUCACAUUAUUUUCUAAACUCAUCAGAUAAAUAUUCUCGACCUCAAUCGGAUUUCAAUACUUUUAUUUUCUUGUCUAAUUGAUUUUCUUCCAAGUUCAUAAACCUUUUGAAACAACUUAUGCUUCAAAUUUAUGAGAAAUCAAAUAGACACAUCUGAAUCGAGUAUAAUCAUUUAUAAAAGUGAUGAAAUAAACAGCCAUUUGCCUUCCUCUCAUAUUCAUUGAACCAAAGACAUCAGAAUGGACUAAAUGCAGAGGAAAUUCAACUCUUUUAUCCUUCCCAAAUGGUUUCCUUGUUGUUUUCCCUACUAGGCAAUGCUCACAUAUGGGUAAAUCGACUUUUUCAAUUUUGCCCAACCAGACCUCUUUGGCUAUUCUAUUUAUAUAUUAUUGGCCAAUAUAACCAAGUCUAGCAUGCCACACAUUCACAUCAUUAUCAUAUGAAGUAGGAGAUGUGAAACAAGGGAAUAACAUAUAUUGACAUCACCACAGUCAACAUUUAGUACAAUAAAACCAUAUAUAAAGUGACCACAAUCAUAGUAGUUUGUAUCCAAAUACAAAUCUACACCGUUAUUACGGAAGUUCAAACUAAAACCAAGCUUAACCAAUAUAAAAAACAGACACUUAAAUUUCGACGAAUCUCCAGAGCAUUUAGAACAUCAUGUAGGAACAAGGUGCGUCCACCACACAUGUUUAGUUGGCAGGUGCCAAUCCCUUUAACUUCAGCUCUAGAGUUGUUUCCCACAUAGAUCCACUUAGUUCCAGUUGGUAUUCGUCGGAAUUCCACGAAGGAUCCUCUAUCCUUCACUACAUCGUCUGUUGCUCUUGAAUCUACAAUCCACAAAGGAUUGGAUUCAGCCAAUAAAUCAGAACUUGACACAUAAUCAAAGUUCUCAAAUGUACAAGAGGUGUUUACCUUUUUCGGCUCACAACUGUUGCGAGCAUAGUGACCUUUUCUUGUCACAAUUGUAACACCUCACACUUGACUUUUUCUUCACUUGAGGACGUUUUCCUCUCUUAUGUUGGUUAACUCUUGAUCUCUUGCAAUAAGGACUUAAUCCUUUGCAUUCCUACAUAUUGAACGAAUCAAUACGCUUGCGCUUAGAGCUCAAAGCCCUUUUUGAGCUGGAACCAACAUUGCAAAUUUCUACUUUCAGCUCACAUGCCGUUAAGCGGUCCUCUAUCAGCUCAAGGUGGCACACAGCAUCCUUAAGAUCUUCUAUAACAUGGUCAAGAGCUUCUAGUGCUUCUUGCUUUUCUAGCACAUAUUGAAUCUUCAUAUUUAAUAUUUCACAAUUGUUGCUGUUCACAUCAACAAUUGCGCUCUUAGUUGCUGAAUCCAUCAAUCUGAACACAUCAAACAUAUAUGCACGAAUAAUUAAUGCCUAUCAUUUAUGCAUCCCUUUUGCACAGACCCAUCAUAUUAAUAAACAAUUUCAAGUAAGGUUUUAGAAUCAAAAGGUCAUUACGUUUCCAAUCAUCCUCCAAAAAUCUUAACUUAAAACUAUCAUUAAUAUGAUUGUCAUAUGCAAAAUCAAUUCUAUGAAAUUACAAAAACUUUUAAACUACCCACAACUAAUUACCCACAGCGAUCAACAAUAACAGAAAGCAACAGAUAAUUGAUAUCUAAUAAAACAAUAAUGCUUUCAACUAAUAUAACAAUCCAUUACACUAAGUAAUAUAUCCAAAAAGAAAUAUCAACAUAUAAAGAGAUAUUCACACCCAAAAACAUCUCAGACUAAUCUAAGAAAUAAAUAGGGAAAGUCCAUUCUAAUCUAUUAGUCAAAACAUCUGAGAAAACUGAAGGCACACUUGCCAAUUAUGGAAAAACUUUUGGAGAGCUCUCGUGUCGCCAUCAAGGCGCAUUCACUCUGUGUCAUGUGGCGCUCAAUCUAAGGGUUGAAGUUUUGGCCAACUCAAUCUUAUAGUAUUCUCUUACAAAAACUUCCACUAGGCCCCUGUAAUCUGAGACCACGUUGACCUCCCAUAGCCGAUCUAAUACUGUUUGCCAUUCAGGUGGAAGAGUGUUCAUCAAAGCCGGCACAUUUUCAAAAUUCGGCAUAAGAUAACCAUUCUAGAUGAUUUCCUGUAUCAUCUGAUUGACUUUGAUCAUGUGUGAUACUAAAUCACCAUCAAGCCACCGAUAAUUAGCUAACUCUUUCAUCAGCCUUUUCAGUCUAGCUCUUCCUUCGUCCGUUCUCGGAAUUGCAGGUAUCCGUGCAUAACGCAUCAUAGUUCUUGCAACGAAUGCAGAACUCAAAUUGAUCACUUAUAAUCCACAAUUAAACAAAAUGGAAAAUACAUAAUUUUCCAUGAUUCAUGUAACAAAUGCAGAAUAAAAAAUGGAUUACCUCUAACCCACACAGACAUAAUUGAAAAAGAAACAAAUUUCUUUUUUUUUUCUCGGGUUAACGGUCGUCGGUCAACGGGUCAAUGGUUAGGUCAACGGGUCAACGGUCGGUCAACGGUCGGUCAACGGUCAACGAGUCAACGGCCAAGUCGUCGGACCGAUCGGACCGAUCGGAACGGUCGGGCCAGAUCGCGCGAACCGCCUACACGUGCCGCGCGCGUGCGCGGGCUUACGUCACGCAGACGUCAGCCGGCACGUGCCACACGUGUGCCGGGUGUCCGCGGGUCGGGUCGGGUCGUCGGUAGGGUCGCCGGCCGGUGACCGCCCGGCCAACCGGCGUCAUUGCUGACGUCAUCGAUGACGUCACCCCAACGGUUACUGACCGUUGGGUGACGUCAUGCUGACAUCAGCACGCAUCGGUUCGUCGACCGGCGCGUGCCAGUUCACCGGCCGCUAGCGCCCAUGUGCCGAUUCGCCGUUGGCGCGUGUGGCGCAUGCGCUGGCCGAUGCCAGCACUUCGGGCGCGUGGUGCCCACGCGCAGCUGCUUCUGACCGCGUGUGUGGGCGCGUGCGGCGUCGUCUGGCGGCGCACGACAUGUUGCCGAACUCGCCUCGACGAUCUCUUUCACCCAGUGCCUUCAUAAUUCGAUUUCAACUUACGAAAACUCAAAAAAAAUGGCCGAACAGCAUUCAGGUGUCGGGAUUUCUCGCCCUGAUCCGUACAGCCGAAGGUUUUCGCGAAAAAUCAAUGAAAAAAAACGUCAAACAAGUUGGGAAAAACGUGAACCUGGCUCUGAUACCAAUGUUGGGAAUAACGGAUCCCCGAAAAACGAAUUCGACACUAAAUCGAACGGCUAAACCAAUGCGGAAGACGAAGCCCGGGAAAGCACGUAUCACCGAUCGUAAAGCACACCACGAAGUCGAGUAUACCUUGUUAGCCACAGAUUAGACACCGACGCCGAUAAGUGGAAGAGAUUUCACCCUGUUCGAUCCGAUGACACCUUGAAGGGAAGAAGAAAAUGCCGUAUGCCUUACUGUUUCUUCUUUUUUCUUUUUGAGAGAGAAUGUGCAGGAGAGGAGAAAAACGUACGUCAAUUCUGCCAAAAGGUAUCUUCUCUCUCUCUCUCCUCCCUUUUAUACCUUCCCCCAUCCACGGGCCCUAUUCCCGUGGGCCGGGCCUUUUGGGCCCAACAUGGACAGACGGGCCUUAAGCCCAUCACCAAUUAAAACCAUCAGUUUAUAUGUAGGGCAAAACAUAAAGACCAUGUUGUUUAGGAGGCACACUAGCUAGCCACGUCAACUUGGGAAAUUAAUAAAAUAUUAUCAUGUUAAAUUUCCAGCAUCCAAAAUUGAAAUUGUCACUUAAGUGAUUCGACGAAACACAAAUGUCAUAACUUUCGUGCUAAAGUGAUAUACCUCUUGUUUCGACCAUUUGAAUUGAAAUAAAAAAAAAAAAAAAAAAGAAGAUGGCUUUAAAUAACCAUAUUUUGCUUUUUGAAACCCCAAUCAAUCUUCAAGACACCAAAAAAAAAAAAAAUCAAUCAUAAAAUUCAAUCCUUAUUGGAAAUUUAUCUUUAUUUUUAUUUUUUCGCAAUUUAAAUGGCUAAUCACAAUUGCCUUUGAUUUGCAUACCUUUAAAUUUCUUGUCUAAAAUUAACAAAAGAUCCUCCAUAUCCUUUAUAGUUCACCAUCUAUUUAUAUAUGUUGGAAAUUCAAUUACGGUGAAACAACUAUGCAAAAAAAAAUUUAAAAAAAAUGAAAGGGCUAAUCAACGGCCUUAGUCUUACCUGCAAUGUAUUCAAAAUCUUAUAUAAUAUCUUAGCUGGCGAUUUCAGCUCCAAUUCGCCAUGCAAUGUCAUUUUGCUUUUUCGAAACGAAGAGUUAACUAAAGUUCAAAAUAUGAACGCUCAUGUGCAAACAAGUUAGCAUGGAUACACUUCAUAUGUAUAGAUGAAGGCGGCCCCCAAUUGCCAUUAUAUAUGUUUCUACAGGGUCGUGCAAGGCAUGAUUCAUGUGAUCCUUGGUAUUCGUUUUCAUGUUUUAGUCAACCUUCUAACUAAUCGGUUUAUUAAAUGAGCAUGCGCAUUGCCAAAAAAAAAAAAAUCUUAUUUAAUUAAUAGCUCGUCAAUUUUCACAAAUCGCACCACUUUAAUCAUAUAAUAUUUAGCCAAUUGUAUAGAUUCGCAAAUCUUAUGGAUCUAGCACAUUGUCCAUAUCUUUCGCCAAGAAAAAAUGAGUCCUACCUUAAACCCACCUGUCAAAGAGACAAUCUUUUCUUAGAGUGCUAAGAUCAUUCCUAUCGUGUGCUUGUGGUCCAUAGUUGAAAUGGAAGGAUUUACAUUGUUUCAUGUAUGUAUGUCAAAAUACGAUUAGCCGAUUUGGUCAAAACUCCAAAGGUGCGAUCAUUGUUUCGUGUCUAUAUGUACAUCCAUGACACACAUAAAUGCAUGUGUGAAAUUGUUGUCACGGCCAAAUAAAAAAAAAGGUUAGAAUGUGAAGACUAUGUGAUCAUUGUCAUAUCAUCUCAAAUUAUCUAUACAACAGAAAUGGAUGAACCGAAAUAUAGAAACUAAGUCCCCAAAUACGAGAACAAUCUUGCGAACGCACAACUUUGCAUGAAAACAAAGGAAUUCUCUCUCUCUCUCUCUCUCUAAAUGUAUUCUGAUCAAUAAUGAAAAAGCUUUUUGUUCUCCUAACGAGAAACUUAUUUGUGAUAGAGAAAAAUGUAAUCUAAAAAUUAUAAAAUAUCUAAUUCAUAUCACAAAAUAACAGCAAGUUCAAAAUAUAUAUCUUUAAAAAAGGAUUUCCUGAAUUAAUUAAACUAAUAAUUCUAAAAUCUUAUCUUCUUGAACACUCAUGUAGGUCUUCAUGAAAUCAUAAUGUAUGUUCUUAUAAAUUUGUGCAUUGUAAAUUGAAUGAAUUGUUUAUUGAAGACAGCAUUGCUCUUUAAUUGAUAUGAUGAAGAUGUCGUCGAAAUGAUAUAUUUGAUAUGAUUGCCCUUGAUUGAUUUAUUGGGAUAUUGUACAUGGAAAAUUGAUUUUUCCGUAUAUUUCUUACCAAAAUUAGUUAGACUCCAUGCAUUAUAAAUAGGUGUGUAGUCAUACAGUUUCAAUAUGAGAAAGUAAUACAAUUUCCCAACUCAACUGCUUUCCAUCAUUUUUUAUAUUCUGACAUGUUAUCAGAGUAUUUCUUCUAGCUUCAGCUCUUCUACCCUCCCUAAGUCAAAAAACCAUCUCAGAAUCAGAACCCUCCUUUCUUUCAUCUUCACGACCAAACCUGUGAAGAAAAACUUUCCACUUAUAACAACAGUAUACAAAAUGAGUGAUCACGCCAAAAAAUCAAGCCUCAAAAUCUGGAAUUUUUUAAGAUCAGAGAUCCCCAACGUCCAAGAAUUGGAUGAAUUUCCUUCAGAUCAACAAUCGGACUUAGCGGAAGAAGACCAGACAGAGGAUUCAAUCCAGCCCAAUCACCAAGGCAAUUUUUCCCGGCCCAUACGUUCAAUGGCUCCCGGUCCCAAUCCAACAUUUUCAAGGCCAGACGAAUUCGGCCCAGAAUACAAUGGGCUCCAUAAUUGGAACCUAUUUUCAGAACAACGGGCUAGGAAGAGGCGCAUCACUCAAUACCAAGCCCAAUCUAUGAUCUGGACCGGGUUGGUCUUUUUCGAAUCAAAGUGGUUCGGGUCCAAUUGGGUUUGGGGUAAAUCCAUACCCGACCCGUGGACACAGUUAUUUCCUCUUGCAGGCACCAUUGGUGGUGGGUGGCCUAAGCCAGGGGAUCCCUUGUACACACUUGCCGCCGACGGACCCAAGCUCCACCCCAUCACACAGCAGCUCUCAAGGCCAGAAAACUAUUCUGAGUGGUCUCGGGAGCUCCAGCGACCACUAGUUACAAAGGACAAAGAGGGAUUCAUUGAUGACACAAUCUCGAUCCCAAUUGAUGAGCGACUAGUAAGUCACUGGAUGAAGUGCAAUCAGCUUGUUCGAACAUGGAUCAAGAACAACCUCAUGGAAAGCUUGACCGGGCCAAAAUUUUCUCAAUAAUGCUAGCCUUAAAGAAACUAAAGCAGGAAAGUCUCUCGGUUUCCACUAUUUUCAACAAAUUGUCAGCAUUAUGGAACGAACUUGAGAUGGCUGAAGAAAAAUUGCAGGGACCCGAAGGAACCCUUAGCUCAAAAUUGCGCGAUUAACAAGAGGGAAAAGGUAAGUAGAUUUUUGUUCAUCUUGAAUGACAGUUAUUUACUUUUCCGAAGCCAAAUCCUUACCGUGGACCCUGUUCCCCUAAACGGCCAUAUACACCUGGCGAUGUAGGAAGAAUCACAAUGUCUGGCCUCCGUGGAGUAUCUAAAGAUGGAGAUUGCAGGAGAUUGCAUUGUUCUUCCAGCUAGGGCGAUGCCGGAACAAUGGCUUCUUGCGGCGAGGUCCGACCAUGGCAGACCUAGAAACCCUCUCACGAUGCCGGGCAUGCUAAACGAAGAAGAUGACCUAAUGUCAUCAAGAUUGAGCAGCCUUAAUGUAUUUGCAUGAUUAGAUGACCCAAAAUAGAAGGGGGUUUUUAGGGGUGCGAUUGGUAACGUUUCUGUUCCGGGGAACAAUUUUUGAACUGAAAUAGUUUUUUUUUUUAAUUCCAAAUAACAAUUUCUAAGUAUAAGAACGCGCUUGGUAACUACAAAAAAAAUUUACUCUAGGAAUAGAAAUGCGUUUGGUAAACUUGUAUAAUUUUUUUUGUUUCUUUUAAUUUUUCUAUAUUUUUAUUAUAUUUUUCCUUUCUUUUUUCUUCUUUCUUCUUUUGGCCGGUCGACGAGGGCUAGCAACCUUGCCGGCCUCGCCGGGCCACCACCAGGUCGUUAUCGCCCAGCAGUCCUGGCCAGGGCGAGGCCGAGCCUCGCCGGUGGCCUCGGUUGGUCACCAGUGGCCUCAGUUGGUCACCGGCGAGGCUCAACCUCACCCAGGUGACGCAAGGUCGGCCUCGCCUUGCCGAGCUCGCCUAGCCACCGGCAAGGUCAACCUCGAUGGGGGCCGACGACGCUUCGACAACCGGCCAAAAGGAAUAAAGAAAGAAAAAAUAAAAAGAAAAAAGAACUGUUUCUCAUAAUUGUUUCCGGGAACAAGAAACAAUGUUUUUCUACUUCUUAUUUAUGUUCCAAAUAUGUUUCCGAAAACAAAAGCUUUACCAAACGCAUUUCUGUUUUUUUUUUCGUUCCCCGAAACAAAAGAACAAAAAAUUUUGUUUCCAGGAACAUAAACAAAAAUAAAUAAACAGGCCCUUAUUCCAUCAAACAGUUGUGAUUUAAUCACGAAAUCACGAAAUCAAACGGUCCUAGUCAUUUUCAUGCAAUCAGAUGGACUAGGUCUCAUCGUGGCAGCUCCCAGAUCAGAUGGCAAAUAUCAUGCCACAUCAACACCGAUGUAGAAGGGAUCCAACAACCAUAAUUAAAACAGUUCUCAAAUAAAUCACAUGCCCAAAAUUCCAACAAAGGAAAGCAUAAAUUUUGUGAUUAUUAUAAACGUCCCUACCAUACUAGGGAGAAUUGUUGAAAAUUACAUAGAAAAUCGGCAGAUAAGGAAAGAAAGGAAUAAAAUAUAUCCGUCACAGCACAUGCCAAGAUGCACCAGCCCAUUUAGAAUGAUCAAUUCCAUCCUAUUAUGAAAGCUCUAAGUCAAAUGGAAACAAAAGUUAAGACGGUGAGUUAUUCAGGUAUUUCUUAUUAUUUAAAUUCCAUUUCAAUUGAGGCAUGAAUUAUUGAUUUAGGUACUAGUGAUCAAAUAAUCUACGACAAGCAUUUUCUUUUUUAUGUUCAUAAAUCAUCCCCCAAACUUCAGUGCUUCUUCUCGAUGGAAAAAACACUUCUAUCACUAAAAUUAGAAAUAUCCAACUCAGUCCUUGCAUCACAUGGCACAUUGUCCUGCCCAUUCCAUAUUUUCAAUUUAACCUCAUUUUUAUCUCAAAACUUUGUUAAGAUAACUCUCGUUGGGUCUUCUUCGAAGAUAAUUCCUAUCGAGUCUUCUUCGAUUCUGACAUUUACUUGUUUUAGGCCCUUUCAACUAGGAAACUUAUGGGCUUAUGUAGAAUUCAUGAGAGACUUUAUUUUUAGGACACACUUCCCAAGAAUUUUGAUAUUUCAUAUUUCCUUUAAAUAAGGGCAUAUUAUGUAAUGCCAACGUUAAUAAUAAUGUUGUUCUGUCUCAUCAGCGUUUGGGUCAUAUUGUCUCUUUUCCUCAUCUUAAGUGUUCCAUUUGUCUAUUGGCUAAACAAUCGCGAUUGCAUUUUCCACAAAGCGCUUCACAUGCCACUAUAACUUUUUCACUUCUACAUUUGGAUAUCUAGGGACCAUAUCACACUUCACACCGUGAUAGGUCUAGAUUNNNNNNNNNNNNNNNNNNNNNNNNNNNNNNNNNNNNNNNNNNNNNNNNNNNNNNNNNNNNNNNNNNNNNNNNNNNNNNNNNNNNNNNNNNNNNNNNNNNNCAUUGACGGGAUGCUUGUUUCAAGCCAUAUAUAGAUUUCUUAAGCUUGCACGUCAAAUGCUCACCUUUACUAGAGGAGAAUCCUUCAGGUUGUUUCAUGUAAACCUCCUCCUCUAGUUCUCCAUUGAGGAACGUCGUUUUCACAUCCAUCUGAUGUAAUUCCAUAUCAAAAUGGGCAACCAAUGCCAAAACAAUACGAAGAGAAUCUUUCUUAGAUACAGGAGAAAAAGUCUCAAUGUAAUCGAUUCCUUCCUUUUGAGUGAAUCCUUUGGCAACAAGUCUAGCUUUAUAUCUUUCAAUGUUACCCAAUGAAUCCUUCUUAGUUUUGAAUACCCAUUUACAACCAAUGGCCUUCAUACCAUCAGGUAACUCAACCAAAUCCCAGACUUUGUUAGAUGCCAUAGAACUCAUCUCUUCCUUCAUGGCAUUGUACCACAAAUUGGAUUUAUCACUAUCCAUGGCUUGUGAAAAUGUUUCAGGAUCAUUCUCAGCUCCAAUAUUGUAGUCAGAUUCUUGUAAAUACACGAUAUAAUCACUAGGAAUAGUCGAUUUCUUUAUUCUAGAAGAUCUUCUCAAUGUUGCAUCAACAUUCUGUUGGAGAAAUCUCUCUAGAGUGUUUUGAAGCUGACAAAACGUUUCUAUCAGUCUAGUCUGGAAGCUGUGCAGACCCUUGUACUUAGAAUCUGAAAACUUUCAAAUCACCAGACUCAGCACACAAGACUCAAGACUCAAGACUAUUCUCAUUAACAGUUUCUAAUCCAACGACGAAGGCGAUCCAGAGCUAAAGUGUUUGGUUAAGGAUUUGGUCUUAUCGACUGGAGAAGAUUUCUUGGCUGGAUUUGAUAUAACGGAUUAUUUAUUCGAAAUCAAGAUCGUUUGAAGAUCCGAUGAUUGACGAAAUAUUCUUGGAAUGUUCUAUUCUUGGAAACCAAGAUCCUAAUUGUAUGUGUGAAUAGGAUUGAUGGGCUAUCGACAUGUUCCUUUAAUAGCUCGAAUGAUCUUCUUAAUUGAUUCUGUCCAAUGGGAAGAUUGGAAGAAUUCCUUUGGUAAGUGCCAACGGGUAUGAUGGCAUAAAAGAGUAUAAAAGGAAGACGUUCCAGUUGUUCUAGUGCGUGCUCGAUAGAGAAAUUCCAGAGUCUGAAGCUCCUUGAUUAUUAGUCGAUUCAUAUUGAACGAAACUGUACACGCAAAGAGAGUCUAUACUUAGUGAUACCUUGAGGGAGUGUGGUAGAUCUUCUACACCGAGAAAUCAAGGAAGAACAGUACUGUAAUAUCUCUUUGUUCAUAGUGGAAUCCAGCUAGUGGGCUGUCAGUGUAGAAGAGUGGACGUAAGCUUGAAAUAAGCCGAACCACUAUAAACCUUGUGUUCAAUUUUCUCUUCCCUACUCUCAGUCUUAUUCUGAUCGUUGUUUGUUUAUUGACGAGAAAAAUUAUCUUAUUUCUAUCAACUGUCUAGUAUUGUGCGAUUAUCAUAAGAAAUUACACUUUAUACUUAUUCACCCCCCCUCUAGGUACUUAUACUAGCCAUAUCACAUUCUCUUGAGGAGCAUGUUGCUCAACUGGUUGUUCAACAGUUUCUGGUAAUUGCUGAACAAUUGGAUCUACUAUAUCAAUAUCAGCAGGUUGUGGAACUUCAACAAUUGGUUGUUCAAUAGCCGGCUGAACUGAAGGGGCAUUAUGAGCAACAACCAAUCUUAAACUUGAGGUGGAAGGUUGAGUAUCUGUAUGAUUUUUCUUAGGAUCAAGAUCCUUCGAUCGAUCGCUCCCACUGAUCAAGUCAUUUUUUAAAGAAAUUUAGCGUUUAUUGAUUCCACAAUCCUAGUGGUGUGAGAUGGACAAUAAAACAUGUAUCCCUUAGACCUUUCGGCAUAUCCAAUGAAAUACCCGCUUAUGGUCCUUGGGUCCAACUUCUUUUCUUGUGGAUUAUAAACUCUCACUUCAGACGGGCAUCCCCAAACACGCACAUGAUGCAAACUCGGUUUCCAACCUUUAAAUAACUCAAAAGGUGUCUUUGGGACAGCUUUAGUCGGAACUCGGUUUAAUAUGUACACUGCCGUCUUAAGUGCUUUAGUCCAUAAGAAUUUAGGAAGUUUGGAGCUGCUAAGCAUACUACACACCAUGUCUAAUAAGGUCCGAUGUCUUCUUUCCGCUACGCCAUUUUGGUCCGGAGAACCAGGCAUAAUAUAUUGGGCAACUAUCCCAUGCUCUUGAAGAAACCUUGCAAAUGGACCAGGUGCUUGUCCAUCUUCAGUGUAUCUACCAUAGAAUUCUUCACCCCUAUCUGAUCUCACGAUCUUAAUUUGCUUAUCGCAUUGUUUCUCUACUUCCGCCUUAAAUACCUUAAAGGCAUCUAAUGCUUCAUAUUUAUUAUGAAUCAAAUAGAGAUACAUGUAAUAUGAGUAAUCAUCUAUGAAAAAGAUGAAAUAUUUUUGACCACAUGAGUCCAUAUCCGGACUACAAAUAUCCGUGUGUAUGAUUUCUAAUAUUUAUGUACUCUUCUUGGCACAUUUCUUUGUCUUGUUAGUCUGCUUUCCCUUUAUGCAGUCCACACAAGUAUCACAAUCAGUAAAAUCUAAAGUACCGAGUACUCCAUCAUUUACUAAUCGCUUAAUUCUUUCUAUGGAGAUAAUGUCCCAAUCUCCUAUACCACAACAUAGAGGAAUGUUCUUUCACAAUACAUCGUUUUAUACCAGCUUUAUCAUGAACAUGCAUCGCAUCAUAAUAGGCAUUGUCUUGUAAAUUAAUUCGAAAAAGACCAUCAGACAAAGUACCACUCCCGACAAUUUCAAAUUUAAAUGAUAAACAGAAGUUUGAAUCUGAAAAGUUAAAAGAGUAUCCCAAAGGUACAAGUCUUGAAACUGAAAUUAAGUUUCUAGAAAAACUAUGAACAUAAAAGGUCUUUUCCAAAUUUAAAACAAAACCACUAUUGAGAACUAGUCUAUAUGUCCCAAUAGCUUCCACAUGCAAACACAUCUUGUUUCCUGAAUAGAUGCUUUGUUCACUUCCCACUAACUUCCUGUGGUUUUGAAAACCCAGCAUGGAAUUCGAAAUAUGGAUUGUAGAUCCAGAAUCAAUCCACCAAGUGUUGUGACUUACAUCAGUCAUAUUAGAUUCAUAACAAACAUAAGAGAUUGGAUUACCUUUCUUCUCGAGCCAGGCCUUAAAUUUGACACAAUCCUUCCUUAUAUGCCCAUUUCUGUUUACAAAAGAAGCAUUUGGAUUCUUUCUUAAUGUCAGCUUGGGGAGGUAUUUUACCUUUUCCCUUAUGCUUGCCAUAGCCCUUAUUCUUUCCUUGUGUUGACAAAUGAGCACUUUCUCCCAAUUCCAUAACCAGUCUUUCUUCCUCUUGAACACAUAUGGUCAUGAGUUCAUUAAUAGACCAUUUUUUCUUAUGUGUGUUAUAAGAGAUCUUGAAAGGUGCAUAUUAUUGUGGGAGAGUGUUCAGAAUAUAAUACAUAAUGAAGGAUUCAGAUAUCUCAACCUCAAGGUUCUUAAGCUGAGCUGCAAUAUUCCUCAUUUGCAUGAUGUGCUCAUGCACACCUCUAACACUAGUGAGCUUCAAUGAUGAAAACUUCAUAAUCAGGGUCAUGGCAUGCGCCUUCUCAGAACUUUCAAACUGCGCAUCUAUGGCCUCCAAUAAAGCCUUAGCAUUGCCAUGCUGAGCAACCGAACCACGAAUACUAGGAGAUAUCUUAGCUCUUAUAAACAUGGCACAAACGCGGUUGGACCACUCCCAUUGGUUAUAAAGAGCUAUCUCAGCUGGAGUGCUCAAAUCAGUAGGAGCAGGUGGUUCGUAUUUCCUUAUAGCAUAGUCAAUGUCCAUCCACCCAAAUUGAAGAAGAACUAACUCCUUCCAAACUUUAUAGUUCUCACCAUUCAGUAUAGGAAUAUCAAACUUAAAUUCAGAAAAAUUCACAGGUUGCGAAACUGCAUAUCAAAUAAUCAUGCUUAUGUCACAAAAUUUGAGGCAAAUAUAAAUAAAUCAUGUUUUACCAAUGUAAACAUGUCACAAUAUGAAUCACAUAACAUAAAAACUACAUGUGGGCUAAGUUUUUAAUUUAAAUAGAUUCAUAAUUACUUCAUGAAGAAACUACCAUAUUAUAUGCAUUUUCUUAAUCCCUAUGGGUAAAUUAAGAAAAAUAAUAUGAUAUUUCAUCCUAAUUAAUCAUAUUAAUAUAAUGAAAAUUCUUGUGGGAUAAAAUUCAUCAUAUUAAUAUAAUUAAUUACAAUUAAUGUCCAUUUCUUAAUAUGAUCCGGAGGCUUUUAUUAUAUAAUUUAAUUAAUUAAAGAUGCUGUGGCCACUCUCUAAUUAAUUAAAUAUAUGGACCAUUGGACAUUUAAUUUCAUGAAUAAAACAUUCAUAAAAAUGCAUAAAAUGACAUAAUAAUAAAUAAAUAAAUACAUCAAAGGGCAGAAUUGUAAAUUAAUAAAUCAGCCAAGGGCAAGAUUGCAAAAAAACAUGAAAAUUUGAGGCAUAAUUGUAAAAAGAGACGCACGAAGAGACGUCAGGCGCGUGCCUAGCACGUGCCCGUUCCCGCGGCACGCGCAUGGUCUGCAUGCGCCUAGCAACUGCUGCGCCCGUGGAUCCCACACGCGCAGCGGUUGAUUGCGCGUGAGAGCGCAUGGCACGUGGAUUCCACGCGCCUGCAACCGCAGCGCACGCGUGAGCUCCACGCGCCUUCUUCCUCGCGCGAACAGAAGCCUUUCCGUCAGUUUUUCGCCGUUUUCCGCCGCACUUUCACCGCCGUUUCUUCUCCGGCAGCCCAUCCCAGACAGAAAUCAAUAAUGGGUUUUGAAGAGCAUGCCGGCACGACUACAUGGGUUCAAGUUUCAGCGAAAAUGAGCAAAAAUUGGCCCCAAAAUCAAACGAAAAUUUCCCAAAACACAAUUCCUUCAACCACCGCGACUUCUGCCACCCAAUUAGCCUCCGGCGAACACCGAUAUACCGGAAAAACUCAUGGCUAAUAUUCCUAAUGGCAGUGCGACCGUGCGGGUCCCAAAUCAAAGGGUGGGUCGCCGGAAUUUGCCCGGAAUUUGGGAGUUUCUCUGUUGGUCUCAAAAUCCGAAGUUACUGUUCAUGUUCAAAAAUGCCCGAAAAUACACCAAAAAUUCGAGAAAAACAAGGUAGAGGCACUAACAUGCUCUGAUACCAAAUGUUAGACAAAAUAAUUCAUAUGCGGAAGCCAGGAUCGAUUAAAGACAAACCUCCUGCCAUUGUUCGUAUUCACGUUCGUCGAAUGUCCUGAAAAAUCAAGAAAAUAAUAGGCACACUCUACUAACCAAAUCUCCUCACGUACUGAUGGUGUAUUCUAAAUGUGAGGAUUUUGUGUCAGACCUUGUGAUCGCCCGUCAGAAAUGAACGUACGUUUCUAUUUAUAUCUCGUCUUCCAUCAAGACGGUUACCAAUGGGCCGUUGUCACGAAAGGGUACGAAGUGUGGAAAAACUUCAUGUCGAAUAGUCAUAACUUUAAGAGAAAAUAUGGGUCUAAAAUGCGGAAUCACAAAAAUAAAUAACAGUGGAAACUUCAUGAAAUAGCUCGAAUGAAAACAUAGCAAGUAUUCUUAAUAAAAUAAAAAGAGACUAGAAUAUUACCUCGGGCGAUGCGCGAGAUGGAGUAGGUUUAAAAAAACAGUUCUAAUUUGCAAAUAAAAUGGCAAAUCCAUCUAAUAUCUUUUAAUUUUUAUUUUGAUCAAAAGAAAAUGUACAUAAGUCGAUCAACAAUUGCUAGUCUAAGUUAAUACUGCACUAAACCAUCUUUCAUUAUUUUAAAUGUGUUCAAAUUAUCAUAUAUAAAUCACCCCGUGCUAGGGUGCAAAAAAGCUCGUGAUGAAUCAUGUGAUUACAAUUUUUAUGCAAUAUACAAAGGUAAAUUAUAAUGGGCAAAGGAGUCAUAUUUAGCAUAAAAUAACCUAGACAAUAAUGAAAAUUGACAAAUCUAUCGUAAAAUUCAUUAUCAAACAUCAUUAGUGGUUACAUUAGGUAAGCUAUCAAAAUAUUAUAAGAUAAAUAUAGCAUGACCAUUUCAUUGGACGAAACGUGGAGUGAGUAAUAUGUAUAAUUAAAAAGUAGGAGAAUAUAAAUACAAUAGAAGCUAAAGUUCUCAUUAACUAUGGAUUUUUGUUAGGUCUACUAUUAGUGUAAAAAAUAAGUCACACUAUCACCUAGAUUGUUGAGGAGUGAAUAAAUUUGUUACAUUACUAUCUUCAUGCGGACGUGUCAUCCAUCUAAUAGUGUUUGUGUAGAAAGUUCUUUAUGCUGAUAGUGAACUUAAUAAUAAUCGUUUAGGUACUAAAAAAGACUUAAAAACUCAAAUGAUGAAUAUAUGACAUGCUUUCCAUUAUAGGGAAAAUUAUUCAAAAAAUUCUAAACCUAUUACACUUUGGUCAAUUCAAUCAUAAACAUUUUAAUUGUAUCAAUUUAGUCCUAAACUUUUGCAUGUUUUUCCAUUUAAGUUUAUUUGGCUAAUUUAACUGAAAAUCUUUAACAUGGAUGCCAAUAGUGCCACAUAAAACAGCCAGUACUAACAUGAAUAAUUUUUUAUUAUUUCCUUUUCUUCUUCUUCUUUUUUUCUUUUUUCUUGUUUUCUUUCUUUUCCUUUUUUUCUACCAAGCCUGGCAAGGUAUCAGCGACCCUCACCGGGCUUGGAAGGGAAAAAAAAAAGAUUUGUUAGCGCAUUAAGGGAAGGAGAUAGAUAAAACAAGAAGUCGAGACCACUGGCUUCAAUAUCAUAUUUAAUUUGGGAGGACAUCUUCUAUAAAAGUGAAAAUUAUUUAAAAACGGUGUUAAUCACAUUAUUAAGCAUCAACAUGAUUGUAUCUCGAGAAGAAGCGGGAGAUCUUAUACUUGAUUUAUACUUGGCACAAUCUUUUGAGAUCAAAUCUUGAUUGAAAUCUAUUCAACAAUUGAUGUGGAUGACAUAUCUUCGACUGAACUUGAGACGAAGGUUUAGCCUAAUGCAAGAAAAACUAGCCGAUAAGAUCAUCCUGCCAGACUAUAAGGAAGCAACUUUCCAUGACUCUCCAUUUUAAACAAAGGAUAACCCUAAUUUUCAACGAUCUAAGUAUGUAUAUGGGCAUCCAUCGCCCAAUAUAUGCAUGUAUGAAAUUGUUGUCGUGGCCAAAAUAGAAAAAAAAAUGUGGAAGCUGUAUGAUUGUUGUCAUAUCGACUCAAAAGUAUCAAUACCACGUGAAUGGAUAACCAGAAAUCUAGAGUGCUAAAUUCACAAAAUGAGAACAGUCUUGCAAACACACAAGUUUGUGUGAAAACACAGGACUUUCUCUCUCUAAAUGUAUUCUGAUUAAGAAUGAAGAAGCUUUUUGUUCUCCAAUCGAGACACUUAUUGGUGAUAGAGGAAAGUGUAACCUAAAGUGGAUAAAACAUCUAAUCUAUAUCACAGAAUAGCAACAAAUUCAUAAUUUCUAUCUUCGAAUAAUAGUUUUGUAAACUAACUUAAUCCUCAUAAUAAUUUCUAUCUUAAUCCUCAUAAUAAUUUCUAUCUUAAUCCUGUAAAUCAAAUACUCAUUUGAAUGAUAUUUAUUUCAAUUAGUGCUAUAUCCGGAAGUCAACAUACAUUGGAUGAGAUAUUUAAAAUCAUAUCAUAUCCUUGUCUUAUCUAAUAUUAUUUUAUCUAACAAAAAUAUCCGAAUGGCCAAAUGUAGUGUAAGCAACUUUCAUAUUUAUUCCAUUCCCAGUGUAAGCAACGUUCACGCUAUCGUCACACUCACGAGAUAUCCCAACCCUAAUCUCCUAGGAUGUCUUCUUGUAGUGUAAGCAACCUUCAUACUUAUCCCGUCCCUAAUGUAAGCAACAUUCAUGCUAUCGUCACACUCACAUUGGAUAUCCCAACCCUAAUCUCCUAGGAUGUCUUCUACUCAAGCUAUCAUAUGAUUUGACAACACUACUAAUCGUCCUUCGGAAAACAGAGGUGCUCCGAUUUAUAAUAAACUUUCGCGCAUUUGUCAUGCUCAAAUAUCAUGUCUGAACCCUAUCGCAAAGGGGGUGUCAUCAUCCAUUAGAAUUGACAACACUUCUCAAAAAUCGUUCUUGGGAAAAUGGAGGAAGUUCUUGCGAGGAUUUGAAGGAGACAGCUAGCUUCGCUACUGAACUCUCUCUCAGUGAAACUAAAAUAGAAAACGACAACAGUGAAGAUAAUAAUAACCAUUUAUAACCUUCUUUCCUUAUACAAUUUGUAUUCUCGACUUUUGAAAUAUACAGUUUGUACCGUGGAUUAAGGCAUAUGCUUCAAACCAUGGGGUCUAGAAAAGUUAUGUAAAAUUAGACAACGCCGGGUUUGGUUUUUUCUAAGGAAAAAACAAGGUGCAAAGAAUAUACGGAGAGCAUUAAUUUUGAUAUCAUAAAACUACUGGAUGGAAAAUGUAACCAACGGGAAAACUGAGGAUCACUUUUCUAAUUCUAAGAUACUAUAUAAUACGUACGAAUAGUAGAUUGAAUAAUGGAUGGAAAGAAUAUUACGCUUGGCGCAAACAACAAGAAAGCUAAGGUAAGUGCUAGAAAGAGAAUGGAACCCCGAAAUGGUUGAAAGUAAGCAUGACUCAGAUAUCAUACUAAAUGAUUUAACUUACAAAUUCAAAGGCCUGUUUUUUUUUUCCCGAAAUUCAAAGGCUUGUUCAAGGGAUAAGUAUUUUCAUCCUUCUCGUUCAAGACUUGAGUUUGAAUCAUCAUUCUUCUUUUGAGACCACUCCAAAGAAUAUAAAGAUGCAUGUCUCGAACCACUAGAGGCUUACCCAACUAUCACCAUUCCCAAAUGGGAAUGAAGAGGUGGAGAGGUCAGAACUCCAAGUGGGUCAAUGGACCUACCAAGGAGCUCUAAAGUUUAGGAAUACACCUGACAGAAAAAAAAAAAAAAAAAAUAUAUAUAUAUAUAUAUAUAUAUAUAUAUAUAUAUAUAUAUAUAUAUAUAUCUGUGUGUGUGGGCGUGCGCACGUCUUCAUUAAUAAUUCGGCUGGUAUAUAUGGUCUAGGAGGACUAGCACAUAUGGUAAGAAUUAGUCAAAUGUUCAAAAUAUUCUGGACAACCUAUUGAAAAUUUAAAUAAUAAUAUAACCCUGAAACUUAGAUGGUCAAGAAGGCGAUGCAAAUUUUAUCUAUCAUAAAAUGAAGAUUAAACAGCUAAGUGAAUUACCACCCUAACAAAAUAAAAUAAUGAAUGCACACCUUUUUUUGUCCUUCCCAAGCAAGAUCUUAAAUCUUCUCCGUUGGCGAUGGAUCCAAAAGAAUGGGUAGAGUCGAUGUGGCCUUCCUGCCGCCGCAAGAUUCAGUCUAGUCCCAGAAAAUAUAAAUUCAAGAAACUUUUCUUAGAAAAAAAAAUCAAAUCGACAUUAAAAUAGUUAAUCUUUUACGAGUGGAAAUUAUGGCAUUCAUUGCAUAUUGAGUAAUGACUGUCCUUUUCUUGGGGAUGCUAGAACAAAUAUAAACCAAUCAAAGUAGAAAUUUAAGGACAGGGACAUGUGUACCUCCUAUAGUAAUAAAAUCAUGACAUUUUUUAUUAUAAGAUUACGCAGAGCAAUCUCUAAAGAGGUAGGCACCGCCAUUUAAUUUAAGUUUUUGUCACUUAUUGAUGGGUUUUAUGGUUGUUAGGCCGCCCAUAUUAGGCUAACCUAGCCCAUUAUUAAAAUGGACACACAAUUAAAAGAAAAGAAAUAACCACCAUAAGGCAAUUAUUGUGGGUUACUUCUUAAAGCAAUAUAUAUAUAUAUAUAUAUUAAGAGAAGUGCUUAUUCUUAAAAAGUGAGAAUGGACAUUAAAAAAAAAAAGCUGAUAACUCUAUAAUAACAGAGUUUUUUUUACCUAUUUUAGGCAACAAAUAUGGUAUUUCAUAAUCCAAUAUUCGUUAAAAAAAAAAAUUGGAUUUCCUUCUAUUUAAGCAAAUCUUCUUUGUUUAUGCAGAAUAAUGAGAUAUAGAUAAAAUAAGAAAAAAAAUUAUAUUAUUCAAGAAUUCAAAUAAACAAUAAAUAAAAAAAAAGUUAUGAGAUGGAUACCAAAUCAAGGAUUCGAAGAAUUAUUCUCUAAUUUUACACACACGAAAAAAAAAAAAAAAAGCAAUUACGUUGUGUUAGGAUUCUUGAAUAUAAGAUAAUAUAGAUAGUUGGUUCUUUUUUUUUUCAUAUCUUUUUUCAUUGUUCUGAGAGUUUUUCAAGUAUUUUGAAGAGAAGACAAAAUUUGUGAUAAAAUUCUUUUUCUUUAACUUAAAAUGCUGGGUUUGAUUUAUAUAUUUAUUUUUUCUUUUACUAUGUUCUAAUUUUCUUUUAUUAGGGCUACAAUAUAACCUAACCAUGAUGAUAUGAAAUUUCAUUAUUUUAUGCAUGCAAGUAAUUUCAUUUAUGUAAGUUAUAUAUUAUUGUGCUUAAUGCUUUUAAGUGACUGUCUCAUGUGUAUAUUUGAGAUUGAAAAGUGAUAAUAUGUAAUUGUUCCUUAUAAUAUAUAAUAGUGAAUUAAACGUUGAUAAAGAUAUAUCGCGUUAUUUGUAUAGCUUUUGAUGAUAAGGUGAUACAAAAGGCUUAUUGUAAGUCAGGAAUAUUUAUAGAUUUUAAUAUACUUAUUUUUAUUUAAAUUUACAUAAAGAUAUAGUAGAUUAAUAAAACUAAGUAUGUUUGUUAUAUCUAGAGAUAUGAUAGUAUAUAGAUUAGAAAAUUCCAUUAUCACAUGUUUGAUAUCAUUAUUGUAUGCAUAACAAUCUAAAAUUCAUAUCUAGUGGUUAUACUAAAAUCAGAUACUCUAACAUAUUUAUCUAAUUGAUUUACUACAUUUAGUCUCUAAAUUUUGCUUUUAAGAUUUUUAGUUUUAAUUUAUUCUUAAUUCUAAUUUUGAUAUGUCAAAUCAAUUUUAGAAUUAAUCUAUUUUAGUAUUUAAUUAGUUUAUUAAUCAUCAAUUUUCGUGGGACAAUAUUCUUUCUCAUAAUUAUAUUACUUGUUCAAUACGUUCACUUGCAUUUAGAAUUUUACGAACAAAACCUCUCUCUCACUCAUGAAGGAAAUCACUCUCACUCAACAAACAAAAAGGGAGUAUUUUCUUUCAUGACGCUACAAUAAGGGUGUAUUUAAUUCAUGAAAAAUCAGGUACAUCCCUUUGGUGAUGUGCUUUUCAAUCGGUGAUUCAAGUUUUCUUGGACACAUUUCUUGUAUGUGGUUUUUGCAUUACUCGAUGAUAUGUAACUAGAAUUUAUUUCCUUGACUUAUUUUACUGAGGUAAAUAAUACCACAUCAAUAUUGAUGCAUGUACAAAAAUUUUCAAUUUUCAAUGCUUGGGAACAUUUUGCACAACUCUAGCGAUCGCUUAUAAGCUGCACCUCACCUCAACGGCGACAUGGCAACAAUAGUCACGAUGCUAGAGUGUGGGCAAUGGCUUAGAUGAAUUUAGACCAAUUACUGAAGAAAAAUAUUAUUCAUACUGCAUAGAUUCUUAAUUCUAGGAUACUUUCUUUUCUGGCAAGAUAGGCUAAAGCUCAACGUGAAAAAUCACAAGGGGAACGAUCAAAAAUUCCGAAAAAGUCACCUGAAAUAUGCCCAAAAAUCGCUUGCGUUGGAUCCACUACACUUCCAAACUAUAAUCUUUGUUCAAGCUCAUUUAAUUUGUAUUUUGAUAUCGUUAUUGCCAUUAAAUUUUGUCAUUGUUACGAUGUGAUUAAUCUAAUCCUCGCACACAACUGGAGUGGUUAGGCGAACGCGCUCGAAGUCAAAGCACGUAUCGGAAAUCUUGGAUAUUCAUCUAUGCAGGGAUCAAAUCAAAGAAUGUACUAACUUUCCCAUAACCAAAUCAUUUUGCAAAAACCACGAGGUUUCUUAUUGCAAGCACAACUAAACAUGAACAUGAUACACGAUUCUGAUAUCUCCAAAACCCAAUUCAACUUCACCUCACCUGGUGAACCAGCUUGACUUAUUUAAUCAAGAUACAUCAAAGUACUAGAUUUCUCAACCAUAAUAUGGCACAAACUUCACAUAUGAUCAGUCAUGCCAUGAUCUUCACCCUCAUGCACUUAAAACGUGAGCAUCGAUGUCCUUGGUCAUGUCGAUGAAGAACGCCAUGUACUUGUCGGGGUUAGGGUCGCUCUCCUUGUACUUCUCGUACUCGAUGCUCAACUUAGCCAGACUGCCUUUCUCCUUCGGGAUGAGCUUGCAUACAGGCUUGAAGACCUUAAACUCGUCGAAGAUGUCGCCCUCAAUGCCAUGGAGGGUGAAUGACAUGUUGUCAUCGUCGAACUCAACCUUCUCUUUCAACACCCCUGAUUUUCCUUCUACAUAAUUGCACCAGCCAAAAAAAAUAAAGAAGUUUAGGGGUUAGGCAAUAUGUAGAGGGUCAUCAAUUGAAUUUCAAUGACAACAUCGCGUAAAUUUGUAACUAGAGAGAUGAAAAUUGAAUCAAUUACCAACGGUGUAAUUCCAAAUCUUGAUAGCUCCAUGCCGAUCCCAGUCACCUUCAUGAACUUUGACUCCUUGAAUGUUUUUGGAGGUGGCGGUGGGCAAUUUGUGGGAUUCGCUCCUCCAAAUCUUGAAGAACUUGUCAGCCGGUGAUUGCAGUUCGACUUCAGCUUCUACUUUUCCAUGCAAUUGAGCCAUUUUGUCGCAAAGAUUGAGAUACCAGAAAUUCUACAAGUUUUUCGCCACACUGCCUUUGUCGAGAAAAAAGUGGUUCACAAUUGUUUCUUGUAUAGACUUUGGCAUUCAUUUCGUCUCUACUUUUUCUUUUUUUUUCAUUUCGUCUCUACUUUAGGCCCCACAACGUGAUUCACGUGGUCCAGGGAUUUUUAUCAAUCAUAUCUUCCUGUCAGAAUUGCCGAUUGCUUUUUAAAAUGUAUUUUAGACCAAUAAAAUGAUAUGCCUGAGCAAUUUAUAGCUGUGGCCUUAUAUAUCCAUCCGUCAAUAAUUAAAUGGCUUAUCCGUACAUGAUUCUAUUAAAGUUGCGAGUGGAAAUCAUCUUUUAAGUCGAUUGAUCUGCCAAGCCCAACUUGAAGAUUAUAGAAAAUGCAUAAAAUAAUGAAAAUAGCUAAAGCUUGCCUAUAGGUGGAUUGGAGGCAUACUUGAUGCGUUAUAAGAUGCACUCAUCAUUGCUCGAAAUCAUUGUUGCAGUGCACAUGUGAGAGCGUUAAGCGAAAAAGGUUCCAUACUGAAGAUGCGAUGUAAGAAGUAAUAAAUUUGGCCCAUAAUUUAUUAAUUUAAACUUUUAAGAGAAAAUAGUAUAAUUAUACUGAUGGGUUUUGACAUUAGCUCUCUCUAAUAAUCUUCACAAAUGAAGAUAUUAGCUUUUAACAAGUGGUAAUCUAGUCGAUGGUUACAAAGAAUUGAUAUCUAGUAAAUAUUUAAAAAGAAAAAAGAAAUUUCCAAUGUGACUCAUUGAUCGGGUGGCAGAUGGUGUCCCCCGCUUCUUGCCAUGUUUGGCUGGGCAAAGGCAAUUGAGGUGGAAUUAGAAGGGCAGGUUAUUCUUGCAAACUUUAGGCAAACUUGGCAAGGCCAAGAAGGAGAUUCGAGCUGGGGAUGUUGAUGAAGAAGGAUACUUGAAUAAAGAGUGAGCUACCCUAAGGAAAGAGGCUCACAUGUGGGGAGAGGGGAUUGGUUUAAGUGUUACAUGCGAAGGUAUUAAAUGAAGAGGUUUCACAUCAAAGAUGUAGUGUAAGGUGCAAUAAUUGAAUUGGCCCAAUUAUUCAUUGGUCCAAAUUUUUGGAGUGACGAUAGGUCUCAAAUAGUUAAAUCGAUAGAUUGAGAGUUGGGUUUUUUUUUAUAUCUUUUCACAAUCACUAUAAGUGAAGGUGUGGAGUUUCUUCUAUGCUCCUAACAAUUGUUAUGCACUAGUCUCACCAUUAGGUAUACUAAUAUUGGUUUACCAAAUUGUGUAUACUUAUUGACAUGACAUAGUGCAAGUGGACAUUUAAUCAAGUGGGCCAAUAUCAAGACCCGAUAAUAAGCCAACCACGUCACUUAGUAUAAAAUUUUGUGAAUUAAUCCCACUACAAUAAGCAAUCCUCUGUAGAUAUUACCAUUCGCAUGCUAGGUUAAUUUCAUUGAAAUAUCCUACUUCAUAUAACAUAUUGGAGCAAGAACAUCAAAGACCUUAUAUUAUGCCUGUUAUGACACAUUUAGUCCAAACUAUUUUUUUUGUGAUACUACAAUUCACAAAUUUGUACCCUAGUGUUACAUUUAUCAUUUGUUAAGGUUAUGUGAAACCUGAAAAUGGAGAGUCUUCAGCUGCAAUGGGGACUAAAGAAGCUCUAUUGCGUCAAGAACGUGGCAUUGUUGAUGCUGCUACUUGGACCAGAUCUGGGCAGUAGCAAGAUCUGGGCAAGCCACCCAAGCUUCUAGCUCAACCGGCCAUGGAGGCCGCUAACUUUGAAGCCAGAUCUGACCUCGAAGCUCACAAUCGCUAUGGCCAAAUCUGGCAGGUGGUUAAACAAGGGCCGACAAACUCCACCGGAGGUCCAAGCGGUGAUGGGGCAGCGAGAGACAAGCGCCAAAGGAGCUUGGGCGAAGCAAUUGUGAACUGGAAGACGAUGAAUAGUAACUUUUAAUGCGAUGAACAGUAACUUUGAAGACGAUGACCAAUAACUUGUGAUAAAUAGUACUUUGAAUUUUCUUUUUUUAUCUUUUUAAUCUUUUUCUGAUGUGGUGCUUACAUGACACUGCGUGGUGCCACAUUAGCGGCACUUUUCCUUGGAAAAAUAUUAAUAAUGGCACAUCGAAUUCACAUGUGGUUCUAAAUAGAACCCUAAUAAAGGGUAAAUGUAUUAUUUAAAUACAAAUUUAGAGUUUUUGGUGUCACAAAAAAAAAAGAAAUAAAUGUGUUACAAUUGGUAUAAUGUAUAAUUUUUUAUGACUAUUUCUUUUAUAUAUGACAUAAACACUCAAGUUUUUGAGAAAUAUGGAUAUUCAAUGCAUAUAGUUAUCUUUUUGGCGGACAGCCCUAUUAACAUUUGCUGCCAUGACAGUGGCCUGAAUUUGCAUGUUCACAAAAGAAAUUGUAAGUGCGCUCAACUUAGGAAAAAUUAGAUUCUAUCCGAAGAAUCCAAACGCACCCUAACCAUCUCUCUACGCGCCCCUAACACCAAAUGCGCACCUCUCCCUCCAAUCGUCCCCAUCAAUGGCGACCUUUGCUGCUUCACCACCUACCACCGGUGUCGAUGAGGGGUCCCCUCCGACGUAUAUAGUGAAUUAAGGCCUCCGCCGACACCUUUCUCUCUCUUUCUGAGUGGAAACUGAGCUACUGUCAAACUUGUCAUGAGGAGUCGAUCUCUGUCUUGUCACCUGUAACCAGAUAUUUUAUGGCAACACCAUCUACAAGAGGCACCUCCUCCGGAUAUUCGCUUGCCAUCGACAACUAGCCACGAUCUUGACGGUGAUGGUCAUAUCUCGACGAGGCCCCGAUGUCAGCUUCUAGAAAGGGAGAGCGAGAGACAGGGGUGGUUGGGAUUUGAUUAUUUAUGUCGAGAACCAACUAAUACAGUAUGUCUCGAUACUAGCAGAUGGAAACUAUUAGGAAGGGACAAAACAUCCUCAUUUGCUCCUUUAGGUUUUGCUUGGGAAUCGAGGGAGAAUGGAGGUGAUGAAGAUUAGGGUUGAAAAUAUUGAAAAGUUUAAAAUUCUGAUGAGAAGGAAGAGAAGCGAAGGUUUGGUGGGUUUGCUUCUCUCUUUCCUCCCCUUCUUCUCUUCCAAACAGAGCUUUAGGGCGAGACCACCAAAUUGUCACUGAAGAAAGUCACCCUAGAAAUUCAGUCGAUCAUAGGCUCAUCGUUGGUUUCCCUGGACAGGGGAUGACCAUUCUCUCCCGGCAACUUCCGACUCAUUUCGUAUGCUUCCUAUAAUAUACUCAGCCUUUUAAAUUUGCCCAAAUUUGCAACAAAAGAGAUGCUAAAGUGAUGCUUUCUUAGGGGUGGAUAUAAGAGUUUUCUUGAUGUGAGUUACAUUAAUUGAUAUUGUAAUUUACCAUUUUACGGUUGAUCCGUAAAACGAGGUUUGGUCUAAAGUGAGAUAAAAGGUUUCUUAAUUAGUCUAGUAAGGAACUGGCUAGUGUAGGCCGAGUUGAGCCUGACCCAUAAUGAGGGGCUUGGCUGGAAAUUCGAUAAAUAAUGUUCAACUCUCUCCUCUAACCCUAAUUCUCACAUGUAUCCUCACAUAAGAUGUGUUUACCUAACGUUAGGGUGAGGGGGCCGCUUCAUUGAGCCAGUGAUACGAAGGGCAAUAAAGGAGAAGGACUUGAUGUAUGGAAUAUUGGUUUUCCACUUCCGCUUCAAGAUCAGUGGAUAUCAAAACAGGUGCAUUAAUAUUUCUUCUCAAUAAUGCAUGUUCUUGUUCUGAUUAUGGAGAUCUUGGGGUUACACAAUUUGCAUCCAACAUAUGGUAUCAGAGCAACCAUAACCUUAGAACUUGAACGCAUAAAAAAAUUUCCCUAAUUUGUGAUUUUCGUGAUUUUUUGUUCAAUAAAAAUAAAAUUAAAUCACAAAUUUAGAUUGUGCUUGACAAGACGAACAGAUCCGUAGGCAGCACGUCGCCAAGGGAUGCUGCACGCGCCCCCACACGAGGCCACGCGCCCCCACACGAGGCCACGCGCCCCCACAUGCAAGGCACGGCUCGCACGUGCGAUGCACGCGUCGUGCUAACGUCACGAUGACGUCAGCGACCAGGCCCGAACCGACCCGUUGACCGACCCGACCCGACCCGACCGAGGAUCCGACCUGAUCCGUUGACCGACCCAACCCGGUCAACUUUUGACCAAACCAGUCAGCCGGUUGGACUAGGCAGCUGGACCGAGCGGUCGAGUCAGGAACCGGUUGGACCAGUUUUUGACCGGAUCCUUCGCCCACGCGUGAGCCCCAAGCGCCGCGCACUCAGGCGGCGUGUGCGAGUGUGUGGGACCUCUGAUGGGCGCGUGGUUGAUGGCGUUAGAUUCAUAAGAUCCUCCUCUAACUUAUGGUAUAUUUAUUUUAUAUGUUUAAUGGUUUUAUAGAUGUGAAAAUACAUACAAAACCCUAAAUGCGCAUAUUUUUAGUGUAUUUUUUGCGUAUUUUUCUUACAUUUUUCUGUGAUUUUGGAAAUACAAGUGUUGGAUUACUGGUAUAUUAUCAUAUAAAUAUUAUAAAUGUGCAAUUCAUUAAUAAAAAUUAAACUUUAUUGUGAAUUGAAGCUGACUUAAUGAGAUACAACUAUUAUGGGAUAGUAAUUGAGCUAUAUAUUGAGGUGAUAAGAAACAAUUAGGUUAUGAAACUUUUGUUACUCAAGCAUACUUUUUACACGCUGGUAACCUUUGAAUGAUGGAUGUCUUUAGAACUCAUUAUCAAAUCGAUUGUACUAAUUAACACAUCUAUUGAAUUUAGGUAAUGUAUGUGAGUUAAGUUAUUGCAUAUUGUACCUAAACUCAUCCGAUCACUAGUUGAUAUCUAUCAAGUUAAACAUUUUUUGUUAAUGGUUAAGGAGUAUUGAAACAUUUACUCAUAGCAAUAGUAUCUACUAUUGUAGUUUGGAUACUUAAUUCUGUGAUUUGACUCAAUUAAUAGGUCACUGAUUGAUGCAAUGAUAAUUUGUUACUUAAAAUUGUCUAAUAAAUCAGCUAUUGACUUUAGAGACGUUGUUUAUCUUAUGAAACUCAUAAGCAAUAGUUGAUCAACUGUCGAGAUUGUCAAUCUGGAAUACCCUAUAUUACUAAAAUAAAGCAAUGUAAUUAGCAUGAUAUGUGAUUUUAGUGAUUUAUUAUCCAUAUUACUAAAGUUAAAAUCACAUGUAUAUGGUGUAUGUGAGAAGUAAAGUUUAUAUCCCUAAUAUGAGAAAGUUUCAAGAAUUCAAUUGAGCAGUAACUGCUAAAAUGGCACGCUUGAUUGGAUUUGAGAAAUAUCGGUCACGUAUAAUGAUUGUGAUGUCUCCUGAUCUAAUACAUGGCCAUACUCCCAAAUGAGGUGAUUGUGUAUUAGUUUAUAGAGGGAUACAUGAUGGUGUGGUGGAGGAGUGACUGAUCCUAGUGGUUCAUAUGCUCAAAGGUGAUGAAUUCACGAAGAUUUGAAUAUAUUCUCAUAACCGCUAUCAUGUGGGAAGUGUACAACCGCAUGUCAUAUAUUCUGCCCAAAAAUAAUUAUAUGAUUAUACAUAUAACUCUCUGAAUAUUUACUUAUACGUCAAGUUACACAAUACUCACAUGAUGCUAAUUAUAUACAUUGCUUGUUUUUUCAGUCACAUUUUCUGUAAUUAAUAACUUCAUUAUUAUUGAGAUUUUUACUGCUUCAAAUUUUAAGUAGUGGGCUUGGGAAAAGAGUAAUAAAAUUUGCUUACUGUCUAUGAAGUGUUCCAUUCAAGAACACUUGAAAAGUGAUUUGCCUACGAGCUCCACUACUAGGCAAAUGAUAGAAGUCUUAAUGGCUUGAAAUUAUGUCUUGUCUAAUAUCAAAAUUAGGAUACAUCUACAAAGAUUGUGUUUAAGACAUAAUGAUAUAUAUUAUAUAUAUAUAUAUAUAUAUAUAUAUAUAUAUAUAUAUGUCUCAUAUACGGUUGAAAAUGUUGUUUCCAAAAGUUUUCUAUUUAAGAAAAAUAACCGAGAUAAAGAAUAAAACAGCUAUAAUUAGUCUUAAAGGUUAUCAAGCUUAAUAGUAGCCGUGAAUAUUUUGACAAGUAUGACAAUGCUGAAUAGCUUAAAGGAUCAUUUGUCAAAUACUUGGUCAAUUCUUGGGUGAUAACUUAAUUUACUAUGCCGAAAAAUCCUAACAAAAAGAUUUGUCCGAAAGGCAUAAUUACACCAUAAUUAACAUGGUGAUGAGUAAGACUAAUUUAUACGAUCUACUAUGGUUGAUAUUUUGAAAGCAGCAUUUUCACAUACAAAAGAUAUCUCUUACCAAAGUUGUUUCAUAAACUUCUUUUGAGUUAUAGACUGGACGUAAAUCACUUAAAUCAUAUUAAAUUUAGAGGUGUCAUGCAGAAGUGAGGUUAUCUAAUCUAAUAUUAAGUGCGUUGGAAUUUAGAUUAACUUAAAAUUAUUUUAUAUCUUACCCAGAUUGUUUAAAUAGAUAUUAAUUUUAUGACCCUAACAAAGGUACAAGAAUUAUGAAAUUACAUACUGUAAAGUUUCUAGAGUUUGACAUAGUUGUAGAUGAUUGUUGCUCUCAGACUAUUAAGGAUAAUAGUACGAUGGAGGUUACUGUGUCUUUUUGCUUAUAAAAUAAUUAUAGAUUAAACCUGUUGAAGUUUAAGGUACAAUUCUUAAUCUAGUUUAUGAUGAAAAUUCUCAAAUCUCUCAAGUCAGAAUGAAGUGGUUCUAGUUUUACUUAGGAGAUUUAUUAGGGAAAAACGAUCAAUUAUACCAUCAAACUAUAUAGUCUAUUUGUGAGAGUAUGACUGCAAUAUCCUCUAUAUGGUUGAUUUAUCGACUUAAAUAAAUGUUGUUUCAUAUCCUCAAUCAAGUAUGCGAUUAAAUGUCAUAAAAUAUGAUAUGCAAUCUAUGAAACAUCAUAGUGUUUGGAAACUCAUUGACUUGCCUAAAGAUCACAAGUUCAUUAGUUGCAAAUGGCGUACAAAACUAAAAGGAUUUUAAAGAAAAAUAAAAAUUGUGGAAUUUAAAGCCAAACUAAUAACUAAAGUUUUCACUCUGAAAGAUGGAUGGAUAGUUAAUAGUGAAAAAAUAAUUAUUUAUUUCCAAUAUUUUUAAAGAUUCUUUCAGAGUGAAUGUGGCAUUAAUAGUUUUUUUUUUUAUGAAGUUACGCCAAAUAGAUACAAUAUAUAUAUAUAUAUAUAUAUAUAUAUAUAUAUUUGCAACUUGAAGAUUUUGCAACAGAUGUUUUAAGUAAAAUUAUGUGUAGACUGAAAAGUUUUAUUCAUAGUCUUAAGCAAGUUUCCAAAUAAUAUUAUUAAAGUUUCAUAGUGUUGUUAUUUUGUUCAAUUGGGAACAAAAAAAUUCAAUAUACUACAAGGUUAGUGGGAGGAAAUUUAUUUUUCUCAUACUCUAAGUGAUAUGUUGUUUACAAGUAGUGACCUUGAGACAUCUUUUAUCCUUUGUACUGAGAUUCGUAAGGAUUGUUUUUGUCAUAUUAUAUUAGAUUUUCUCAGAGGACAUUUGCUGAUCGUAUAUUGAAAUUAUUCAAUAUACAUCAUUGCUGGCUAGGAAUUGCUCCUGUUGUUAAGGGUGAUGGAUUGAAUCUAUCACAUUAUCCUUAUUUAGAUAUUGAGAAAAUAUAAUUAAAUGGUAUACCUUGUAUCAGUGCACUUAAAAGUAUAAUGUAUGCUCAAAUUUGCACUAGACUAAAUAUUGUUUUUGCAACGAAACUUCUAAGCAAAAAUCAAUCAAAUCUAGGAUGCAAUCACUAGGUUGCUGUCAAAAAGGUUUUAAGGUACUUAAAAAUGACAAGAUGUUAUAUGUUAAUUUACAGACAUAUUCAAUUCUUACAACUAGUAGGGUAUUCAGAUGUAAACUUUGAUGGUUGUUAGGAUGACAUGUGAUGAAUAACAUAAUACAUUUUUAUGUUAGUAGGAAGUACAGUAAAUAAAGUUCUAUGUCAUCUCUUACUAUGUAAGUAGCGUUAGUAACAUUCUUUUAGACUGUUACUUGGGCUAUUAAACUCUGGAACCUCAUGAAAGAGUUAACCGUUUUUAACUUUAAAAUAGACCCAUACAUUUGUAUUGAGACAAUAAUUUUGUAGGAUUAUUAAUAAUAGAGGUCUCAAUGGGUCUAAAUAUAUGGCGGUCAAAAUUUUUUACCAGAAUGAAACAAUACAAAAAUGUGACGUAAUAAUAUAACAUAUUUUCACAGAUGAUAUGGUUGCAAAUUCACUAAUUAAAAGCCUAUGCCCAUGUGUAUUUGAGCGACAUGUCAUUAGUAUAGGCCUAGGAGCAUCAUGAGAUGUUGUUUAGUGAGAGCUAUUUUGGCUUUACUCUGAUAAAGGUUUCAUCUGUGUUCGUUACACUUUGUAACGGUUUGAUAUGUAUCAACUUUUGCAUACAAUAAAAUAUUUUUGAAUGUAUUGUUAUUAUGUUGAAUACAUAUUGAUAAAGUCUCAAGGUAUUAUAUAAACCUUGAGUGAAGGUUAGGGGCAUUCGAUUAUUAAUCUUGUGCAUAUGUCUUGUUAGACAUAAAGAAAUGUUAACCGUAAGGACAAGACAUAUGUGGGUUCAUUGGAACCAUAAAGACAUUCUCUAGUGACACAAGUUUUUGUGACACUUAAGGUAAGAAAAUUGUGAUUGACAAAUGGGAUCUUUCCAUAAGAGAUGUUAUCAAUUUGCCACACUACCAUAUUGAAUCCAUAUCAAUAAAGUUGAGAGCACUCGUGACCAUGGAAGGCUCUGUGUGUAUACAUGCAGUUAUUGCCAUGAUUCGUGUUUGAGACUUUAUGGGAUGGGAUUGAUUAUUAAGAAUUAUCUCUAGACCAAUGUGCACACAUACGGUAUAAUUUCAAUUAAUAUAGCUCAAGUGGGAGAAUGUAAGAGUUUUCCUAUUAAUUAAUAUUGUAAUUUACCAUUUUACGGUUACGGUAAAACGAGAUUUGGUCUAAGGUGAGAUAAAAGGUUUCUUAAUUAGUCUAAUAUGAGACUAGCUAGUGUGAGCCGAGUUGAGCUUGGCCCGUAAUGAGGGGGCCUGGCUGGAAACUUUAUAAAUAGUACUUUAGUCUUUCCUCUAAUCCUAAUUCUCACAUGCAUCCUCACAUAAGGAGCGUUUACCUAACGCUAAAGGUGAGGGGGCCGCUUUAUUAAGCCAAUGAUACAGAGGGCAAUAGAGGAGAAUGACUUGAUGCAUAAAACAUUGGUUUUCCGCUUCCGCUUCAAGAUCAAUGGAUACCAAAACAGGUGCAUCAAUCUUUCUUCUCAAUAAUGCAUGUUCUUGUUCUGGUUAUAGAGAUCUUUAGGUUGCACAAUUUGCAUCUAACAGUGGAAACUUCAUGAAAUAGCUCGAAUAAAAAUAUAGCAAGCAUUCUUAAUAAAAUAAAAAGUGACUAGAAUAUUACCUCGGGCGAUGCGCGAGAUGGAGUAGGUUUAAAAAAAAAUUCUAAUUUGUAAAUAAAAUGGCAAAUCCAUCUAAUAUCUUUUAAUUUUUAUUUUUUUCAAAAGAAAAUGUACAUAAGUCAAUCAACAAUUGCUAGUCUAAGUUAAUAAUGCACUAAACCAUCUUUCAUUAUUUUAAGUGUGUUCAAAUUAUCAUAUAUAAAUUGCCCCGUGCUUGGGCGCAAAAAAGCUCGUGAUGAAUCAUGUGAUUACAAUUUUUAUGCAAUAUACAAAGGUAAAUUAUAAUUGGCAAAGGAGUCGUAUUUAGCAUAAAAUAACCUAGACAAUAAUCAAAAUUAACAAAUCUAUCGUAAAAUUCAUUAUCAAACAUCAUCAGUGGUUAAAUUAAGUAAGCUAUCAAAAUAUUAUAAGAUAAAUAUAGCAUGACCAUUUCAUUGGACGAAACGUGGAGUGAGUAAUAUGUAUAAUUAAAAAGUAGGAAAAUAUAAAUAAAUAGAAGCUAAAGUUCUCAUUAACUAUGGAUUUUUGUUAGGUCCACUAUUAGUGUAAAAAAUAAGUCACACUAUCACCUAGAUUGUUGAGGAGUGAAUAAAUUUGUUACAUUACUAUCUUCAUGCGGACGUGUCAUCCAUCUAAUAGUUUUUGUGUAGAAAGUUCUUUAUACUCAUAGUGAACUUAAUAAUAAUCUUUUUAAGUACUAAAAAAGACUUAAAAACUCAGAUGAUGAAUAUAUGACAUGCUUUCCAUUAUAGGGAAAAUUAUUCAAGAAAUUCUAAACCUAUUACCCUUUGAUCAAUUCAAUCAUAAACCUUUUAAUUGUGUCAAUUAAGUCCUAAACUUUUACAUGUUUUGUCAUUUAAGUUUAUUUGGCUAAUUUAACUGAAAAUCUUUAACAUGAAUGGCAAUAGUGCCACAUAAAAUAGUCAAUACUAACAUGGAUAAUUUUUUAUAACUUUUUCUUUUUUUCUUUUCUUCUUCUUUUUUUUUUUUUUUUGUUUUCUUUCUUUUCCUUUUUUUUCUACCAAGCCUGGCAAGGUAUCAGCAACCCUCACCGGGCUUGGAAGGGAAAAAAAAAAGAAGAUUUGUUAGCGCAUUAAGGGAAGGAGAUAGAUGAAACAAGAAGUCGAGACCUUUGGCUUCAAUAUCAUAUUCAAUUUGGGAGGACAUCUUCUAUAAAAGUGAAAAUUAUUUAAAAACGUUGUUAAUCACAUUAUUAAGCAUCAACAUGAUUGUAUCUCGAGAAGAAGCGGGAGAUCUUAUACUUGAUUUAUACNNNNNNNNNNNNNNNNNNNNNNNNNNNNNNNNNNNNNNNNNNNNNNNNNNNNNNNNNNNNNNNNNNNNNNNNNNNNNNNNNNNNNNNNNNNNNNNNNNNNUCGACUGAACUUGAGACGGAGGUUUAGCCUAAUGCAAGAAAAACUAGCCGAUAGGAUCAUCCUGCCAGACUAUAAGGAAGCAACUUUCCAUGACUCUCCAUUUUAAACAAAGGAAAACCCUAAUUUUGACUGGAUCAGAGAAGUAGACUAUGUCUCAUACAGGCGGCUACACGCAAACAAUUGCCUUUCUUUCGAUAAUGCUAAAGAAACGCAAUAAAGACAUCAUAACAAGUUUAUAAGAUUAAUCUACAAAGCAUAAGUGGAUGUUUAAAUAAUUAUUACGUCCUACUUGAGUAUUCAAAUUGAAGAUACAGCAUCGAUUUAUGAACCGUGUAAUUUUAAUUUUUUAAUAUUAUUACACAUCAAUCUUUGAUUUUCAGCUAACAUUAUUUUAAUUUUUUAAUAUCCACCUACAUCGAUAAAAAAAAAAUUGACAUAUCUUAUCUCUUUCUGUUUAUUUGUUUUUUUUUUUUUUAAUAAGAUGAGGUCCUGAAAAAGCUUUGACCGAGUGUCGGCCAAAGCUUCUGAGGGCAUGAUAGAUGAAGUUACUGUAUUGAAAGCUAAAAAUAGAAUAAUCCGUGUAAUUUUCCUAACUUAUCGCCUCAAAUCUGCACACUUGAUUGCGAGUUGUGGUUCUAUGGGUGGACCAUAGAAGGAGGUCCGCCAAUGACUGAAAAGAAUUGCUAAAUACCGUGAUACUACAUUUUGCACAGCCGUUGAGAUCAUAUUGAAAUUUCACACCAAAGUCUAAGAGUAAAUUGAUUAAAUUAAGUUUAAGAUUGAAUUGACAUUUAUACAAUAGGUUGUAGAUUGACCGAACGAUUUAUACAUUAUAAAUGCAUUUGAUUACUAAUCGGUGGUCGCUUGAAAAUGGAGGGAAUUUCACACUGGGAAUUUGCUAAAGAAUGGUGGGUGACUUAUCUUAUAGUCAGUACUAAGUCGUAGGCUUAGCUUUAUCAAACAAGUUUAUAGAUGAAUUAUAUUUAAUAAAUAAAUAAAUAAAAAGGAAGGUGCUUGUUUCAAUAAUUCGAAUUGGAAUCGUCGGUUUGCCAAACAAAUUUAAUUGUCGACUGUGCAAUCGCAUGAUUCAUGGUAUUUUCACUGUUUUCAAUCGAAGAAUAUAAGGUACAUUUUAAAUUAAUUUUGUCAAAAUCUUCAAACCGACGCUGUAACGAUUAGUUGGGAGACAAUAAAUGGUGCUCUGAAAGUGAAGGUGUUGAUAGAUUUUCAAAGUGUUAUUGGGGUUAGGUUUGUGAUUGAAUCCGCACAUGUUUGGUAAUAGAGGAGUGGAAGGCUCAAAAAAGUAUCUUAUGGUGUCUAAUCCUAGACCAGGAGGGUUUCUUAUCAGAAAUUAUGGUCUUUGAAAAAGUGUUUACCAACUAGAAAAGUGUUAACUAUUUAGUUUUCGAUCUUGUACAUUCACGUUUUCUUAAUCAAUGUCCAAUCAAAUCAUUUUACUUUUAUAAUUUUUUUAAACAAAUCCAUCCGACAACAAUCUAGCGAAAUCCAACCAACAUGACUGCGGAAUGUGAUGAGGAUUAAAUAUUUUUCUGCCGAUUGUCUAUGUGAGCAUCUAUAUUGGUUAAAAUUUAUAGGCAUCAUAUUCUGACGCUGUUCAAUAUGGGUAUAUUUUCAUACAAUAGUGCCCAUAUAGGUGUCCAUAUUGACUAAAUUCCAUCCAUGUUAUGCUGAGAAGCAAGAGAUUUGGUGGCCAUGGCUGCAACUAGUGGGUUAAGCAGCCAUGGCACAAGCACAGAGAGAGAGAGAGAGAGAGAGAGAGAGAGAGAGAGAGAGAGACGAUGGCGACUUGAGCUGGCAUGGAUGGCGACUUGAGUUGGCAUGGCAACUGUUGUGGCCUCAAUAUACGAGAUCAGUGACCAACUCCAAAGGAGCAACGACGGCACGCACGGUGGAGAGGGGGAACUGUGGUGGCAGGUGUGUUAGUUGGAGCAAGCCUAUCAGAUGGGGAAAGAGUGCGUGGAUUUUGGGUUUUAUGGGAGUAAGAGUAGUUUGGGAAAUGGAUGCGUGUGUUGGAUGUGUUUUGAGUGAUAAUGUGAUUUAUGGUAGAUGAAGAUCACCAUCAAAGCAUGAAGAACAUGCCAUCAGCAAAAUAUGUAGAUUGAGAUAGAUGAAGUUCAUAGCCAGAGACAUAAAGAAACACCACUUGCCAAGGCUAAAGGGACAUCGAAUAGAUAAAGUUCACCACCAAGAUAUCAAGAACAAGCUACCAAUCAAGGAUAAAAGCCUUCAAGAUGGGAGAGAUUCACCACCGAAGCCUAAAGGAAACAUACCAACUAAUGAUAAAGAACUUCUUAGUCCAUCAUUAAGGAACUUACAUUAAAAAAAAAAAAUGGGGCAGAAAUUAGCUCAUUUGAGGAAAAUCCCAUAUACUCACCAAAUUCAAAUCUUCUAUCUUACAAAUGAGAUUACACCUCUAUUUCUGGAGAGAUUUUGCUAAACAAUAGAAAAGACUCUUGAAGUCUAAUAAAUUGAAAUGACUCUAGGAGUAUUUACAUAAUUAAGACUCUUGAAAGUAACAGCAUAUUAAAGGUUAGUAAAAACUAGGACUUGAGAUCUGUAAACUAAGUAUAAAGAUGACUAAUAAUUAGGAAUAAAUGCAUUUAAUGCAUUUAUCUAAGGUUAAAUGCUUUAUAACUUGACUUUAUCCUCCAAGUUUAUCCAUUGAUUUAGGCAGUCAAAUAAACACCUUGAAAGAUCGAGAAAUAGCAGAGGAAAUCGACCAAAAAUAGCCUCUAGUCUCUAGGUAGUCAAUUAGUAGUUUCUACGACCCAAAAAAAAAAAAAAAAAACAAUUAGUAGCUUCAAAAUUGACCAUAAACCUUGUAAAUCAAUAUCUUAGUAGUCGAUGGGCAACCAUGAAAUCGACAACUAGCAUAUAGAAUCACACCUGCAAACUUAAGCCCGUCAAACCAGAUUGUAGCCAAAAUUGGCCUUUGCUUGCAAAAGUAAAGAUUGAGCUGGUUUAACAAUGAUAACUAAGUUAAACUUGACAUAGAACCGGAUGCUUUUGCAUAAGAAAUAAAUGGUAAUUUGAUAAGUCAUGUGUGAGUGAGAAAAAACUUGAAAUCAAUUGUAAAUAUUGAUCAUAAUUGAAAGUUUGAAAUGUGAGGAAUAUAUUUGAUUUAGGAAGUAAAGUUAGAAGAUGAUUUUUGUAAUUUACUGAGAUUUUAAAUGCAAUGACAAGCUUUUCCACAACUUAGCCUUUUACAUUCUAAAAGAGACAUCACAAUUUAUGCAACACUUGCCGAAGCCCAAUCCGUCAGGAAGGCCUGGUGGAUGCAAGCCUAUUUACUCACAACCUUCGAUUUUUUGGCCCAUUCUGAUAAAGACUGCAAAGGGUAAAUCCCCUUUUUGGUGUUGAGUUGAUUUUGUGGGAAGGGAAACGAUAUUUGCAUUGACAUAAUAUAUGAUACGUUUAGCAUCCUGUAUAUAAGGGUCCGGUGUCCACUUUGACCUGGAUAAUUCCAAUACAUAGAUUAAAUAUCUCCCAAAUAAAGUGAUCCGACCUAGAAGUUAGGAUAAGUCUGGAUAGUUUUCAUUUAUUCGGGAAAAGAUGAAUUUGUUCUAAAAUCGGAUCUUUGGAGAACUAGUAAUCAGUUUGAAACCAACAAAUGCUAUAUAUCAAGACAUUUUAAAUCCCAAAAUUUAUACAUUUCUUAUCCAGUCCUAUCCAACUACAUAUCAUGACCAAACAUAGUCUCCAUGAAUGAUGGUCCUUAAAUCAAGUCAACCUCACAUGUAGACUGGCAUGUCUUGUAGUUUUUUCCAAUCAUGGAUGCAUUUGAAUCACAUGGAUGCGAACACAACCUAUGAACUCAAUGCCAACUUACCUGGAAAACAUGCCAUGGAUCAAAUCAGCGCAAGUGGGAACGUUAUACAAGCAAUCUUUUGACAUGGCCUUUUAGAAACUUAAAAACCAACACACCAUGAAGUUUUUUUUUUUUCAUUUGAACCUUUUGAUGAAGUACACACGCUGACUCUAUUAAGCAUGGUAAAAUGAUAAGAACUAGAAACACUUGCCCUUCAACUAUAGAUAAUAGAUGAUAAUAGAUAUUGCACUGAUAAGUGAUAAACCAGUUUCUAUUUGGUGUAACAUGAAAAGAAUAACUAGAAUCCAAAAUCCAUCCAUCAAGCGAUGAAUCAUUAGUGACAGACAAGACAUAAUCAGCACUAUCUACUACAACUGCAACAUUAUCUGCAGAAUCAAUUAUAAUUUCCUUACCCUUCUCAUUUUUCAACUUAAGGCAAUCCCUUCUAAAAUGCCCCCUCUUGCCACAGCUCCAAUAGACAACAUUAGCAGUCCUAGAUUGACUACGCAUGUUCAUAUUAGUACUACUCUUACCCACACAUGUUAUAGAUCUUCCUAUAUUUUCACUUACUAAAGCAGUAGAUACAGAUUAGCCAAAUUCUCUUCUACGAAUAUCCUCGCUCAAAAUUAAAUCUCGAACCCCAUCAAACGUUAAACUUAUUGACCUUGAGGAAUUACUAACAGCAGUAACAGUAAUAUUCCAACUAUCAGGCAAUGAGGAUAACAGAAUCAAAGCACGUACCUCAUCUUCAAAAUCAAUCUCAAUUGAACUCAAUUGACUAACAAUCAUAUUGAAUUCAUUGAUACGAUCUGCAACUGACGCACCUUCUCUCAUCUUCCAAUUAAACAAACAUCGCAUCAAAUAGACCUUGUUGAUCGUAGAGGACUUCUCGUACAUAUCCGAUAAGGCUUGCAUCAAAUCAGCAGUAGUCUUCUCCUUCAAGAUGUUAAAUGCAACGUUACGAGCAAACGUCAUCCAAAUAACACCCAUAGCUCGUCUAUCCAGCAAAUCCCAAUCAGCUUGCUUCAUCAUCUCUAGUUUCUCCCCAGACAAGGGCAAGUGCACUUUUAUCUGAUAAAGAUAAUCUUCAAUAUCUGCAUCUUCCAAAAACUAAAAUCCUUCACAUCAAAUCUAUCAAUUCUCACUUUUACUUCUUCUGUCACCAUCGAUUCGCUUCAACUUAGCCAAGCCUGGCUCUGAUACCAAUUGUUGCGAUAAAGCGAGCGAUUGAACAAUAAUAUAGACAGAUGAAAAAAUAAAUCGGACACCAGAAUUACGUGGUUCAGUCGUAAAGACCUACGUCCACAAGGAAAAUAGCAGCGAAUUUCACUAUAAAUUAAGCGAUACAAGGAGAUUACACAAUCGAGUUACUCAAACACUCUCUCGGUGUUUCCCAAACCCCAAUUUAACCCCAAAUCCAAGUGUUUAUAAAUAAACAACUUACUUAGAGAUAAACUCACGGCACAAAAUUACCGCGCGUUCAAGCUCAAAAUGCGCGUGGAUUCAAGGACUUGCGGCUCCCUUCUACGUACAGCUUUUCUUUUUCUGAUCACACAGGGCUUCAGCGGCAUGGUCCUUGUCUCGGCAUGUACGUAUAGCGGCCAAGCAAGCAAAAACCCUCACUAUCGGCGUCCCUUUUAUAUGUGUGCCCCAAAAGUCAAAUUCUUGACCUAGGGCCCACCUUCUUUUCCUUUUUGGCUUCACGUGAAAGACGCUACAUUGGCCUUUCAUGUCUUUGUGUGUGCAUGUGUGCCCAAGGUCAAACUUUUGACCUUGGGUCACACCAUUAACCAAUCUUCAAUUGUCGAAGGGAAUCACGUGCAGGGGCUUCACUUUUCUUUUCUUCAAUUCGGAUUCCGCAAGCUUCCAUGUGGCAAAGAGGAAACUUUGUUUUCAUUUUCCUUUUAUAUUUCCUCUUUUAUAAUCCUUCGUGUAGUCCCACAAAAACUUGAGACAUAAUUUAACAAGUAGGAUCAAUUUAUAGUGAAUAUCUCAAAAUAAGAAUUUGCAGUGUGACUCUUCAAUCUAGGCAAUGGAUGGCGUUCCUUACUUCUUGCCAAGUUUGUCUUGGCAAAGCCGAUUGAGGUAGAGUUAAAAGGGCAAAUGUUAUUCAAGCAAACAUUAGUCAAACUUGGCAUGGCCAAGGUAGAGAUUCAAGCUAAGAAUGUCAAUGUAGAAGGACACUUGAAUUAAGAGGGAGCUAGCCUAAUGGAAUAGGCUCACAUGUUGGGGGUGAUCUAUUUAAGUGCAUGUGUGAAGGUAUUAGGUGGAAAAAAUUCCACCUCAAUGAUGUGGUGGAAGGUGGAGCAAUUAUUUUGGUCUAGUAAAUCAUUUAUUUAAGCUUUUGGAGUGGAGGUGGGUUUUACUAUAGGCUCAGAGUUGGGCUCUGGCAAGACCUAGUGUAAGGUGGAGCAAUUAGUUUAGCCAAAUAACUCGAUAAUUCAAGUUUUUGAAGCAGAGAUGAGUCUAACUAAAUAUAUUGAUGGACUCAAAGUUAAGCUCCUUCUUCACCAUCUUCUCAAGUGAAGGUAUUGAAUUUCUUUUGUGCUCCUUACAAUUGUUAUACACUAGUCUCAACACUAGAUAUACUAAGACCGGUCUACAAAGUUUUGUAUCUAAGUGACGUGACAGAGUAUAAGUGACCAUUUAAUCGAGUGGGUCAUCGUCAAGACCUAAUAAAAAGCCUAUCAUGUCACUUAGUAUACGAUUUUCAGAUGUGAUCUCAAUAUACUUAGCCUCUUUUAUAGACAUUGCCAUUUCCAUAUAUGGGUUGAUUUCAUUGAAAUAUUCUACAUACACUUUGGGUUUAUUUGUUUGAAAGAAUAUCGUUUAUGGAAAAUGAUUUUCUGAAAUUCCAGCAUUUGGACAACAAAAAAACUAGCUGAUUUACAAAAAAAAAAAAAUCAUGAAUAGCAAAUAACUUCCUUUUUCUAAUGAAAAAGAAUUUCAUAUAUCAUCAAAUGAACGAAAAGUAAUUAUUUUUCUUGACAAAUAUUUUUAUGAAAUUUUUUCCCUUACAAGUUUUCGGGGAAAGAAACUCACUCCCUCUCUAUAUGGCAUAUACGCUCAAGCUUUUGAAAAAUAGGGAUUUUCAACGGGUAUGGUUAUUUUAUUGUCGGGCAGGGGGGUUAACAAAAUACCCAUGACAGAUUGCUUGCAUUUUCAACUUAUUUUCAACUUAGAAAGAUUCCAUUUUAUGAAAGAAUCCUAACUUCCCCUAAUCACACCAGUUUACUCCAAAUCCUCUCCCCCCCCCCCCNNNNNNNNNNNNNNNNNNNNNNNNNNNNNNNNNNNNNNNNNNNNNNNNNNNNNNNNNNNNNNNNNNNNNNNNNNNNNNNNNNNNNNNNNNNNNNNNNNNNGAUUGUGGUGGCAGGUGUGUUAGUUGGAGCAACCCUAUCAGCUGGGGAAAGAGUGGGUGGAUUUUGGGUUUUAUGGGAGUAAGAGUAGUUUGGGAAAUGGAUGCGUGUGUUGGAUGUGUUUUGAGUGAUAAUGUGAUUUAUGGUAGAUGAAGAUCACCAUCAAAGCAUGAAGAACAUGCCAUCAGCAAAAUAUGUAAAUUGAGAUAGAUGAAGUUCAUAGCCAGAGACAUAAAGAAACACCACUUGCCAAGGCUAAAGGACAUCGAAUAGAUAAAGUUCACCACCAAGAUAUCAAGAACAAGCUACCAAUCAAGGAUAAAAGCCUUCAAGAUGGGAGAGAUUCACCACCGAAGCCUAAACGAAACAUACCAACUAAUGAUAAAGAACUUCUUAGUCCACCAUUAAGGAACUUACAUUAAAAAAAAAAAAAUGGGGCAGAAAUUAGCUCAUUUGAGGAAAAUCCCAUAUACUCACCAAAUUCAAAUCUUCUAUCUUACAAAUGAGAUUACACCUCUAUUUCUGGAGAGAUUUUGCUAAACAAUAGAAAAGACUCUUGAAGUCUGAUAAAUUGAAAUGACUCUGGGAGUAUUUACAUAAUUAAGACUCUUGAAAGUAACAGCAUAUUAAAGGCUAGUAAAAACUAGGACUUGAGAUCUGUAAACUAAGUAUAAAGAUGACUAAUAAUUAGGAAUAAAUGCAUUUAUCUAAGGUUAAAUGCUUUAUAACUUGACUUUAUCCUCCAAGUUUGUCCACUGAUUUAGGCAGUCAAAUAAACACCUUGAAAGAUUGAGAAAUAACAGAGGAAAUCGACCAAAAAUAGCCUCUAGUCUCUAGGUAGUCAAUUAGUAGUUUCUACGACAAAAAAAAAAAACAAUUAGUAGCUUCAAAAUUGACCAUAAACCUUGUAAAUCAAUAUCUUAGUAGUCGAUGGGCAACCAUGAAAUCAACAACUAGCAUAUAGAAUCACAUCUGCAAACUUAAGCCCGUCAAACCAGAUUGUAGCCAAAAUUGGCCUUUGCUUGCAAAAGUAAAGAUUGAGCUGGUUUAACAAUGAUAACUAAGUUAAACUUGACAUAGAACCGGAUGCUUUUGCAUAAGAAAUAAAUGGUAAUUUGAUAAGUCAUGUGUGAGUGAGAAAAAACUUGAAAUCAAUUGUAAAUAUUGAUCAUAAUUGAAAGUUUGAAAUGUGAGGAAUAUAUUUGACUUAGGAAGUAAAGUUAGAAGAUGAUUUUGGUAAUUUACCAAGAUUUUAAAUGCAACAACAAGCUUUUCCACAACUUAGCCUUUUGCAUUCUAAAAGAGACAUCACAAUUUAUGCAACACUUGCCGAAGCCCAAUCCGUCAGGAAGGCCUGGUGGAUGCAAGCCUAUUUACUCACAACCUUCGAUUUUUUGGCCCAUUCUGAUAAAGACUGCAAAGGGGAAAUCCCCUUUUUGGUGUUGAGUUGAUUUUGUGGGAAGGGAAACGAUAUUUGCAUUGACAUAAUAUAUGGUACGUUUAGCAUCCUGUAUAUAAGGGUCCGGUGUCCACUUUGACCUGGAUAAUUCCAAUACAUAGAUUAAAUAUCUCCCAAAUAAAGUGAUCCAACCUAGAAGUUGGGAUAAGUCUGGAUAGUUUUCAUUUAUUCGGGAAAAGAUGAAUUUGUUCUAAAAUCGGAUCUUUGGAGAAUUGGUAAUCAGUUUGAAACCAACAAAUGCUAUAUAUCAAGACAUUUUAAAUCUCAAAAUUUAUAUAUUUCUUAUCCAAUCCUAUCCAACUACAUAUCAUGACCAAACAUAGUCUUCAUGAAUGAUGGUCCUUAAAUCAAGUCAACCUCACAUGUAGACUGGCAUGUCUUGUAGUUUUUCCAAUCAUGGAUGCAUUUGAAUCACAUGGAUGCGAACACAACCUAUGAACUCAAUGCCAACUUACCUGGAAAUCAUGCCAUGGAUCAAAUCAGCGCAAGUGGGAACGUUAUACAAGCAAUCUUUUGACAUGGCCUUUUAGAAACUUAAAAACCAACAUACCAUGAAGUUUUUUUUUUUUUUUUUUUCAUUUGAACCUUUUGAUGAAGUACACACGUUGACUCUAUUAAGCAUGGUAAAAUGAUAAGAACUAGAAACACUUGCCCUUCAACUAUAGAUAAUAGAUGAUAAUAGAUAUUGCACUAAUAAGUGAUAAACCAUUUUCUAUUUGGUGUAACAUGAAAAGAACAACCAGAAUCCCAAAUCCAUCCAUCAAGCGAUGAAUCAUUAGUGACAGACAAGACACAAUCGGCACUAUUGGCUACAACUGCAACAUUAUCUGCAUAAUCAAUUAUAAUUUCCUUACCAUUCUCAUUCUUCAACUUAAGGCAAUCUCUUCUAAGAUGCCCCCUAUUGCCACAGCUCCAAAAGACAACAUUAGCAUUCCUAGAUUGACUACGUCUGUUCAUAUUAGUACUACUCUUACCCACACAUGUUAUAGAUCUUCCUCUAUUUUCACUUACUAAAGCAGUAGAUACAGAUUCGCCAAAUUCUCUUCUACAAAUAUCCUCGCUCAGAAUUAAAUCUCGAACCCCAUCAAACGUCAAACUUAUUGACCUUGAGGAAUUACUAACAGCAGUAACAGUAGUAUUCCAACUAUCAGGCAAUGAGGAUAACAGAAUCAAAGCACGUACCUCAUCUUCAAAAUCAAUCUCAACUGAACUCAAUUGACUAACAAUCAUAUUGAAUUCAUUGAUACGAUAUGCAACUAACGCACCUUCUCUCAUCUUCCAAUUAAACAAACAUCGCAUCAAAUAGACCUUGUUGAUCGUAGAGGGCUUCUCGUACAUAUCCGAUAGGGCUUCCAUCAAAUCAGCAAUAGUCUUCUCCUUCAAGAUGUUAAAUGCGACGUUACGAGCCAACAUCAGCCAAAUAACACCCAUAGCUUGUCUAUCCAGCAAAUCCCAAUCAGCUUGCUUCAUCGUCUCUGGUUUCUCCCCAGACAAGGGCAAGUGCACUUUUAUCUAAUAAAGAUAAUCUUCAAUAUCUGCAUUUUCCAUAAACUAAAAUCAUUCACAUCAAAUCUAUCGAUUCUCACUUUUACUUCUUCUGUCGCCAUCGAUUCGCUUCAACUUAGCCAAGUCUAGCUCUGAUACCAAUUGUUGCGAUAAAGCGAGCGAUCGAACAAUAAUAUAGACAGAUGAAAAAAAUAAAUCGGACACCAGAUUUACGUGGUUCAGUCAUAAACACCUACGUCCACGAGAAAAGCAGUAGCGAAUUUCACUAUAAAUCAAGCGAUACAAUAAGAUUACACAAUCGAGUCACUCAAACACUCUCUCGGUGUUUCCCAAACCCCAAUUUAACCCCAAAUCCAAGUGUUUAUAAAUAAACAACUUACUUGGAAAUAAACUCACGGCACAAAAUUACCGCGCGUUCAAGCUCAAAAUGCGUGUGGAUUCAAGGACUUGCGGCUCCCUUCUACGUACAGCUUUUCUUUUUCUAAUCACAAAGGGCUUCAGCGGCAUCGUCCUUGUCUCGGCAUGUACGUAUAGCGGCCAAGCAAGCGAAAACCCUCACUGUCGGCGUCCCUUUUAUAUGUGUGCCCCAAAAGUCAAAUUCUUGACCUAGGGCCCACCUUCUUUUCCUUUUUGGCUUCACGUGAAAGACGCUACAUUGGCCUUUCAUGUCUUUGUGUGUGCAUGUGUGCCCAAGGUCAAACUUUUGACCUUGGGUCCCACCAUUAACCAAUCUUCAAUUGUCGAAGGGAAUCACGUGUAGGGGCUUCACUUUUCUUUUCUUCAAUUCGGAUUCCGCAAGCUUCCAUGCGGCAAAGAGGAAACUUUGUUUUCAUUUUCCUUUUAUAUUUCCUCUUUUGUAAUCCUUCGUGUAGUCCCACGAAAACUUAAGACAUAAUUUAAUAGGUAGGAUCGAUUUAUAGUGAAUAUCUCAAAAUAAGAAUUUGCAGUGUGACUCUUCAAUCUAGGCAAUGGAUGGUGUUCCUUACUUCUUGCCAAGUUUGUCUUGGCAAAGCCGAUUGAGGUAGAGUUAAAAGGGCAAAUGUUAUUCAAGCAAACAUUGGUCAAACUUGGCAUGGCCAGGGUAGAGAUUCAAGCUAAGAAUGUCAAUGUAGAAGGACACUUGAAUUAAGAGGGAGCUAGCCUAAUGGAAUAGGCUCACAUGUUGGGGGUGAUCUGUUUAAGUGCAUGUGUGAAGGUAUUAGGUGGAAAAAAUUCCACCUCAAUGAUGUGGUGGAAGGUGGAGCAAUUAUUUUGGUCUAGUAAAUCAUUUAUUUAAGCUUUUGGAGUGGAGGUGGGUUUUACUAUAGGCUCAGAGUUGGGCUCUUGCAAGACCUAGUGUAAGGUGGAGCAAUUAGUUUAGCCAAAUAACUCGAUAAUUCAAGUUUUUGAAGCAGAGAUGAGUCUAACUAAAUAUAUUGAUGGACUCAAAGUUAAGCUCCUUCUUCACCAUCUUCUCAAGUGAAGGUAUUGAAUUUCUUUUGUGCUCCUUACAAUUGUUAUACACUAGUCUCAACACUAGAUAUACUAAGACCGGUCAACAAAGUUUUGUAUCUAAGUGACGUGACAGAGUAUAAGUGACCAUUUAAUCAAGUGGGUCAUCGUCAAGACCUAAUAAAAAGCCUAUCAUGUCACUUAGUAUACUAUUUUCAGAUGUGAUCUCAAUAUACUUAGCCUCUUUUAUAGACAUUGCCAUUCCCAUAUAUGGGUUGAUUUCAUUGAAAUAUUCUACAUACACUUUUGGUUUAUUUGUUUGAAAGAAUAUCGUUUAUGGAAAAUGAUUUUCUGAAAUUCCAGCAUUUGGACAACAGAAAAACUAGCUGAUUUACAAAAAAAAAAAAAAACAAAAACAAAAACAAAAACAAAUUUCAUGAAUAGCAAAUAACUUCCUUUUUCUAAUGAAAAAGAAAUCACUAUUUCAUAUAUCAUCAAAUGAACGAAAAGUAAUUAUUUUUCUUGACAAAUAUUUUUAUGAAAUUUUUUUCCUUACAAGUUUUCGGUGAAAGAAACUCACUCACUCUCUAUAUGGCAUAUACGCUCAAGCUUUUGAAAAAUAUGGAUAUUCAACGCGUAUGGUUAUAUUAUUGUCGGGCAGGGGGGUUAACAAUAUAGCCAUGACAGAUUGCUUGCAUUUUCAACUUAUUUUCAACUUAGAAAGAUUACAUUUUAUGAAAGAAUCCUAACUUACCCUAAUCACAUCAGUCUACUCCAAAUCCUCUCCCCCCCCCCCCCCCGGGGGGCCCGGGGUCUCUCUCUUUAAUCGCCGUCUAUCUCGUGGCCUUGAUCCCGCUGAUGAUUGAGGCAACAGUAUCUACAGAGCCCCCUGCUCCAAAUCUAGCCUCCUCGUCAAGAUGCGAUGGUCAGAUCUCAACGAGGUCUCGAAGCAGCUCUAAAGAGGGAGAGGCAGAGAGAAGGGUUAAUAGCAGUGUUCCGUCGGAGUUUGAUGUGUCCAGAGCAAAUUAAUACAGUGGACAUACCUGAUGAAUUAUAACAAUGGGACAGAUGUGCAUAUAUUCCUUUAGGCUUUGCAUGGGAAUUGAGGGAAAAUGGAAAAUCAGGGUGAAAGAAUAAAAAGUUUAAACUGAAAAUGAGACAUAUGGUCAUCAAAAUGUUGAUUCAACAUAUAAUGUUGUUCGUAAACUUUUAACUUGUUCAAUAUGUUAAAUGAGGUUUCCAAACUAUUAAUAAAGCUUUUAAUCUAAUCUUUAAAUUAUAUGAAAAAUGCUUAAUGUCGAUUUUGCAUUAAUUUAAUUUAAUAGAAUAUGUUGAUACGAUUCCAACUUGUUAACUUUGAACAGUGCACAACAAACAAUAAUUACAUGUGAAUUAUCCAAAUGAGAUAUCUAUUUCAAAUAAGGAUAUAGUAAUCUACAUCAUUAAAUAACAAUGGACAUGUUAAAAAAAUUUCAUUUUCUAACAUAGAUGGAUAAAAAGCUGGACACGUUGACUCAUAAUUUUUUUUAAACUAAGUCAGCAUGUAAUAAUCAACGUCAUCAAGCAACAUCUAAUUUGGCUUUUGAACAAACGAAAAGACCAUGUUAAAUAUUUGUCAAUAGUUCAAGGACCAUAUUAAACAAAUUAAAAACAUAUGAAUAACAUUGCACGUUGAANNNNNNNNNNNNNNNNNNNNNNNNNNNNNNNNNNNNNNNNNNNNNNNNNNNNNNNNNNNNNNNNNNNNNNNNNNNNNNNNNNNNNNNNNNNNNNNNNNNNNNNNNNNNNNNNNNNNNNNNNNNNNNNNNNNNNNNNNNNNNNNNNNNNNNNNNNNNNNNNNNNNNNNNNNNNNNNNNNNNNNNNNNNNNNNNNNNNNNNNNNNNNNNNNNNNNNNNNNNNNNNNNNNNNNNNNNNNNNNNNNNNNNNNNNNNNUAAAAUUUCUAAGCUGGCGAUUUGACUCACAUCGCUCUCAAUCGAUCUAGAGCCAUUUGGUUUUUUGAAACGAUGAGUUAAUUAAAAUUCGAAACAUGAAGACUUAUCUGCAAACAAAUCAGCAUGGAUAUACUUCAUUUGUAUAGAUGAUACAGGCCGCCCUUGAUUUUUGUGGAAAAGUUACUAGUUCAGUACAAACCUAUUAUACGGAUAUUAAUGUAGGCUUAAACUUUCCAAUUUUGUUAAUAUAGUUCUAAAUAUUUGCGCAAAAUUUCAAUUUAAGCAUUCGACCGAUUGCCGCCAAAAAUCACUAACUUGGUGAUCCACAAAACAUCCAUGUUAACAUGUCACGUAAGAUGACUGGCGAUGAUUGAACACCACAUUAGCAAUUCCUGGCAAUAAUUGGCCAAAAACGUUACAUGGGAAUUUCACGUGGAGGUUUAGGACUACAUGACAAAAACUGAAUUGAUAUCCGCACAAUAGUUUUAAGAUUAAUUGAGUAAUUAUUCUAAUAUUUUUUAAAAUAUAUUUAUAGAAGGUCUCGAAGGACAUUAUUCAUGUGAUCUUUGGUAUUUAUUUUAUGCACAAUAACUUUAAGAUUGAUUGGGUAAUUAUCUCGGCUUUUUUAAAAAUAUGUUUCUAGAGGGUCCCCCAAGACCUGAUUCAUGUGAUCCUUGAUAAUUAUUGUAUGCACUUAUCUCGGUUUAAUAUAUAUAUGUUUCUAGAGGGUCCCGCAAGACAUGAUUCAUUUGUUUCAGUCGACCAAUCUUCACCCACUAACUAAUUCUUGCAGCGCGCACAUUGCAAAAAUCAAAUCUCUAUUUAAUUAAUAGCUCGUUAAUUUUGAUAAAUCGUUCACUAUUGAAUCAAUCUCAAUACACAUUGUCACAUUCUCACGGCUAGAAGGGAUGAACAAUCGGGUGAUGUAUCAUUGCUGUACUGAUCGAUGUAGGCCAAUGUACACAUGAACGUACACAGAAGACACGAUUUUCCUGUGAUUUCACUUGUGUAAGAGGGAAUCUCUGGANNNNNNNNNNNNNNNNNNNNNNNNNNNNNNNNNNNNNNNNNNNNNNNNNNNNNNNNNNNNNNNNNNNNNNNNNNNNNNNNNNNNNNNNNNNNNNNNNNNNNNNNNNNNNNNNNNNNNNNNNNNNNNNNNNNNNNNNNNNNNNNNNNNNNNNNNNNNNNNNNNNNNNNNNNNNNNNNNNNNNNNNNNNNNNNNNNNNNNNNNNNNNNNNNNNNNNNNNNNNNNNNNNNNNNNNNNNNNNNNNNNNNNNNNNNNNNNNNNNNNNNNNNNNNNNNNNNNNNNNNNNNNNNNNNNNNNNNNNNNNNNNNNNNNNNNNNNNNNNNNNNNNNNNNNNNNNNNNNNNNNNNNNNNNNNNNNNNNNNNNNNNNNNNNNNNNNNNNNNNNNNNNNNNNNNNNNNNNNNNNNNNNNNNNNNNNNNNNNNNNNNNNNNNNNNNNNNNNNNNNNNNNNNNNNNNNNNNNNNNNNNNNNNNNNNNNNNNNNNNNNNNNNNNNNNNNNNNNNNNNNNNNNNNNNNNNNNNNNNNNNNNNNNNNNNNNNNNNNNNNNNNNNNNNNNNNNNNNNNNNNNNNNNNNNNNNNNNNNNNNNNNNNNNNNNNNNNNNNNNNNNNNNNNNNNNNNNNNNNNNNNNNNNNNNNNNNNNNNNNNNNNNNNNNNNNNNNNNNNNNNNNNNNNNNNNNNNNNNNNNNNNNNNNNNNNNNNNNNNNNNNNNNNNNNNNNNNNNNNNNNNNNNNNNNNNNNNNNNNNNNNNNNNNNNNNNNNNNNNNNNNNNNNNNNNNNNNNNNNNNNNNNNNNNNNNNNNNNNNNNNNNNNNNNNNNNNNNNNNNNNNNNNNNNNNNNNNNNNNNNNNNNNNNNNNNNNNNNNNNNNNNNNNNNNNNNNNNNNNNNNNNNNNNNNNNNNNNNNNNNNNNNNNNNNNNNNNNNNNNNNNUAGUCCAUUAUUGAGAUGGAACAUGACUCCUUUCUCACCCUCUUUUUAAUGAUGACAAAAAGGGGGAGAACCAAUUUGAACAAACAUUAUUUUAAAACUUUAUUUGAAGUGACUUUUGUGUUUAUGUUUAUUUUUUAGUAUGACUUGAGAACUUGAACUUGACAGUGCACAACAAACAAUAAUUACAUGUGAAUUAUCCAAAUGAGAUAUCUAUAUCAAGUAUUGUUACAUGGUAUUACUCAUGAAAGACUAACCAAUUUGCUGUGGAUGCAGAGUCUGGUUGUUUAUUAAUCUUUAUGAGUUAGCCAUAUUGCUUGAGAAAUGUUUUUGCAGGUCAAAGUUGUUCAAAUCUUCAAGAAAGUUUUGUCACCAUCAAAAAGGGGGAGAUUGUUGGAGAAAUCUUUCCAGAAUAUUUUGAAGCUGACAAAACAUUUCUAUCAGUCUAAGUCUGGAUAUCGAUAGUUAAAGUCUCAAGAAUUUAUAGUCUCAAGACUUUGUUAUCUCAAGACUCAAGACUCAAGACUCAAGACUCAAGACUCAAAAUUAUUCUCACUGACAGUCUUUCUAAUCCAGUGUUGAAGGAAAUCCAAAGUCGAGGUUUAUGGUUGAGGAUUUGAUUCUAUCCUCUGGAAUAGAUUCUUUGGUUGGAUAAUCAUUUCGGAUUCUUUAAUUCUUAUCUAAGAACAAUUGAAGAUCCGAUGGUCGACGAAAUAAUCUUGGAUUAUUCUAUUCUUGGAAACCGAGAUCCUGAUUGUAUGGGCGAACAGGAUUGAUGGGCUAUCAUCAGAUUCCUUAAAUAGCUCGGAUGAUCUUCUUGAUUGAUUCCGUCCAACGGGUAGAUUGGAGGAAUUCCUUUGGUAAGUGCCAACGGCUAUGAUGGCAUGAAGGAGUAUAAAAGGAAGAUGUUCUAGUUGUUUUAAGUGUGUGAUCGAUAGAAAAAUUCCAGAGUCUGAAGAUCCUUGAUUGUUAGUCGAGACUGAGCGAAAUUGUACACAGAGAGUGUUUAUACUUGGUAACGCCUUGAGCGAGUGUGGUAGAUCAUCUACACCUAGAAAUCAAGGAAGAUCAACACUGUAACAACUCUUUGAUCAUAGUGGAAUCCAGCCAAUCGGCUGUCAGUGCAGAAGAGUGGACGUAGGCUUGAAUUAAGCCGAAUCACUAGAAACUAAGUGUUCAAUUCUCUCUUUCCCUUACUCAGUCUUGCGAUUGAAUUUUUAACUGUUGCAAAUUCUCUAAUUGUUUAAAUAUCGUGCAAGCUUCGAGAAAUUUUUUUGUAUACCUAUUCACCCCCCCUCUAGGUACUCGUACUAGCUAUUUCACAAACGAAAAGACUAUGUUAAAUAUUUGUCAAUAGUUCGAGGACCAUAUUAAAAAAAUUAAAAACAUAUGAAUAACAUUGCACGUUGAAUUAAAGUUAAUGAAUCACUUGUGUCAUUUUCCUUUUAAAAGUUCGUGAUGAGGGAGACAAGGGAAAAUUGAAAAAAAAAUUAUUUAAAGAUUGUUACUUUCUUAAAAUAUUUUCUAUUUCAAAUUUUUACAAUACUUCAAUAUUGAUUGAAAAUCUAUAAAAUUAGGAAGUUCACACUACAGAACAAAAAUUAAAAAUUAAAAGGCUAAUCAAUGGCCUCUAAACUUUACCGGCAUCGUGAUUCCGAAUCUUGUAAAAUUUCUAAGCUGGCGAUUUGACCUCCACAUCGCUCUCCAAUCGAUCCUAGGAGGCCAUUUGGUUUUUUGAAACGAUGAGUUAAUUAAAAUUCGAAACAUGAAGACUUAUCUGCAAACAAAUCAGCAUGGAUAUACUUCAUUUGUAUAGAUGAUACAGGCCGCCCUUGAUUUUUGUGGAAAAGUUACUAGUUCAGUACAAACCUAUUAUACGGAUAUUAAUGUAGGCUUAAACUUUCCAAUUUUGUUAAUAUAGUUCUAAAUAUUUGCGCAAAAUUUCAAUUUAAGCAUUCGACCGAUUGCCGCCAAAAAUCACUAACUUGGUGAUCCACAAAACAUCCAUGUUAACAUGUCACGUAAGAUGACUGGCGAUGAUUGAACACCACAUUAGCAAUUCCUGGCAAUAAUUGGCCAAAAACGUUACAUGGGAAUUUCACGUGGAGGUUUAGGACUACAUGACAAAAACUGAAUUGAUAUCCGCACAAUAGUUUUAAGAUUAAUUGAGUAAUUAUUCUAAUAUUUUUUAAAAUAUAUUUAUAGAAGGUCUCGAAGGACAUUAUUCAUGUGAUCUUUGGUAUUUAUUUUAUGCACAAUAACUUUAAGAUUGAUUGGGUAAUUAUCUCGGCUUUUUUAAAAAUAUGUUUCUAGAGGGUCCCCCAAGACCUGAUUCAUGUGAUCCUUGAUAAUUAUUGUAUGCACUUAUCUCGGUUUAAUAUAUAUAUGUUUCUAGAGGGUCCCGCAAGACAUGAUUCAUUUGUUUCAGUCGACCAAUCUUCACCCACUAACUAAUUCUUGCAGCGCGCACAUUGCAAAAAUCAAAUCUCUAUUUAAUUAAUAGCUCGUUAAUUUUGAUAAAUCGUUCAACUUUAGUCAUAUAAUAUUUAGCUAUUUAUAUAGAUUAGCAGAUUUUAUUGAUCUAGCCCAUUGUUCAAAUCUUUGGCCAACAAAAGACAAGGAUUUUUACGUUAAUUUCACCUCUAAAAGAGAGAAUCUUAGAGCGGUAAGAUCAUCCCCAUCUUAUACUCGUGUUCCAUGGCUAAGAUGGAAGGAUUAUUUACAUUGCUUUAUGUAUGUAGGUGAAACUGGGAUUGGCCAAUUUUGUUGAGGAUUCAAAGGCGCAAUCAACGAUCUAAGUAUGUAUAUGUGCAUCCAUCGCCCAAUAUAUGCAUGUAUGAAAUUGUUGUCGUGGCCAAAAUAGAAAAAAAAAAUGUGGAAGCUGUAUGAUUGUUGUCAUAUCGACUCAAAAGUAUCAAUACCACGUGAAUUUAGCACUCUAGAUUUCUGGUUAUCCAGAAAUCACCAGAAAUCUAGAGUGCUAAAUUCACAAAAUGAGAACAAUCUUGCAAACACACAAGUUUGUGUGAAAACACAGGACUUUCUCUCUCUAAAUGUAUUCUGAUUAAGAAUGAAGAAGUUUUUGUUCUCCAAUCGAGACACUUAUUGGUGAUAGAGGAAAGUGUAACCUAAAAUGGAUAAAACAUCUAAUCUAUAUCACAAAAUAGCAACAAAUUCAUAAUUUCUAUCUUCAAAUAAUAGUUUUGUAAACUAACUUAAUCCUUAUAAUAAUUUCUAUCUUAAUCCUGUAAAUCAAAUACUCAUUUGAAUAAUAUUUAUUUAAAUUACUGCUAUAUCUGGAAGUCAACAUACAUUGGAUGAGAUAUUUAAAAUCAUAUCAUAUCCUUGUCUUAUCUGAUAUUAUUUUAUCAAACAAAAAUGUCCGAAUGGCCAAAUGUAGUGUAAGCAACUUUCAUACUUAAUCUCCUGGGAUGUCUUCUUGUAGUGUAGGCAACUUUCAUACUUAUCCCAUCCCUAAUGUAAGCAACGUUCAUGCUAACGUCACACUCACAUUGGAUAUCCCAAUCCUAAUCUCCAGCGAUGUCUUCUACUCAAGCCAUCAUAUGAUUUGACAACACUACUAAUCGUCCUUCGGAAAACAGAGGUGCUCCAAUUUAUAAUAAACUUUCGCGCUUUUGUCAUGCUCAAAUAUCAUGUCUGAACCCUAAUGCAAAGGGGGUGUCAUCAUCCAUUAGAAUUGACAACACUUCUGAAAAAUCGGACCUGGGAAAAUGGAGGAAGUCCUUGCGAGGAUUUUAAGGAGAGAGCUAGCUUCGCAACUUAACUCUCUCUCAUUGAAACCAAAAAAGAAAACGACAACAGUGAAAAUAAUAAUAACCAUUUAUAACCUUCUUUCCUUAUACAAUUGUAUUCUCGACUUUUGAAAUAUACAGUUUGUACCGUGGAUCAAGGCAUAUGCUUCAAACCAUGGGGUCUAGAAAAGUUAUGUAAAAUGGUCAACGCCAGGUUUGGUUUUUUCUAAGGAAAAAACAAGGUGCAAAGAAUAGACAGAGAGCAUUAAUUUUGAUAUUAUAAAACUAUUGGAUGGAAAAUGUAACUAAUGGGAAAACUGAGGAUCACUUUUCUGAUUCUAAGAUACUAUAUAAUAAGAUGAUAGGUUGAAUAAUGGACGGAAAGAAUAUUACGCUUGGCGCAAACAACAAGAAAGCAAAGGUAAGUGCUAGAAAGAGAAUGGAACCCCGAAAUGGUUGAAAGUAAGCAAUGACUCAGAUAUCAUACUAAAUGAUUUAACUUAGAAAUUUAAAGGCCUGUUUUUUUUUUCUCGAAAUUCAAAGGCUUGUUCAAGAGAUAAGUAUUUUCAUCCUUCUCGUUCAAGACUUGAGUUUGAAUCAUCAUUCUUCUUUUGAGACCACUCCAAAAAAUAUAAAGAUGCGUGUCUCGAACCAUUAGAAGCUUACCCCACUAUUACCAUUCUAAAAUGGGAAUGAGGAGGAGGAGAGGUCCGAACUUCAAGUGGGUCAGUGGACCCACCGAGGAGCUUUAAAGUUUGGGAAUACACUUGACAGGAAAAAAAAAAGAAAAAAAAAACAUAUAUGUGUCUUCAUUAAUUAUUCAGCUGGUAUAUAUGGUCUAGGAGGACAAGCACAUAUUGUAAGAAUUAGUCAAAUGUUCAAAAUAUUCUGGACAACCUAUUGAAAAUUUGAAUAAUAAUCUAACCCUGAAACUUAGAUGGUCAAGAAGGCGAUGCAAAUUUUAUCUAUCAUAAAAUGAAGAUUAAACGGCUAAGUGAAUUACCACCCUAACAAAUAAAAUAAUGAAUGCACACCUUUUUUUUGUCCUUCUCAAGCAAGAUCCUAAAUCUUCUCCAUUGGCGAUGGAUCCAAAAGAAUGGGUAGAGUCGAUGUGGCCUUCCUGCCGCCGCAAGAUUCAGCCUAGUCCCAGAAAAUAUAAAUACAAGAAACUUUUCUUAGAAAAAAAAAAAAUCAAAUCGACAUUAAAAUAGUUAAUCUUUUACGAGUGGAAAUUAUGGCAUUCAUUGCAUAUUUAGUAAUGACUGUCCUUUUCUUGGGGAUGCUAGAACAAAUAUAAACCAAUCAAAGCAAAAUUUAAAGUACAGGGACAUGUGUACCUCCUACAGUAAUAAUAUCACGACAUUUUUUAUUAUAGGAUUACGGAAAGCUAUCUCUAAAGAGAUAGGCACCGCCAUUUAAUUUAAAUUUUGGUCACUUAAUGAUGGGUUUUAUGGUUGUUAGGCCACCCAUAUUAGGCUAACCUAGGCCGUAAUUAAAAUAGACCCACAAUUAAAAGAAAAGAAAUAACCACCAUAAGGCAAUUAUUGUGGGUUACUUCUUAAAGGGAAAAGAACAUUUUCUUAUUAAGAGAAGUGCUUAUUGUUAAAAAGUGAGAAUGAACAUAAAAAAAAAAAAAAAAAAAAAAAAAAAAAAAAAAAAACAUGAUAACUCUAUAAUAAUAGAGUUUUUUUUACCUAUUUUAGGCAAAAAUAUAGUAUUUCAUAAUACAAUAUUUGUUAAAAAAAUCGAUUUCCUUCUAUUUAAGCAAAUAUUCCUUAUUUAUGCGGAAUAAUGAGAUAUGGAUAAAAUAAGAAAAAUAAAAAGGACAAAAAGAAGGAAAGGAAAAUUCUGUCAUUUAGGAUUUCAAAUAAAUAAAAACAUUAGAAGAUGGAUACCAAAUCAAAAAUUCUGAGAUUUAUUCACUAAUUUUACGCGAAAAAAAUAAGCAAUUGCGUUGUGUUAGGAUUCUUGAUUAUAUUUUAUAAAUAGGAUAAUAUAGAUAGAUGGUUUUUUUUUUUUUUGGUUUUUUAGAUCGUUUUGUUUUCAUUAUUCUAAGAGUUUUUCAAGUAUUUUAAAGAGAAUAUAAAAGUGAUGAUAGAAUUCUUGUUCUUGGACUUGAGAUGCUUGGUUUGAUUUAUAUUUUUAUUUCUUCUUCUACUAUCUUCUAAUUUUCUUUUGUUACGGCUACAAUGUAGCCUAACCAUGAUGAUUUCAUGAUUUUUAUGCGUGCAAGUAACUUCAUUCAUGUAAGUUAUAUUAUUAUUGUGCUUAAUGCUUUUAAGUGACUGUCUCAUGUGUAUAUUUGAGAUUGAAAAAUGAUAAUUUGUAAUUGCUCCUUAUAAUAUAUAAUAGUAAAUUAAACGUUGAUAAAGAUAUAUCACGUUAUUUGUAUAGCUUUCGAUGAGAAGGUGAUAUAGAAGAUUUAUUGUAAGCCAUGAAUAUUCAUAGAUUUUAAUGCACUUAUGUUUAUUUAAAUUUACAUAGAGAUAUAAUAAAUUAAUAAACUAAGUAUAUUUGUUAUACCUAGAGAUAGGAUAGUAAACAGAUUAGGAAAUUCUAUUAUCACAUGUUUGAUAUCAUUAUUGUAUGCAUAACAAUCUGAAAUUCAUAUCUAUAAUUAUGCUAAAAUCGGAUGCUCUGACAUAUUUAUCUGAUUUAUUUACUAUAUUUAGUUUCUAAAUUUUUCUUUUAAGAUUUUAGUUUUAAUUUAUUCUUAAUUCUAUUUUUGAUAUGUCAAAUAAAUUUUAGAAUUAAUCUAUUUUUAAUAUUUAAUUAGUUUAUUAAUCAUAAAUCUCCAUGGGACGAUACUCUUUCUCAUAAUUAUAUUACUUAUUCAAUAUGUUCACUUGCAUUUAGAAUCUUACGAACAAAACCUCCCUCUCACUCAUGAAGGAAAUCACUCUCACUCAACAAAUAAAAAGGGAGUAUUUACUUUCAUGACACUACAAUAAGGGUGUAUUUAAUUCAUGAAAAAUAAGGUACAUCCCUUUGGCCAUGUGCUUUUCGAUCGGCGAUUCAAGUUUUCUUGGACAUGUUUCUUGUAUGUGGUUCUUGCAUUACACAAUGAUAUGUAAUUAGAAAUUCUUUCCUUCACUUAGUUUACUGAGGUAAAUGAUACCACAUCAAUUUUGAUGCAUGUACAAGAAUUUUCAAUUUUCAAUGCUUGGGAACAUUUUGCACAACUCUAGCGAUCACUUAUAAGCUGCACCUCACCAUCAACGGCGAAAUGGCAACAAUAGUCACGAUGCUGGAGUGUGGGAAAUGGCUCAAAUGAAUUUAGACCAAUUACUGAAGAAAAAUAUUAGUCAUACUGCAUAGAUUCCUAAUUCUAGGAUACUUUCUUUUCUGGCAAGAUAGGCUAAAGCUCAACUUGAAAAAUCACACGGGGAACGAUCAAAAAUUCCGAAAAAGUCACAUGAAAUAUGCCCAGAAAUCGCUUGCGUUGGAUCCACUACACUUACAAACUAUAAUCUUUGUCCAAGCUCAUUUAACUUGUAUUUCGAUAUCGUUAUUGCCAUUAAAUUUCGGCAUUGUCACGAUGUGAUUACUCUUAUCCUCGUGCACAACUGGAGUGGUUACGCGAACGCGCUCGAAGUCAAAGCACUUAUCGGAAAUCUUGGAUAUUCAUUUAUGCAGGGAUCAAAUCAAAGAUUGUACUAACUUCCCCAUAACCAAAUCAUUUUGCAAAAACCACGAGGUUUCUUAUUGCAAGCACAACUAAACACGAACAUGAUACACGAUUCUGAUAUUUCCAAAACCCAAUUCAACUUCACAUCACCUGGUGAACCGACUUUACUUAUUUAAUCAACAUACAUUAAAGUACUAGAUUUCUCAACCAUAAUAAGGCACAAACUUCACAUAUGAUCAGUCAUGCCACGAUCUUCACCCUCAUGCGCUUAAAACGUGAGCAUCGAUGUCCUUGGUCAUGUCGAUGAAGAACGCCAUGUACUUGUCGGGGUUAGGGUCGCUCUCCUUGUACUUCUCGUACUCGAUGCUCAACUUAGCCAGACUGCCUUUCUCCUUCGGGAUGAGCUUGCAUACAGGCUUGUAGACCUUCAACUCGUCGAAGACGUCGCCCUCGAUGCCAUGGAGGGUGAAUGACAUGUUGUCAUCGUCGAACUCAACCUUCUCUUUGAACACCCCUGAUUUUCCUUCUAUAUAAUUGCACCAGCCAAAAAAAAAAGAAGUUUAGGAGUUAGGAAAUAUGUAUAGGGUCAUCAGUUGAAUUUCAAUGACAACAUCGAGUAAAUUAGUAACUCGAGAGACGAAAAUUGAAUCAAUUACCAACGGUGUAAUUCCAAAUCUUGAUAGCUCCAUGUUGAUCCCAGUCACCUUCAUGAACUUUGACUCCUUGAAUGUUUUUGGAGGUGGCGGUGGGCAUUUUGUGGGAUUCGCUCCUCCAGAUCUUGAAGAACUUGUCAGCCGGUGAUUGCAGUUCGACUUCAGCUUCUAAUUUUCCUUGCAAUU
This 95384-nucleotide long non-coding RNA is filed under the name Eucalyptus grandis. Its description in RNAcentral is "long non-coding RNA (EGRA_LNC004371)". The record is from RNAcentral. Lineage: Eukaryota; Viridiplantae; Streptophyta; Magnoliopsida; Myrtales; Myrtaceae.